UUUUUUUUUUUUUUUUAUAUAAAAAAAUUAUUAGUAUGGUUAAAUGGUAUUAAAUAAAAUGAGAUAAAAAGAGAAAAAAGAAAUCAGAAAAAUGUGGAUGAGAUGAAUAUAGACACACCGUAGGGCCUUAUAAAUUUGGAACAAUAUGGGAUUUCUAUGCCAAAAACAUGCCGUGUGAUGAAUGUGUGGAAUAAUCUACUCUUUCUAUUAAAUGUAACAAUAUCAUUACAUCAUUCCCCACCUCUAUAUUCACCACCAUAUUCAAUAUACUAUUUUUAUUUCAUAAAUAUUACUGUAAGGGUAAGGAUGUAUAUGGAAUAGAUCAAUGAUAUAUGGUUCUAAUUCUACGAUCAUUAAUUGGUUAUUGGUUGAGUUAAUAAUUGGGUGCAAUAAUUUUAGAUGAGAAAUGUGAAUAUAUAAUUAGAUGAUAGAUGAGUAAUUGGGGAAAAUAAUGAGUAGGGGAUUUGAGCAUGUGAGGCACAUGGUUUUGUUUAAUGAGAGUCUAAAAAUAAUGGGGGGAAGUGUGUUUUGUUAUUACACUCCCACACUCUCUCUUCAAACCCAAACAACCCUUUUCUAAUCACAUCUCUCUUCACUCUUCUUUAUUAUUUGGUAGUCAUCAACUAUUUUGUUACUUUUCUAGUAUAUAAAUAUGAAAAAAAAAAUUGGAUGUUUUUUAGAUGGUAUAUAGGUUGUGUAACUUAAAUAAUUAUCCUCUUUUACAAAAAUGGACUAGUAUAUAUAUGUUUUUACUAUAAAGAAUACAUGGUUGCAUUAUGAAUAAUGAAAAAUACGAUAAAGUAGUUUGAAGAAGACAAAAAAAGGAUUAUUUUGGUACAUUAAGGCAGGCAGUAGGAUCGAAAUGGAUGAAGGAAAGCAAUGUAGUAAAUUAUAGAAGAAAUAAUAAAAUUGAUUUUAUACUAAAAAUGGGGUGAUAAAGUUAUUUUUAUUGGUAUGGUAAUAAAUUGAAGUUGUUGAAUGGAUCACAAGUAAGAGAAGGAAAAGUAUGAGUUAUUCAACCUUCCCUCUAAUCUUUUUUUGAAUGUCACUUUCUAUUCUUUUAUCAUUAUAAUUAAUUUCAGUAUCAAUUGGCUUUGAUUAUUGAAUCUAGAAAUAAGAAAACUCAAUUAAUGUAAAAAUAGAUUAAAUUAGAAAUGGUAAGAUAAUAAAGAUUGUAUAGUGUAUAAAAUAAUUUAAAAAAAUAGAGUAAAGAAAAAGAAAAGAAGAAUGAUGGAGUUUGUAUAAUGUGGAAGAGCAAAAGGAAGGAGGAGGAGGUAGGGCAUGUGGCUCCCACGUGGAUAGCCAGGUAAAGAAGAGAUGGGCCCAGGAAAAGUUAGAUAUGGCCAUUUUUGUCAAAGGGAAAUGAAAGAAGAGGAAGAAGGAUCAAACUAAACUAAGGGAUGUGCCCUCGAAAUCAAUGCUCUUCUCCUAACAUCUCCUCUCACUUCACUCCACAUUUAAUGCUAUACCCUAAAUAUCCGGAAUAAACCAAUGAAUCCAACACUCCUAUUUCCCCCCCACUAUUUUCUCUUUUUUUAUUUACCUUUUUUUCCCUAUCAUAUCUAAAUAAUAUAUGAAAUUGUUCAUUUAUAUAAGGAAAUCUUAAUAAUUUAAUAAAUUAAAAAAAAAGUUAAAUAUCCAUGCAAAAUUUACAAACUAAACCCUUCAACAAUUUUGUUUAUUAUGAAAUUAAGAUAUGUACUCUUUGUUGUCAUAAAUUAUAACCUUGAAAUACUCAAUAUAGCAAUAAAAAUAAAGCAGUAUCUACAAAUUUAAAUCUCAAUCAAUCAGUAGACUAGUUAAUUAUAGACAAAUCUCUAAAAAAAGUCAUUUUGAUUAAUUGAAAACGUUAUGUUACCGUUUAUAGGAAUAUAUAAAAAUGUAAUAUAACUAAUAAAUAUAUAAUAAUUUCUACAAAUCUCUAAAAAGGGUAAUUUAAGCCAUUGAAAACAUAAAGUUUGCUAAUUGUUUAAGCGUGAGGAUAAGGCAUUUAUUACAAAUUUUAAAGUUAAUGUACAAUCAUUUACUCCAAGUUUAUUGAUUUUAUUUAAUGAGUGAAAUAAAAGCCGAAGUCAAAUUAGAAUUUAAUUCAAGAGAAUGGUAAAAAAUAUAAUGUUGUCUAUAAUAAAAUAGUAGUGCCAAAAAAGGAAAGAAAAUAAAAUUGAAGAACAGAGCUAGAGAUGGGAUAGAUCUUACUCAUAUAGGUAUUUUAGUUUAAAUUUUCCCUUCUUUUUUCAGAAAAAUAACAAUUUGAGUUAUUACUAUUUGUAACUCAGUAUCUAAUAGUACACUUGGGGAAAAAAGGAAAAUUUGAAAUUAUUAUUCAAAUUAACGACGUUUAAAAAUGAUUUAAACUUUAAUCGUCAUUUCGAGUGGAUAAUAAUACGUGAACAUUUUUAUUUUAUAUAAGAAUAAGAGUUUAAUAAUCACUUAAUUACAUGGAUGAAUCGAAGUUAUACUUCAAAAUAUGUAUUUAUCAAAUAAACAUUAUAGGUAAAUUAAUAAAUCAAAUGAUCAAAAUAGUUAUUUUUUAAAACCGCAGCGAGUAGUUUAAAAUUUUAUAGAUGAAAAUAGCUUUUCAAACAAGGAAUAUUAGUUAUAUAUAUUUGCAAUUAUCUACCUCUAACAAUUGAAACAAAAUAACGUUAAAGAAGAGGAAGAAAAGUGUACAAAAUGGAAUGCGAAGUUAACUAAAUUUGCACAGAGAAAUACUUUUUCCUUUGGAAAAGUAGCCAAUCUUUUUUUUUAUAUAAUAAUAGAGUUAAUGUCACUUACAUUUUUUAAAUUGUAAAAAUAGCAAAUUACCGUUCGAUAACAUCAAUUAUUAGUCAUAUUUGUCAAAUUUACCAUAUGAAAAAAAAAAGAGGUUAUGAACUGUUUUUUUCUUCUAAUUUUUUGUCAUCUAAUGUAAUUUCUUUUUUAUUUUAUAGGAUCAAACUUUUAAAUAGAUGUUUCUAUUUUUUUUAAUUUUUAUUAUUUCAAAUACAAAUAUUUAAUGUUUGGACCAUUUGAAUUAUAUUAUUGUAUAAUAAAAAGUAAUGUUUAGAAGGGAUUUUAAAAUAUUUAAUGACUUAAAAUUAAAUUAAUAUUUAACUUGAUGGUUUUCACAUUAUCUUUAUUUCAUCAAAAUUGAUUAUAAAUGAUUAAAGUGAGAUAGAUUUUAUGUGAUUUGAAGAUCACUCAAGAGAGUACCUUUGAAAUAAAAACAAAUUGCAUCUAAGAAAAAUCUAACUUUAGAUAACAAUAUAAGUGAGUUGAUACAACUAUAUUUAAGGGAAUUUAGACUAUAUCCAAAUAAUAUUGGGAAAAACACAUAUUAUAUAGUUCUGGUAUUGCUAAUAAUAUAUGUAUCAAAAGAAGAAUUGAAGUUGGGUUUUUUUGUACGUGGAUGGCUCAACGAGAGAGAGACCUCGUCUCAAUCAUUUACUUUAAUAUAUUAAUAAUAAACAAGUAAACAGAAAGAGAAUGCAUUACCUAAAUAAAGCCAAAUUUUGUGACAAACCAAAAUACACAUUAAACAAUGAAUACAUCAUAUUUGUGAUCACUACCUUCAUUUUGAUAUUAUUUAGUUUAUCUUUUUAUAUCCUUCAGCUAAUUUCCUUUUUAUUGUUUUCACUAUAAUCAUGGAUAAGACAAUUUCUGUUAAGAGUUAUUUUCAACAGAUUAUAAUAAUAAAUAAUAAUAUAGUCAAUUAUGAUUAAGCUAUGUACAAGAAAAAUUGGUUUAUUUUUAAUAUGAAGAUUUUGGGUGUAGGAAGACCAUAUUAGCCUUUGAAAUUUGAUGUCAAAAUGUCACCAGCUGUCUUCAAUUACGCUAUCUUUUCUUUUUUCUUCUUUAAAUUAAUUUUAGAUUUAAUUAUUUCAACCCUUUCAAUGCCUACUUUACAGAGAAGAGAGAACCCAAUGAUUGAGAAAUUAAAAUUCAGAAUUCAUUUUAUUAGCAGAAAAUGUAUAUUAUGUUAAAUAGCACUUUGGCCCUUACACUUACACCAACCUUCUAAAUCAAAAUUUUGAAACCAUAUAUAUCAAAUUGAAAGGAUUUACUGGAUCUUGAAUUGGAACUAAAUUCAAAUUAAAAGUGUGGAAUAUAUUACAAAUCUAAAAAAUCAAUUAAGAAUUGUAAAAUUUAGAAACUUAUUAAAGGUGAUUUGGAGCAUAUUAAAAAGUUAUUAUAUGGCACUAAAAAUGUAAAACAAAGAGUUAUUUCUUGUUUUUAUUUUAGAGAAAUAAUGAUUUGAACUAAAAUGAAAGGAAGAGAGACACAUAUAAAUAUAUUGUAAAAGAGAAAAAUAAAGAAAGGGGUUGGUCGAGAGGGCAACGUGGGUGUGUGUUGAAUUGAACUUGAAAGCGACGCAGAAACCGCGGCAGUGUUUCUCUCUUUCGCAAUUCAUUCAUUUAUAUCUCUUUUUCCCUCUUUCACUUUUCUUUAACUAUUUUCAAUCAUUUCUAAACUCUCUUCUUCUCCGGCAAUAUGCCCCGUCCUCCUCCCUUCUCCGACCAUCACCCUCUCCUCUUCAUCUUCCUCUUCCCCUUCCUCCUCCUCCUCCUCCUCUCUCCCUCCUCCUCCGCCUUCAAGUUCAAAGAAGCUCCUGAAUUCUACAACUCACCCAACUGUAUCUCCAUUCCUUCUUCGCCUGAUCACCUCCUCUGUUCCGAUCAGGCCGUCCAUGUGGCUAUGACUCUUGACGCCGCUUAUCUCCGUGGCUCAAUGGCUGCCAUUCUCUCCGUUCUUCAACACUCCUCUUGCCCACAAAACAUUAUCUUUCAUUUUCUCUCCUCUGCCUCCACCGACACUCACUCCCUCCGUUUCACCAUCGCUAACUCCUUCCCUUAUCUCAAAUUCCAUGUCUACCCAUUCGACGCCGCCGCCGUUGCCGGAUUAAUCUCCACUUCCAUCCGUUCUGCUCUCGAUUCCCCUCUCAAUUACGCUCGCAACUACUUGGCUUCCUUAAUCCCUCACUGUGUCAAACGCGUUGUCUAUUUGGACUCCGAUUUGAUCCUCGUCGAUGACAUUGCUAAACUUGCUGCUACCCCACUUGGGGAAACCGCCGUUCUUGCCGCCCCGGAGUAUUGCAACGCUAAUUUGACAUCCUAUUUCACACCCACUUUCUGGUCCAACCCUUCUCUGUCUUUCACCUUCGCCGGACGGAAUGCUUGUUAUUUCAACACUGGAGUUAUGGUCAUAGAUCUCCAACGUUGGCGCGCCGGCGACUACACCGCUAAAAUCAUUGAGUGGAUGGAGCUCCAGAAACGAAUGCGGAUCUACGAGCUCGGGUCUCUCCCUCCAUUUCUCCUUGUUUUUGCUGGGUAUAUAGCUCCGGUGGAUCACCGGUGGAACCAGCACGGCCUUGGUGGUGAUAACUUCAGAGGACUAUGCCGGAAUUUGCACCCCGGUCCGGUGAGUCUCUUGCAUUGGAGUGGAAAAGGGAAACCGUGGGUUCGGCUUGACUCGAACCGGCCUUGUCCACUUGACGCUCUUUGGGCUCCUUAUGAUCUUUUACAAACACCCUUUGCACUUGAAUCUUAGUUUCAGAAAACAGGGGAAUUACAAAUUAAAAUUACAGUUACAGUUACAUCUUUGUUCAUAUGGUUUUUUUAGAUUUAGAUUAGAGGAGAUUUAAGUAUCGGUAUCCCUCAAUCUUGUCUAUAAAGAGAGAUUUUCCCACAUCUUUGUUGUACGUUAAUACAGAGAAAACACCUUAUUAACAAAAAGCUUCGUCUUCUUCAUUAUUAUUAUCAGUAGUAGUAUUAUUAGAGUUUCCUCUGUUUUUUCUGUCAUUGAGAUUUGCAGUUACUUGGAGAAGAAGAAAAGAUAUUGAUGAUAAUGUUGAUGAAUCGUAUUAAUGGGAGUUUAAACGUAAAUUUGUACUUAUAUUCUGUAAUGUAACCGAAAAAAAUGAAGUGGGAUUUGGCUGUAAAGUUGUUGUUCUAAGGAUAUUAAAAAGAUAUGAGAAUCAAACUUGAGUUAACUGAAAUCAACGAGCUCUAAUGGGGCUAUGGCUAUGGCCAAUUUCAUCUGCUUCCAAAAGAGAAACCCAUGAUUUUUCUACCUUUUCUGGGGAAGAUUCAGCAAGAACACAGAGAUUAAACACAAUUUCCGCCAUACUUGGCCUUGACAGAGGUUCAUCUUGUGUACAAGCCCUCGCCAUUACUGCUAAGCUCAAAGCUCCCUCAAUUGGGUAACAAUCCUUUAAUUUUGAGUCCAUCCAAUCUCUCAACUUGUCUUCUCUUCCUUCUUCAUUAUCUAGAACAUCUCUUAUCUCCUUACACAAAUUCCCAACUUCUUCUUCUUCUUCUUCUUCUUCUUCUUCUUCUUCUUCUUCUUCUUCACCAUUUACUGUACAUUUCAGAGCUUUUUUCCCUGAAAGCAGCUUCAAAACCACAACCCCAAAAGCAAAAACAUCGACUUUCGUGGACAGAGAAUCGACAGCAGGUCUUGCCUUAGCAAGAUUUGAAAUCUUUGCUCUGAAUCUCAAGUCAAGAAGGAUGCAACUUGUUUUGAUAUCUUGAUGAACUAUGCUUGGUUGAGUGUGAUCAUGCAUAUAUUGCAACCCAUUAGCCACAUCCAAUGCUAUGUUCAACCUUUGGCUCCAUGUGAGAUUGCUUGAAGAAGCUUCGGAUGAUGAAUAAAGCCACUUAUCCAAUGACCCAUUUUCAGCAAAUUCAUAAACCAAGUAAAAGUUCUCCUUAUCAUCUGAUGAGAACCCCACCAAUUUCACUAGGUUUAUGUGAUUGACUUUCUGUAAAAUCAUCAGCUCUUCUGUUGAAUCUGGUUUAGCUUCCUUUAUCACUGAGAUUUGUCCAUUGAUUAUGGCUUUGUAUACUGAUUUUCCAAUCUUAAACCCCUCAUUGAAACUCAUUGUUGCAUCCAUUAUCACUUUAUAAUCAUACAAAAUUGGCCUUCCCAAGUAAUCUGAAACCACAGGAGGAGGAGGAAGAGGAAGAAGCUGCCCAUUCUGUUUCAUCUUCAUUUUAAUUGAAUUUCCCCAAAUGGGUAGCUUCAUUUUCUUGUAAAUAAAGAAAACAUAAGCCACCAAGAGGAAACCAACACCCAAAGCCACACCACCAACAACGAUCACAAGAUGUUUGAUUUUUUUCCUCUGAGGAGGAGACUGAGAAAGCAGAGGAAGUUUCGAAAGGGGUAUAAACAAAGCCUCACCAGCUACGAAAUUCGUCAAUUUUACACCCUUUACAUCUUCCAAAUUUGCAUCUUUUGAUACAUUGAAAAUCGAUCUCACCCCAGAAACCACAUCAGUCAAUUGCCAUACAUAAGUAAUAAAAAAUUGAAUUCCCUGUUCUAAGUUUUCCUUAGAAGGGCACUUACAAAACAGAGGAAAAACAGCUUCAACUCCCACUGACAAAUUGUUUGGAUUUAGAGAUGGGUUCAUUUUUACAACAAUGUCAGAAUCGCAAAGAUGCUCGAAGAAAGAUGUAGAGACGAGAUAAAAGGUAUCACCCUGGUUGAUUUUGUAAGUGGUAUUCGAAAAGAAGAAGCUAUUAUUUCCAUUUGUAGUGGAAUUACAAGUUACAGGAAUGAACAGAAGCUGCCCAUCAAACAAUGGAGUUUUGUCAGAUUCCAAGUUGCUGGCUUUCGCAAUCUUCAAAGCUUUGACUCCAAACAAUUUCGAUAUGCUGUGAAGAUCGAAGAACUGUGAAGAUUUUGUAAAGUAAGAGACAUAAGCAUCACACGAAGAACUUGUAAUCUCUGCUCUGCCAUGAAUGGCUGUAAAGCAAACAAGAAGUGUAAAUUGUAAGAGAAAAGAAGUUGGCUUUGCCAUUGGUUUGAUUGCUUGAAGCUUUGGGAUUCUGUAUUUUUGAAUCAAUCAUAGAAGUUUUUUUUUUUUUAAUUGGGGGUUUUGAUGAUUAAUAUCAUGAGCAGGUAUGAUUGUUGCAUCACAAAGUUGGAAAAAUUCAACCAAAAAGGUUAUGAAAGUAACGAUUUAUUUAGUUAGUUUAAUUGGGAGAGAGUUAUUUGAGACGGCUGAAUGCCUUCGCGAUGUCUUUGGUACCAAAGUUCUUUGAUUAAAUUAAGCAAAUGUUUUUUUAAUUAAUGAUGAUGUGAAGGGUAAAGCGAUAGGAGAGUUUCAAAGUUUACUUAGUUAUAUCUUAUGAUUAUGCAUUUAAAAAACAAAGCAACAGAGAUAACAUAAAUGGUAAAAUAGUAAAAUAGACUUAGACAUUUACGGAGUUCGCUACGUUCAUGAAAGAGAUAUUGAUUUAUUAUUGAAAUGAAAUCGAAGAUAAAAUAUAUUGCAAAGGGUUUAUAUAUGACAUUUUCUAAAAUUUCAUGUUUAUAAUUGUAAAUAACAUAAAAUACAAAUAUAAUUUAGUUAAUACCAAUUGCAAAUGCGUCAAUAGCUAGAUAGUCAUUUGAAACAUUAACUAAACGAUUCAAGACAUUUCAAUACUAAGAUUAAAAAAGAUGGUUCGGAAAAUUGUUUAAUAUGGACCAUGGUUAUUUUAUAAUAAUUCUUCGUUAAAUCAACAUUGACUAUAACCACUAGUUAGGUUCGUUUUGACAAAUAACCAUAUUUAAAUCUUUAAAUGUUUGUUUUUAUAGAAUUUUCACACAUCUAUAUGGACCUAUAUUUUGUAUAUUGUGAAUAUGACAAAAAAUUAGUAAUAUCAUACGGCUAUUUGAGAGUUAUCGACUUUUAAAUUGGUUACUUUUGCAAUUUAGAAAAUGUAAUGAUACAAACCUUAUUAUCAUAAUUUGAUAAUAAUUUUUUGUGGUGUUUUUGGAAGCAUCUUACCUUUUGGGUUUUAUUUUAAUAAUACAUUACAACUACAAUAAACUGUUAUAAAAUUGAGUGGUAAUGUAUAAUUAAUUGUUAUAUGUUUGUAUAGUCAACUAAAACGAUUGAAAGUUUAGUUGUAUAAUUUUAUUUUAUUUUUAAACUUUUGUCCUUGGUAUAAGAUAAUGAUUCAACAAUAUUAUCAAUUGAUCAUCCUUGUAAUAAAAUAGCAUGGCGUAUAAUUUCUAUUGGAUUAAUAUAAUUAAAAAUGUAACUUUUUGGUAUGAAGUCAUCACAAAUUAGAAUAUGCUUAGAAUGUAAUUGAAAUUCAUCUUGCAACUUCAAUAUUUAAAUUAAUUAAUACGUAAGUUCAUAUAAUAACUCUACAAGAAACCCUAUAAUCAAUUAGUAAUGCUCCAAUUUUCCAAGUCAAUAGGAAUAUAAGACAUCACUUAACUUCUAUGAAUCAAAAUUAAAAAUACAAUUUUCCAAGUCAAUAGGAAUAAUGCUCAUUUUCUUUUUCCCUUUGGUAAAAACUAUAUAUAUAUAUAUAUAUAUUCAUCCCAUUUAAAUUAAAAGUGAGAGCAUCAUUAUUUUAUAAGACUUUUUUUUGCUUAGUUGGGGUUUAAGAUUGGAUUCAAUUUGAAUAAUAAUAUUUGAUUGUAAUAAAAGGCAAAAUUUUAGGGGACAUAAAUUAAUUACAUUGUCUUAAAGUAGAUGCUCUAUUUAUGAUAUAAUUGGAUCAAUAACUUUUCUUUCAAUUAACGUUAGAUUGACUUCCAAUUUUGAUUUUCGUUAAAUUUCGAAAACCGAGAUAUAUUAUAUUCUUCCUCCUUCCAUAUCAUCAUUAACUCAUUCUUUAUGAUUUCAUGUUCUUUCUAAAAUCAUGAUUUAUUUUUUAUACUUGUGUCAUUAAUGAUCUUAAUUAAGGUUACUAAACCAUUAUUAAGUAUGCUAACUAAGUAUACAUUUUCUGGUUCCUAUGUGUAUAUAUAUAUAUAUAUAGUUUAAUUUAUUCUAUCAACCUUAUUAUUUCAUCUUCUUACCUUCCAUUUUCUCAAUAUCAACUAUUUAAAGAAUUAAGUUUAAUAAAUGAUCAAUUUUGAAAAAUUCUUUUAAAUAACAAAAUUGCUAAAAAUAAUUUUAAUUAUAACAAAACGUCAAAAUCUAGGAGUAAUAAAUAUUAUUUGUUCAGAAGGAUAUAUUAUAGUCUAAUUCUAAAAUUUAAAUUAGACUUAGUUUAACCUUUUUUUUUAAAAAAAUAGAAGUAGAAGUAGAAGAAGAAGUGUGAACUGAAAUUAAGAAAACAUAUAUAACAACAAUAAAUGAAAAUGAAAUGAAAUGAUUGCUAAACAACCAAAAUUAAGUUAAAGUUUUCUUUUAGUUAAAAAAAUAUCCCAUCAUGUGGCUUUUGGGCAGUGGCAAUGUGAACCUAAGAAUUUGAAUUUGUCAAUUAUGAAAGAAUUUCUUUCUCUCUUUCUCAUAUGUCUGCUCCAAACCAACACUACUUUAUUGGACAUUAUCAAAGUGUAUGAUUUUUUUUUCUUAAAGAAAAGAAAGUGUAUGAUUAUUAGUUUCUCAUGAAAAAAAUAUUACAAUAGAAAAAAUUCCAAUGUAGCUCAAUAGUUUGACGAUGGACUAUAAUAUCUUAUCCCCCAAAUCAAUUAAUAUUCGAAUUGUUUAAUACUGCCAUUUGUUUUCUUUAAAUCAUUUUUUUUGGUUUGAAGGAUUAAUUUUAAGCAAAACAUUUUGGGAGUUACAUGAGAGAUUUUGUUAAUAUUAUUUCUCAAAAUUUGAUACUGACUCAAGUUUUGAUAUAAUUUCUAUAUGUCUAUGGUUUUUUUUAAAUAUAAGGCCCUCUUGUAUUAAAAAAAUGGAUCUAUGGUUGAAGAUUGAUUUUUUAAAGAAUAUGUUAAUUGACUUUACAACGAACUAUCACUAUGUAUGAUUCUUAUAUUAGUAAAUUAGAAGAAAGAUAAAAUUACAAUAUGUAUACCUAUACUUUUUGAUCAUGAAUCAAUCAAAAGUAAAUGUAAACAACAUUUGUGGAGAUAAUAAGUUUAAAUAUCCCAUUUUAAGAUAUAAAACUAUGUCAAUUAUUUAUACUUUAUGUUUGUUAAAGGAUGCUUGUCUAAUAUUAAUUUUUAUUUAGAUUUGCUAAGAUAAAAAAAGGGAUGAAGUUUGGAAAGAAGGAAAGAAAGGAAGGAGGGAGGGAUUAGGAGGGAAUCUUUGAUAAAAAUGAAGAACGCGGUUUGUUUGCUCACUUUUAUUAAAAUUGACUUUUUGACUUUUUCAGUUUUUGAAUUAAUUUUUGGAAAAGUAGAUCUCUUCUGCUCUCUUUCUUCAUUCUUUUUUUCUAUAACAAUUCUGUCGGUGGAUUCAAUUCUUUUUCUUUUUCCUUUCUUUUUUGUUACCUUAAGGGGUAAGAAACUCAACUUAUUUAUUACAUCGUUAAUACCUUCUUAUAUAAUUCUCCUUCAUUAAACAUGAACUAUAUUUAAUGUUUUCACUUUUAAAAAUAGCUCUCUUCUUAAACCUUUUUUUUAAAAUGCUAAAGAAAAAGAAGGAUGGUUCGGUGAGGGGCACCCCACUGGGACAAAUUGGACCCGACGGACACGGACCGUUAUCCUUCCACUGCAAGGAGAGGGAAGUUGACGUUGCUCUGUGAAGCCAGCCUCACGCGUUCUCCCCCGCUUUACAAGCCCAUGGUACUUGGGCCUCCGCCUAAGCUCCAUGGCUUUCUCCAUGCUUGAAACGGGCGGCCCAGAAUGAAGCCACGACAGAUCCAGCCCACCAGGAUGAAACCUUCCGUUCCAUCAAUAUAACGCCCCCACUCGGGUCAUAAGCCAGCGCAACCGGACUCGGCGAUUGCUUAGGUUGGGAAUUCGUUGAAUAAAAAGGAGCAGCCUUUUAUGUGUUUCGAUGUGGGAGAAAUAGAUAACCCUAAUUAGCUAGAAGUUACCUUAUUUCAACAUAAUUCAAAACAAUGGUGACCUUCUCAAACUAAACACAAGCAUUUGUGAGUGUAAGUUUACAUUUUGUUAAUAAUAACAAAAGUUUGAGAUAUAAGUUUAGUCUCUAAACUUUCAAACAUACAUAACAUUUGUUUUUUUUGACAAAUUCAAUUUUUUGUAAAACUAAUUGAUUUAUUAGAUAUAUAUUUGAAUUUUAUGUGUUUGUAACUUUACCCUUUCAAGAAAUUCUUGUUCCAAAGUAUGAUGAGCUAAAAGAAAUUAAAUUCCAAUUGACUAAAUUUCUAAUUUUCGACCUUAUAGGACCAAAUAGAGACAAAAGAAAACGUUGAAGUAAAAUCUAAAUUUAUAAUUUAAUCUUAAAAAUUAAUAUUAACCUUUGUGAUGGGUUUAAAAUUUAAAUUAUUGUCCAACUAUGAUGAUACUAUCACUUAAAAAAACAAGGAAAAAAUAUAAAACAUAUUGUCCAAUCUAAAAUUGAACUAAAAACUUGAGCCGGCAGUGAAAUUAAAUUUACGAGUAUGCUGCUUUGCAAUUUUACAAAAAAUUGUAGUAUGAGUAGAGGUAUGAACGUUUAAAAAAAAUACUUGAAACUUCAACCGAUGAAAAAAUAUAUAGACAAUACCGAUCAAGCUUAUUUUAGCUUUUCAUUACUCUUCUGAACAAUGAUUAUAGUAAAUAUUAAAUCUUUGUUGCAUUAUGUCCUGUUUUUGGCAACUUCACCAUGCCUUUUCAUCUCUAAAAGAAAAGAAUAAUUGGAAGUGAUCGUAAAGUGUAAUGGCAACAAAAUAACUUAUUAGUUAAAGCAAAAGAAACUAAACACGUUUCCCUUGGAUAUCCAAGCAUUGAACAAACAUGGCAUCAUAUCUUUACAAAUGAUAUCAAAUCCCAGUUACACGGUUCCGUUAAAGACAGCUCUGAUGCAAUUCAAUCAAAUUCCAAGCUAAUUCAGAUCUACACAAAACUCCCACAAAGGACAGAAGAAAUCAGGCCGUCACUUCUACCUUCUCUUCUUUCUUUCUACUUUCCUUUCCUUCGUUCUUGUUGUUUUGUUGUUGCUCGGCCAUCUUUUGCGCUCGAAUCAUGGCCCGUCUUACCUGAGGACGCAUCUCUCUUACAUUACGAGGUGGCAUGAUAUAGGGCUCCAGUGGACGGUCGCCAAAAGGGUGUUCAUCUCCAGCAAAAAUUCUCAGUUUUCGAUCUCUAUCCUGCAUUAAAUAGAAGUUAUAAUAUAAAUACCCACCCUGUAGUGUACAAUGGCGGAUGAAAAAGGAUGAAGAUUUAAUAAACAACUGACGUAGUCCUCCAUUGGUAACAGAAGAUCUUAAACACCAAAUAAAUUUAAGGACUAACAUCACGCAGUUUAUUUUUUGGAAGCAUGCGUAACACAGCUUUACGUAUGACUUCUGUAGGGUCUCUGGUCAUCUGUUCCCUCAAAGUUCUUUCCUUCAGGUUCCCAACAUACCUACAAGGCCACGCAUAGUUGAAGACAAAUAAUGAAACACAGACCACAUCAAACUGUUACUAUAUUACCAAAGCAGCACUAAAGUGAUCUCCUUCCUCUACUUUUCUGCAGAUAGAAAUCAAGCACUUGUUUGGAUUGAAUUUUUAAGAUUUUAGAAAAAGGUUUUUAAGAGAAGAAAAUUCUUUUUUAAGUCUUAGAAAAGUAAUCCAAAUACGCCUUCUAAGUCAUUUAGAUUUAACCAAAAGUUAAACCCCUCUUUGAUAACCAUUUGAUUUUUUGUUUUUGGUUAUCUAAUUUUUAUCAAUGUUCUUAAAAAGCAAGUAGUGGUUUGAAAACUAAAAAAAAGUAGUUUUUGGAGAAGUGUUUUGUUGGUGAAAUUUGGCUAAAAGUUCAACUCUGAUACUUAAGAAAUUGAAAAUAAGAACCAAACAGGGCCUAAAAUUUCGACAAACUAAUGCCGUUCUAAUUUUGCCUCAAAUUUCAACAAAACAAAUGCCAAUGAAAUCUUAACUGAUGAAAAUAGAUUAACGAACUUUAGAGUACGUGCCAAUGACCAAUACUUUUUAAGUAAAACUACAGAAACAUAUAGUACUUACCCUGUAUGCCAGUAAUAAACUUUUUUAGUGAGUUUUCUUCCUGUGACAGCGAUAUCCUUAGCAUUAAGCACAAUGCACAUAUCCCCAUCAUCUCGAUUGGGUGCAUAUGUUGGCUUAUCCUUGCCUUGAAUCACAGUAGAUAUUUGAGAUGCCAAUCUCCCAAGAACCUGGUAGAAAAAGUUAGAGCAUCUUUCUUUGUUUCUAGCAAAUAUCACUACUCUUGAACAUUCUAUCUCAUAAUCUGAGGAACCUACUAUCAAGUGAAGAGUUAAUAUUGCAUUCUAACCUGGCCUUUGGCAUCAAACACUCUCCACCUCAGGCCUUCCAAAUUGAUGCGUUUCAAGCCAGCAAGUGCUUUCUGGAACAUUGUUGAUGCAUAGCAAUGUUAAUGGUUUAUGCUUGUAUAACAAAAGCACUUAUUCAAAGAACACGGGGGAAAGGCUAAGUAAAAUAAGAGAAAUUAAACCGGCUAUCAAUCUGAUCCGGAAGACACAAGGGCAGACCAAACUCAUUGAGGAUAAAAUCCCAACCACUAUAAACGAAAGCCUUCCUAUUUCAUUCUUACAUAAGUUCCUGGCUGAUAACUUAGAACCAAAUAAAAAAUUUCUUCUCAUUCUAAUCAAAUAAUCCAUAUAACAGCAGAGAAACCUAAGUGCUAAAAUAAACCCGCCCAUAUCCCAACAUAACUUCCUUCAUUAUCCAUGGAAACAGGCUCCUUCAAUCAUUGGAAAGUCCUUAGAAGUGCAUCAACACAACAUACAGUUUUUAAGUCUUCACUUCUCCUUCUACACAAUGUAUUCAUAUAGCAAGGAGAAUCUCCUGGAAUUUUGCCUACAGAAUUUAUACCAUCAACGACAAUCACAAAAUGAAUUUUGCUACUCCUUCAAAUAGCUUACAAGUUAAUAUUGGGUUUGCGGGUAAAUUCCUUUGCUCACCUAUAGAAGUGGGAGAACUUAUAUUCUAAAAAGUAUGCUAAGGUCCUUUACAAAAGAGGGAAAAGAGGUCAAUUUGUCUAACUACCUCUUUUAUUUAUUAACAAUAGGUAUUUGCGGAAUCUGAAUCUCUACAGCUCCACUCAUAUGAAACCAGUCUCAAAUUUCUCUAAAUCACAAAUUACUUCAAAAGAUAAAAAUCUAGCAAUUAUUAGUGUCUUGCUGCUUAUCACUGAUGAUAGUACAAAAGCUUUGGAUCCUUGGAGAAGACAGGUACCAAGCCCAGCCAAGGGCCUUCUACAUUCUUCUGCCACUUGUCGAUUAGAUAGUAACUUAAGUCAUUGAAAACAACGCUGGCUUCUUCAGCUACUAUAGAAAUUUUCCUUCAUGAAUCAUCCAAAUCCUACACGUAUUCUCUUUAAUAAUAGAAUGCCAAAUAGUCCUUUAUAGAAUCUCCAAAACCCACUUGGAGAAAGGCCCUACUCCUUUUUCUAAAAUUGCCUGUGCCAAAAUCCCCCCUCAUCCAAUUUAAAGAAACUGGCAGGUGUUAUCAAUAAAAACGAUGAAAAACUAAAUAUAUAGAAAACCAAAAUUCAUAAGAUAGCUUAAUUUUCAAACAGUGCAUGAAGAAAAUAUCAUUUAAUGGCUAACAUAAAACACCAUGGGAAGGCAUGUUCGAAGUCUGUAACACUAAGAAUGAUCUGACAUAAGGAAAUCUAACCACCUUACCCUAUAAAGACGCGGUAAUUACCCGAAUAAAAUGUAACAAUAAACACAAUACAACAGUUUCUAAAUGUUCAGAACGUAAACCCUAAUCAAACCUAGCAUAGAAAUAUUGUUCUUCUUUAUUAAUUCAACGUUUCUUAUCAAAUAAAGUUCAGCAACAGGUCCACCUGAGUUUCCAAGCAAACAGUUCCCCAACUGUAGCAUAAAAGAUUUCCCCAAACUCUAGCAUGAGAUUGUGAAACAAGAGCUGAUAGAGUAGACAAUAUCAUUUUUAAAACCAACUGACCAAGAACACGCAUAACCAAAAGCACAACUUAAAUCUACAAUAUGCAUUCCACAACCAUUUCGUAUGAUUAAUAUGUAUUGGUGUAAAAGUACAGAAGGCUUGCCUUCAUGUUGCCAGUGAUAGAAGUAGCUGCUUGGCUUGCCAUUUCUCAAUGUCCUACCUUUUCACUGUUCCGCAUCACAACAAGACAUUUAUCAGUACCCUCAACUAAUAACAAUUAACAUCAAAACAAUUUUUCCAAUAUUUUCAAAUACAAAUUUCUUCACCCACAGAGCAACUUUUUAGUUCCAACAAGUUAUUAUUAUUAUUAUUAUUAUUGAUUUAUAUAAGAUUAAUAUGCUCCUUGUCAUCCCUCUAGCCUGUGAUUACACAUUCUCAAUUUUAUGUUAUCAUUUAGACUGGGGGUUGAAAAAAAAAUUAUAAACAAUUUUUUUUUAUUUUCUUCUCUGUGGGUGAAGAUAACCAACCAAUAAACAAAAAAAAAAUCUAAAACCUUGGGGAUCUGAACAAUAAACGAAGGCGGCGCGAUCUCACCAACGGCGUGGAGGGGCUGAACCUCGGUGAUUCUGAGAGAGAAAGAUAGAGAUAAGUAACUCAGAAUGCUCGGAGAGACGGAAGGAGCAGCGGGGAGUUCGUGGGAAGAAUAUAUCUGCGGCAGCUGAGAGUGCAGUGUGCGAGGGCAGCCGCUGAGCCGGAGUCGGGCAAGAGCGGCGGCAGUGUGCAGUGGCUGAAAAUUGGAGGGAGGGUUUAGAGCAUAGAGAGAAUUUUAAUAAUUAACAAAACGAAAAAGGAGUAAAAACAAUUAGCAAAAUUAUUUUACACACACCCAACAUUUACCAAACUAUUAUUAAUAAUAAAAUAAACAUGAAAUUUCACUCUAUUUAUAAAUAUUUUUUCUCUUAUUAAUUUAAAAACGCUUCAAAAAUACCAAACUUACCUCAACUUGUACUGUGGACAAAUUUAUAUUCAAAAAAUUAUUUGGACAAUUUUCUUUAUCAAAAUUUUGGAUUUUUUUGUCAAAUUUAUUAUUUUUUACUAUUCAUUCAAUUAAUUAAGAAAAAGUUAUGGAACCUUCGUCUCUUCCAAUCACCUUUUUUUCUGUUAGGAAAUGUCUAUAAUGUCUUUAACAUUCGAAUUUUUUUCAUUAAUUUAUACAAAAUAAGUCUAAUAAAUACCAUAACGAACAUAAUCGAAUUUAAUUGUCUAAUAAUGUAUACUCUUUCAAAUUGAUAAUCACCAUAGAUUGAACUCAUUUCAUGAUUUUUCAUCUUGUUUUAACCAUCCAAAUACUUGUGUGCUGCACAAUGUUCAGAUAAUCAAAAGCUUAUCUUUAAAUAUAGAAUUGGCAUUUUCCCCAAAAUUUGAAAUUUUGUACACACUAAGACGUAAGUACUAAAAUUAUUACAUUGGUGGGAGAUGGACAUAUAAGAAUAAAAAUGAAGACCAAAGAGAUGGAUCAAUCGAGAUUCAAGAAGGCAUCUCCAGGCCAAGUACACAAAAGCUCACCCCAGCCCCAGGCAUUCCGUCUUCCAUAUCCACACUUUAAAACUCAUGGAAGUUCACAGUAAGAUGAAAAGUGUGGAAUUAAAAAAUGAACCACAUGAUGCAUUAAUCCCUUCUUAUAAGCCCAUUCUGUCGUCAUGGGACACGGUAACUCUUGUUGCAGACAAGGCACUGCAAGGCCAGAUAUCUCAUCAUAAAAGCUUCCCACUUAUAAUACUCUUGUUUUUGUAGAAAGUCAGUCAAUUCUUGAGAAGCAACUUGUUCACUUUCUUUAUCACUGCCUUGUUGAAAUUGCUUUCUGAUAAUGUUAACAACUGGUUCAGUAACAACAUCACCUGGCUAUUUUUCAUAAUUGCAUACCUUGGUUUAAUUCUCCCCUCCAAGCUGUAACCAAAAUAUUGGGGGAAUUUGAUUAGCUCUGCUUUUGAGUAUCCCAUGGUUAGAAAGAAAUCCCAUUUAGGCACUAAAUUAUCAGCUAAGCUGAAAGAAUACAAGGCUGCAUAUCUUGAGGUCAUGGUUCCAACAUCCUCCAUGCUAUAACCUCUCUCCAAGAAAAAUUGUGUCACUGGUUUCAAAUUAGCCUCAAUACUGAGACCGAAUGUCUGUGGGCAACGAUACAGAAGGACAGCAACAUCGACUCCCAGAGUGUGAAAAUAUUCGGCCGUGGGCCUUAAUUUUUCCUCAACACUAUAACUUGUGAUAUUUGGACAACGGGUCAAUACUUUACCAACCCUCUCCUCUGAGAGUCCCAAUUCAUAGAGGAAACUAAUAGUUGUCUCGACCUUCUGUUUGCUGUAGGUGAGAAUUGCUGGAAAACGGUAAAUCACUUUCGCCCAUUUUUUCUUGUCCACACCCAAAUUUUCUAAGAAUUUCAUCGUUGGUUUUAAAUUUUCACUCAGACUAAUUCCACAUAACUGAGGCCUCUUGUAGAGGAUAAUAGGGAUAUCAGAUUUUGGCACCCCAAGAUCAAGAAAAAACUCGAUCACAGGCUUUAUUUUUCCCUCCAAGCUGUAGUAAGCAAAAGAUGGGAAUCUGCGAGUAAUUUCUUUAAUCUGAUCAAGAUUUAAGCCAUGCUCAAUCAGGUAAAGAAUCUCUGGUCGGAGAUCUCCAGUAGGACCUAGUUCACUCACUCGAGAGAUGGCUUUUAGCUUCUUCGUGUCAAUUGUUGAAUUUGAGACAGGAACUGGUGUAGCAGUCUUUUCCUUAAUAGAAGGGCUAGGAAAGUUUUCCACAGCAUGCACAAGAUGAGUCCCAUGCUCUUCAAAAAGGGACUCAAGAUAAGGAUUCAAAGCAUCUCUAAUUUCAAGUGUCGUCAACUCUCGUCCUGCAUAGUCAUGUGAACUAGGUUAUAAUUUCUGGCAAUGCCAGUCUACAUCCAACUAAAUCAAAUUCAAUGUGAUCGGUGAUACAAGUACAUUGAAGUCGAACCUACUAGAUACCGAGAUUUGUGAAUCAAAUGAAGCCUUAAGAGAAGAUGAUCGAUGAAGCUAUCGGACUUGUUUAUUGUUCUUGCAGCAAUUGCAUUGCUUAGACCUUGCUUCUUUAAAAACAAGGUUAAAACUGCCUUGGCCUCUUCUUUUUCUGCUGUUAGAAGGGCUGGAGACACUACCUUUAAGUUGGCUGAUCCAUCUAUCUCAGAAUCUGCAUAGUAGAUCAUCAAAACACAGUACUUAGCAUGGUCAAAAGACGACCACACGAAUUCAUCAAGAGAUUAAACAGCCACAAGAAGUUAAUGACAACUCAACGAAACCUCAAACUGAAGCACUAACCAGAUCUUGAUCGGCAAGAAAAGAGUUUCCUUUGGAACGAAACCUGAACCCUAUAUAAAACAAAACUUCUGGAUGACACAUUCUCAGCAUGGAGAGAAUUGACAGAAAAAGAAUCAAAGAAAGGGAAGCUUGUGCACACAUUAUAACUCAACACUAUUCACUGAAUAUAUCUCGCAACAAACCAUCGGGAGAAAAAAACAUGCAAAUCUGUUAAAUAAGAGAAGAUAUAUUCAUUCAAGCUAAAAAAUAACGAGUCCAACGGUACCUUUGAGUAGUGAUGUGACUACCAUUUGGCAAAAAGGAGAUAGGGACGGGGGCAGCUCUCAUCUCUAAGAAUUGGCGCAAUAAUUCGAUCAAGCGUAAAGCACGGCCACUUGUGCAAUCAGCCGCAGAGCUAGUUAAGAACCAAAAAGAAAGAAACUCCAUUUACAAAAUCCCCCAGGAAAGUGAACCCCUUCCAUUACAACAAAAGCAAUAAUCAUAGAAUGUGAAUAAAUGCUGGGAACUACCUCGGCCAAAUUUGACCCCACAGUUUCAUUACUAGCAACAAAAACAUGAGCUUUACAUCUUUAUAUACGAAUCACUAAGCUUGCCUUGGUUUUGGGUGUUUCAAAAUUUCAGACUUGUUUACUAAUUCUUUGUGCAAGUGUCAAGUGUCUUCUAAUAAAAAAUUGCAGAAGAGAAGGGAUGGAAGCCACUUACCAAGAUUGAAGCUCUGCGAAAAUGGUAACGAGAAAAUGGGUGGGAGGAUCGAAAUAGAAGCUGAGAGACUGAAGAAGAAUGGUUGAGAAGGAGAAGAAGGAGAAGAAGGAGAAGGAGAAGAGCGGUGAAUGAAAAGAGAGAUUAAGAUUGAAGGGCAGAGAAGGGAGAAAGAGAGAGUGAAAGAAACGAAGGUAAACCAAAGUAAGAGAGUCGAGAGUGACAACACACGUCAUGUGGGCUACAUUUAGAUAAUUAUAUAUACACACAUAUAUCCUUAAAAGAAAAAUCUAUUUCCCCUCUGUCCAAUAAAAAAAAACAAAAUUCAUUAUAAAUAUUUUUGUCAAAUUUUCUAUAAAAAUUUAAGAUUUACAGAAAAACUAAUAAGUAAUCAUGAAGAUACUAGAAUAAGGUCAACAAUAAAUUAUUGAUGGUAAGUAAUGAACAAAUUUGAUCUUCAUUCAAUUUAUAUCGAUCUCAACAUCGUUGUUCACAGUAGAAACUAAAUCAUUUGUUAGUGUAGAGAAAAAAGACUUGUAUUCUUUGCUCUAGUGUGAAAAAAUGAAAAAACAAUUGUAGUUGCUUCAUAAUGAAAAUUGGGGCAAUUGGGAGCCGCCAAUGAAGAGUUAUUCCAUUACUCAAACUUGAAAACUUCUCAUUUGUACAAUCUCUACAUCUUUGGUUUGAUUACCUCAUCAACAUCAUCACCAAUUUGUUCUAAACAAUACCAUAUUAAAACAAAGAUUGUCCCUUUUGGACUACUUUCUUCCCACUCUUCUCUAUAUUAAAUUUCGAAAUGUCAUCUUUUCCUUCUUCCAAGUCAACCGAAGAAACAAUGACAGCACUGCCACAUCCCGCGUUGCUUCGUCUUCCCAGCGCAAGUUCAAGAUCCAAUACACACUUCUUCUCCUUCCUCCAUCCAAUUUUGACCUUUUCCAAUAUAUAAGCACUGUUUUUUAACAAACCCCAUCUGAAAAUUUCCCCCAAUUUCAUCAUGGAUUCCUUCCAAUUCCAUUUCUUCACCGCUUCUCUGUUUUGCUUCUUCUCUUUCAUUGUUUCUCAGCAACCCUACGCCGGAUCCACCACCGCUGACUGUGCCGUCACCCACAGAUCAACCGGCAAUUUGGGUUACUUUUGCAACACCCCCAAUCGGAAUUGCCACUCCUUCCUCACCUUCCGAUCUCGGUCUCCAUUUAACUCUGUUUCCUCCAUUGCUACUCUCUUAGGUUCCGACCCCUCUGAGCUAUCUCGGGUCAACUCCGUCAACGCCUCCGCCACUUUCCCGCCGGAUAAAUUGGUGCUUGUUCCAACCACAUGCUCCUGUUCGGGUCAGUUUUUUCAAUCAAAUGUUUCUUUUACAACACGAACCGGUGAUUCUUACUUUGUCAUUGCAAAUGAAACCCUGCAAGGUCUCUCCACUUGUCAAUCUCUUAUAUCUCAGAAUCCCAAUGUUAGUGUCACGAGUAUAAAGGGUGGGGAAAGAAUUCUUGUUCCUCUUAGAUGUGCUUGUCCCACCAAGAAUCAGACUGAUAUGGGUUUCAAUUACCUUUUGAGUUACUUGGUUGUAUUCGGUGAUACUGUUUUUGAUAUCGCUCAAAUAUUUGAAUCAUUUGGUGCGGAUAUGGGGAUUAUUCUCGAUGCCAACGAGCUUCAAGGAAGUUCCUUCGUCAACCCUUUUACAACUCUUUUAAUUCCCCUUAAAACUGAGCCGUCGAGCACUGGAAUGAAGGAGCGUAAUUCAUCCCCACCACCGCCGCCGUCUCUGCCCACUUCUCCCUCUCCGGCCUCUAAAAGAACAUGGGUUUAUAUCCUUGUCGCCGUUGUCGGAGGAGUUGUUUUAGCAGCUGUAAUUGGGGCUGUAGUUUUCUUUGCGUGUGUGAGGAAAAGGAAGAAGAAAACUGAGCAUACACCUAUAGAAAUUGAUAGCUUUGAAUCAACUGAGAAGACAUCAGAGAAAAAGUUGGAUGGAGAUUCUUCUUCUAUCACCUUGGAUAGUAUAUCUAGCGUUGUUCAAUCUGUUAAAGCUUACACGUUUAAAGAGCUGCAGGAUGCAACUGAUAAUUUCAGUUCAACCCAUUUGAUUAAAGGGUCUGUUUAUCAUGGCACAAUCAAUGGGGACUCUGCCGCUAUUAAGAAGAUGAAUGGAGAUGUGUCGAAACAGAUCAAUUUACUGAACAAGACGAACCAUACGAAUCUCAUUCGCCUUUCCGGGGUUUGUUUUGAGGAAGGGCAUUGGUAUCUUGUUUUUGAGUAUGCUGCCAAAGGUGUCUUGAGUGACUGGAUUGAUUCAAAUGGUAGCAAUAAUGACAGAUUCUUAACUUGGACGCAGAGAAUACAGAUUGCGGUAGAUGUUGCAACGGGACUAAAUUAUCUCCAUAGUUUUACAAAUCCGCCUCAUGUUCACAAGGAUUUGAAGAUGGAUAACAUACUUCUUGAUGAUGAUUUCAGAGGCAAGAUCUCAAACUUCAGUCUGGCAAGAUCAGCAGGAUGGGAAGAAGGCGAGUUUACAUUGACAAUGCACAUUGUUGGAACAAGAGGUUACAUGGCUCCAGAGUAUCUCGAAAAUGGUUUGGUGUCUACAAAGCUUGAUGUUUAUUCAUUUGGGAUUUUGAUAAUCGAAAUGCUUACCGGGAAGGAGGUUUCGGAGUUGCACAGAAAGGAGAAUCUGCAGUUGACUGACCUUCUUGAGAAGGUGCUUGAUCAAAAAGAUGGGAAGGAGUAUUUGAACCACCUGAUGGACCCUUCAUUAGAAGGCAACUUUCCCACUGAACUUGCUGUUCUUGUGAUGAAUAUCGCCAAGCUAUGCAUGAACAAGGAUCCGUCUCAACGCCCGUCCAUGGAUGACAUUGUUCAGUCCCUCUGUAGAAUUUUGAGCAGUUCUUUGUCUUGGGAAUUGCCAAACACUUCUGUGUGACACAGCUGAACUCAUAACAGAUCUGAUCAGAAAUUCUGUUUUUGUCGAAUUAGAGCCAUUCAUUUUAAGUAUAGGAUCUUAUACUUCCCACAUUGUAAAUCAUGUCUGAUUCUUCUACUUCAUUUUUGUAAUCCAAAGCUGUAAUAUCGUUUAUAUCUAUAUACAGCACAUCUCUUGCAUAUAUUGAAGCUCUUUCAAGGAAAAACAAAUCACCUCUUCUAUUUGUCUAUAUAUAUAACAAACCACACAAAUUAUCGGUUUGCCUCCCCGACUUUCACAUUGCUACGUGUUAGUUUUACGUUACUCUUCAUCUAAAUACUAUCUUCAAGAGAGUAAAUGUGGAAACAGAACAGGACUUACAUUAGAAUAGCUUCCAUUGCUGCUGACUGAAGAAUCCUUGUUCUUCGUAGUUCGUAGUGAUAUCCAUGACUGGAUCUGCUACUUCUCAAAUUGAAACUUGGUCUUGAGAUUGAGAUAAAGAGCAGAGAUAGAGAUUUAUGAAUAGUUCAUCUGAGUUCUUGUUCUUAAUUAUUUAUAUUGAUGAAGCUUUAGACUUUAAGGACUUUUUGACUUUAUCCGCUUGUAGAGAUUCCCUUUCCACAUCUCUUGUAGCUGCAGAUACUUCAUCUCACAAACUGCCAAGAGGCCAAAACCUUUGACAAAUACUUUUUCUUCUUUCUUCCAUGACGUAUGAAAUUUGAGGGUUCUUCAAACUUAUUCCCAGCUUUAACUAAUGGUUAUACGUAUGUAGUUCCUACCUUUUGUUAAAAAAUUGAUCAAUCUCUGAGUUUCGUAAUGUGAUUUUAUAUAGUUCCUUUCGUCUAACACAAGUAACAAAACUAUAUCUAAACCAUGAAAUAUGCCUAUUGAACAAAUAUUAGAUGAUUUCUCAUAAUAUAACAGACAGAUGAUUAGAAAGAAGUGGAUUACUAGACAAAAUCAAAGCAUGAGUUGUAUACUUUUCUGAACACCUGUACUAAACUUUUCAAAGUCUCAAGUACAGAAGAAUCAAACUCAAUUUAUACAUCAAAAAACAACUUUUUUCAAAACACCUGUACUUGUGACUUUGAAAACACAGAAAGUCUAAAGUUUGGAAAAGGUCAAAAUUUGGAAAAACAUGGUGCCAAUAAUUCAUUUCCACAUUUCAUCAUCAGAGGGUUAUGAUUAAAAACUAAUCAGAUAAGAACAUUUAACUGGCAUGACUAUCCAUUUUAUUACAUGUUUUCACUUUUUACCAACGUCGUACAAUCAAUCCCCGUGUGUUCUUUUCUACAAUAUCAACUUUCAAACUGGGAAAGUUUGAGUGAGUUUGAUAUGAUCAAGAGUUUUCUUCAAACCAUACUUGGAAACUGCCUGCUCUCCCACCCUGAACCCAUCUCCAUAGGCUUGUGAAUCAUCCAGUUCGAUUUGGCGUAUGAAACAUUCGCCAAGUUUCUUCUCUAUUUCACUCAGUUUCUUGUCCUUGUUUGAACGUGGAGGUCGCAGGGAAGAAGAUGAACUAGCAGCACCCAUGGCAGUUUCAGAUCCCACAUUGAUUUUGGAUUUCAGCCACAUGUGAGCUAGGACUUGGCAGAUACCUUCUUCAAUUUCUGGUUUUAGAUUCGGAUAACCUUGAAGCCUUAACCAAGCAUGCAUCAUCUCAUGUGCUAGAAUGGAUCCUGUCAACAACCUGUGUAAAAGGAAAUAUGUGUGAAAUCAAUCGCAUGCACUUACUUUCAAAAUGGACGAACCAUUUGUGAAGAUAUGUAAAGGUCUUAGUUGUCCUAACAAAUAGUUUCGAAAUUGUGCCCUAUACUUAACUUGCGUAGAUUAAGUCCUUGGCUACUGAACAAAAAGUGCCAAGCCUUUGAAGACUUAGUUAUGAGAUAUCUGGAUGGUUGGAGGAUCAGGAGACACGUGAUACGUACUUCGAAAACGAGAUAUUAAUCAUAAAAGUGAAUAAUUAUAUAAAAAAAUGCUCGAUGAUCUUUUGUUUGAGAAGAUGGUAGGAAGAGACAAACAUAAUCAGACAUUUUACUAUUUCAGUCUAGACGUAAACAAAAUUAUACUAUCGCGAAGAUACAUAAAAGUUUAUUGUCCUAGCAAACUAUGACAACCCAAAAACUUAAACUUAACAACUUUCUUAUAUGUUCUGAACAAAUAUGGUACCUGGGAAGGCCAUAUAGGAUGAGUAUAGCCGUAACUUCACAAUUACGAACAAGUCUGCGUUGCUUUGUGAGUAACUCAAGGAUUGAACGACUCCCAAUAUGUUUCAUCUCAUGAAUCUACUAGCAAUAAUGAUCAUGAUCAAAGCAAUUCAAUUCAGUCAAAUUCAAAAACAAUUAUUUUAAUAAAACGGUCUUAUAUAUUGAGGUUAAAUAGAGAUAAAGAGAUCGAAAUUCUAACAAUUGGAAUGGUUUGCUCUUCUGACAAGCAGAGCCCACGAGUUUCGGAUAAAUGGUGAUGUCCCUGAUCCAAACAAACGAAUAAAGGAUUGGUGUGACAAAAAGGGUAACAUUCCAUGAAGAACCAAAAGAGAAGCCUCGGUGUCACUUACAUUCUUUUCCCCUUCCAUGGCAUUGUUCAAUGCUUCCCUUUCAACCAUCCCCAAUGGAAUUUCUUGGUUAAGUUUCAUGUUUAAACUUGAGAAGAAUUCUUGUAUCUCAUGGAAGAGAGGCUGGCACUCAUUGGUGUCCAUAAUCUUGAAGCUAGAACAGUUUGGACACAAGCUUCUGCCAUCUUUAAGUAGAAUGUAGUUGAUUCCUUUUGGCUGCAUGAAAGAGUAAGCUCACAUUUGUGAGUAUGGGACAGAGAGAGAAAAGAAAAGAGAGAGAGAAUUUACCUGUAAUCUUUCGCAACUAACACAAAUGGAAGUUCCAUCAGUUGCAUGGGAAGGGCAAUGUUUUUGUUUCCAAAAAGGAUGCUCUCGAAAUUCAACCACCCCAUUACUAUGUGGGAUCUAACAGAAAAAACACAAGUGAAAAAGAAAUGCAGAUGAUGAUGGUAAAGAACAUUCUGCUGUGAUAUCAUCGACUUUGGGCUUACGUCUACAUAGUUUUGUUUUUGAAUCACUGUGCUUGAGUGACUAGUACUGAUGGUUUUUUUUUUCUUUUUUUGAAAGAAACUGCUUCAUUGAGAAGAAAAUGAAAUAAAUACAAGGGCACACAAAAAAAAAAUCCACUAGAAAGACCCAAGAAAGAGAGAAAGAGCUCAAACCUAACUACAAAAGGGGACUCCAAUCCAACCAAAUCAAACCAAGGCCAUACUUACAAAAGAGCCUAUUAACGAACAUUCACUAGGAGGUAUUAAACCUAGCCUCCUUCCAUACCUCCUCACUCGAUCUCUCCACCUCUCUUGAAAUUCUGUUAUUUCUAUCCAUGUACCCCAAAAGAACAGAUAAAAGUUUAGCAUGCUGUAGCACUUUGUUUUUCUCACAAAAAGACGAAAAGAGGAGCACUUCUUCAACCACCUCAUGGAUUUUUUUUCUUACUUGUACAUCUAGGCCAACUAAGUUUUAACUGAUAUGGUACUAUGCUUGAUAUUUUGAUAAGAGAAUCGAUAUGCAAACAUCAAAAUCAUUGAAGACUUGAAAUUACUUACAAAGUUGUUGCAUACAUAGCAUUUAGAAUGCCUCAAAUUCCUUGGACAAGAUGUGUGAUAAGGUCGAUUUUCAAACAUGCAUAACUGUCACAAAUCAUCAGACAUAUAAUCAUCAAAUUUAAGGAUAGAUUACUUAGGAUUCCACAAAUUUAACAAAGCCCAAGAUUUCUUCCCUCCUUUAAAGCUACCUCAUCAUCUUUGAUUAGUUGUUUGCAAGUAUGACAUACGAGACAUUCUAUAUGCCAAACAAUACCAUUAUGUUCGAAAACAUGUUCGCGUAUGCUUAUCUCGGUAUUGCAUCUAGCACAGAUUAUCCUGCAUAAAACAUGCUGUGUCAAAAAAACCACACGAUUAAGUGGUCAAGUUAAACAUGCGUGUGCAUUUCCGUACUAAUUAAGAUGAAGCCUAAACAGGCCAACCAUUGAUAAAACGAAUUUAGAGAGGACAGAGUUUGCAGAAAUUCAAAAGCAAGAGACCUGGUAAAGUUAAAUAUGACAAGUGGAAAGUUUUACUUGGAUGCAGAGGCCAGAAAAGGUCGAGAGGAAGAAGCAUGUGCACUGUUAUUUGAAAGAGAACACUCCAUGACUAAGCUCAGUUGCAUUGCAUUGGCGAGCUCCUCAUCUUCUUCAAUUUGGGAUGUGAUGACUUUCAUCUUUUGUUUCUCUAAAAUGAUAACAUUAUUUAUCAAGACCUUGAACAAACUUUAAUCUACCAAGAUAAAUGCAAAAAAACUUGAAUCUUUAACAUCAUCACUUACCAAUGAUCAAUGCUUCCUGCUUUACAGCUUCCAUUUCUGAGAGCGAUACUGCCUUAGCAUAAUCAACUUCCUCUUGAUCAUCAAAUACGCCACCCUACAGUUUAAUUAAUACAAUAUAACAAAACAAACCACCAUGUUACUAUCAAAAAGUGCCUUCCUUUAGUUUCAUUGAUGUAGAACAAAAUUUGUGACAAAACUGACUUUUGAAAUCAAGACAAUUUCAAUAAAUUAACUCUCGAGAACAACUCGGAAGAUGAUUUCAAAAGUAAUUUUGCAAGCAAUAGAUUUCAGAAGAAAUGAUGAAAAAAAAAGUAAAUAUAUAGAAAGUGUUGCUUAAUUUUACAUUUAAAUGUUGAAACAGGUGCAGAAGUGAGAAGUUCUCAUGUCCACUUCUGCCGUGAUUACUUCUUAAGGCACUUUCAAUAUUGCUUGUCCACUCCAUAGUUUCAGAUGAAAUCAACCUGCAACAAUUCACUAUUUUAUUCAUAGUAUAAAAAAAAAAUUUGAAAUCAAAUCACCAGAUUAAGGAUCUAAUCUCAUUUUUUGAGUUUAGCAUUUAAAACAGGAAUCAAACAAAUCUCAUCAACUUUUUGUAUCUGGUUACACUACAAAUUAAAAAUCAUGACCUUCAAACAUAUUUAAACACAAAUCAAAGUAAUAUUGCCUAUAUCCCUUCACAAUCUAUUAUGUUUAAUGCCCUAAUUGCUGUCUUAACACUCUCUCAAUAUUUCAACACCUUCACUGUUCUCAUAAACAAGACAAAACAAAAAGAUCAUUCAUUAGAAGUACUUCAUAUACAACAAAAAAAAAAAUAGCCCCUCAGUUUCUUUCUAAUAUUUUCCCUUCAAACCACUGUAAAAGUUUCUAAAUUGAUAAAAAAAAAAAAUUCAUAUAAACCAGAUUACCCCCCAACUUGUUUCUUUCUUCUUCUCUUCAGUUAAAGCAGGGGGAAAUGAGAAGAAAAAAAAGGCCAAAACAUUGCCAAGAAGUGAUGUUUUUGCUUAUUUUCUACUUGCCCAUAUAAGUUAAACUUGAAAAUUCAUCAGAAAUGAAAGAACUUUAUAAGAAAAAAAUCAUACCUUCUUUGCUUGAAAUGAAGAUUGAGAUCCUAAGAAGAAGAGAUGAUAUUUAAAAGAAGGUGAUUUCAGUCAAGCGAAAAGAGGGAGAGAGAAAGAAAGAGGAAAUGACUGAAGAAUCUCAAUCAAAGGUAGAGAUUUGAUAAGUUAUAUAUACAAAAUGAGAUCAUAAAGAAGCCAUAAAACAUGCACAUAUGUCCAUAAACUCAUUGAUAAAAAAGGAAACUAGAAAACACAACUAUGAAAAUUAUUUACUUUUAAUAAUCUCAAGAUACAAAUAUGAAAUACUUUCGUUACUUAUCUAGUACAUCUAACCGUAUAAAACUACCGGCGGCCAAAUAAUUUAUUAGAAAGAGAUGGCUAAGAGUAAUAAUUUUUUCAAUGGAAAGAGUCUGUUCAUGGACUGAGAAACAUAUUGAAAAGGAGGUGGGGUAAUGAAAACUACUUGAUUAUUUGUAUUUUUGUGUCUUUUUUUCAAAAGGGAGGGAAAAAGGAGGAAAUUUGUUAAUAAAAGAUAUCCAAUUAUGAGAUUCCAAAAGCUGAGUUUGCCAAUUGAGUUUGGUUUGGCAAAGGACACUCUCACUUACUAUAAUGAAGGUUCCUGGAUGAUGCCUAAAGCCAUACAUAUGAUUUUGUUAUUUUCCACAACUUCAUUUCAUUUGUUUUCUUGUGUUGUGUCUGCAUUCUCUUCCACCAAAAUGUGGAUGAAGUGAUAAAAUUUCACUAUAAAAACAAUAUAAGGAUUAGAACUUCACCAAUAAUAACUUCAACCAAGUACUAAGUCAUUUGAACAAUGUUUAGGAUACCAAUUUGAAAUUGAUUGAUAGCUCACUUGGGAUUUAGGACAUGUGUUAAAAAAAUGAGGAUAAAUAUUAUUUUAAACCUCCAUUUUGCUCGUACAAUUUACAACUUAAUUGUUAAAAUAAACAGCUCUUCCUCACCCCCUAAUGUUUCUAAAGACUUCAACAAUCGACCACUGCCUCCAAUAAUUAACUACUUCGACUACCUUCAAAAUUUAGGGAGAUCAGUAUGUACAAAUCUAUGAGUUUGUUGGUAGGAUUAAGAAUUUGACAAUUUUGUAAAUUAUUAAAUGUAAGCAUUUUUAUAAAGUAAACAUUGUUUAAAGUAUUUUGCAAACACAACAAUUUAAAACCAUGAAAAAAGGGACUUGUGAAAAUUAUACAAUGUUAUAUGGGUUGGGAGGUCCACAUAGCCCAAUAGUAUUGGGUCAAACAAAAAGCCCAAAUAAAUCAAAAUCUUUAAAUUGUUAUUUCCUAAUUCACCCUCCUAGGUUAAACCACCAAUUAUUUCCAAAUUCACUCAAAUUUCAAAAUCAAUUCCUUCAACUCUAGAAAUUACUAGAAUCUUUUUUCUUCUCUCUUCAACAUUACGCAACUAAAGAAUAAAUGUAGAUGAAAACUGAUAUAUUAUGUACUAAAGUAUCGUACAUACAUCUAUGUACUUUAAAUUACAUUUUUUUACUCCAAAUUAACUAUUCAAAGAAACCUUUUACACUUGUCUUGAACAUUUUCUUUAAUAGCAAUCCAGGUAAGGGAAAACUCAACACCACAAAUGUGGAUUAUCAUACAAAAUUAUACAUAUGAAGUGAUACACACGAAUGAAUUUAAAAUGUUUGUGAGGAUGUAUAUAAAAUGUUGCAAUACAUUCAUAUAAUUACUUUUUUUUAAAAAAAAACAUAAAUAUCCCAGAAAGAAAUCAAGUCUUUUAUAUGGAUUAUUUAUGUGUUUAGUUUCCUUUUCUAAUACAAUUGAAUUAGAAAAUUUUGAGUUGGAAUCCUCUUCAACCCUAAAAUAUUUUUAUAAUUUUUUUUUUUUGUAAAAGAGUUAAAAGGAUUCGAAUAACAUACAUCUUGAUCGUUAAUACAUUUACACAUCGACUAUGCUCACUUUAAUAUCUAUAAUGUUAAGUUCAGUUGACCAUCUACUCAUAUUCAAAUUUUAUCCCCACUAUUUAAAAAGGAAAACAUGGGAGGAAGAAAAAAAGAUAACAUUAUAAAAUAAAAAUGUAUUGAAUAUGAUUAUCUUCGUCAAAAAAUAUAGAAAAAUAAGGAAGGGGUAGUUUUAAAAAAUAUCUACAAAAUAGACCAUAUUUGCAAUUUUUUCAUAGAGUUGUAUUUGAAAUUCUAAUAGAUGAAUAAUGUUUAUAAUGUCAAAUAACAUAGAAGAAAAAACCACUUUAAAAUUUAUUUUUAGCACAGUCUGUUGAGAUCAUAUCAUUUAUGACUAUUUCCGAUGUAAAUUAUAUAUAUAUAAAAAUGCAUUAUAAUGUUUGAGAUAAAUAUAAAUAGAAAGGAGAUGAUUAUUAGAAGAAAAAAAAAAGGUCAUUGAAUGGGUUGAUGAUAAAUGAAAAGUAAUUUUUGCAACUUAAUACGUAGAGUUUGGAGUGUUACAAAAAAAAACGUGUUGUAGAAGUAAGUUAUUGUGUAUUUAGUUAUUUAUGAUUAGAAUUGUGGCAUUGAAGAAAUAUAUAAAAUCGAAAAUAGGAAGAAAAUGAACAAAAAAUAGAGGGAAAUUAGAGUGAAUAUGGUUUGAUGGAAAAAUAAAAAAUGAGAAGGUUUUGUUUGUAUGUUAAAUCUCAUUUAUAAUGGAGUGUAUUUCAUAAAGACAAAAUUGAAAAGUUUGUGUUAUUUAAUUUACUUAGAAGAAAAAAAAGGGCAUUGGUUAGGACAGACUGUCACCUGUGGGUUAGGAACACGUGGCAGGGAGGAAAAGAAGAGCCAAUCCAUUUUGGACCACGGUCACCACGUGGACACGGGGCCCACAUAGUGCCGGCAAUGCCCAGGUGGAAGAUAUAUAUGUGUAUCAUCACUCCUGGACCACAUCAUCAUCUCAAAGGGAAAUAAGUAGUGGUCGUUUUCCUCCACGUGGGCCCACAUUUAAAAGGCCAGCCAGCCACCCAGGCCCAACUUUCUCUACCUUCGAAUAUUAUACCACUCCCCCCCUCUUCCCACUUUUCCACCUUUUCUUUCCAUAUAUUAUAUUCCCUUUUUUUUCUUCUUCUUUUUAUAUAUUUCACAAUAUCAACCUAUAUAUACCCUUUUCAAUUCUCUCAAAUAUGUAUUUUAAUAUUUCAAUAUAUAUAUCAUUAAUUCUCGUCUCCAUGAACAAACAAAUUUGAUCAACUUUUUUAAAAUGGAGUGAUCAAUUAGUUUGUUAGCAUCGUCAUUUUUUUUUUUUUGUGAGGCUUCAUAAAUCUCUAUUCUUUCUCGUUAUUGUCCUCAUUAGAGAAAAAUACACGCAAAAAUCAAGCGUUGUCAUUGUCAUAUAUGAAAACAAAUCAAAGAUCUAGAGAUAAGAGAGGAAGAAAUAGAAUGAUAGGUGUGAUUAGAAAUGAAGAAAAAUAAAUACUAAAAGAAUAUAAAAUCUUAAUUGUUUUUUUUUUAAUUUUAAAUACAGUAAUUAUAUUCAAAAUAAUCAAUUAAAUAUAUAAUAACAAUUUUAAGAAAAUUACAAAUACAAACAUUAUAAUUAUUUUUUGUGGAAGGGAUGAAAGUACAUUUUGAGGGAUGUUUGAGUUGAAUAACAUUAUUUGUGUAUUGAAGUGUAAGAGAGUUUGGAAAUAAGAAAAUAAAAGAUAUAUAUUAUGUAUAGAAAACAUGUCCGAGAAUUUUGGUCCCCAUGUUAAUGUAAUAGUAUGAAGAAAGUGACUGAGGGUGAGAAGGACAUGGAGGCCUCUUCAUUUCCCUCACAAAUUCCAAUACAAAACACAAUUCACUAUCAUUUCACAUUCUUCCUAUUAUACUUCUUUUUCCCUCCAAAUUCCCAAUUAUUAACAAAAUCUUACCCUUCUAUGAUUCCAUUCUCACACAUUACUAUUCUUUUCGAUUUAUGUCUAACCUAUCUAUUCCAUCUUCUACAAUCUUAAUAUUGGAUUGAGACAAUAUAUUAUAAUAAUAUCUUCAUUACCGAUUAAGGUCGAUUUCAAAUCUUUUAUGAAUUGAAUUUCUUUUUUCUUUGCAUGAAAUUCCGUUCAUAAACAAAAAUAAACCAUAUCAUAACAAAAUUUAUAAUGGCAAUAACCACAAACAAAGACCUUUAGAACUAAUGAUAAGUAGUUCACACAUGCAUAAACUUAUCUAAUUAAUAAAUUAAUUUUCUUUUAAUUUGGAAAAGAGUAAAAGAAUAUUCAUGAUGCUCACAUCCUAUAUACCUAAGAUACUCUUCAACUAAUAAUGCAGAUUUUUUUUUUUACCAAGUCAUCAAUCAAACAAUCCACAUUUGUGUUGACUGGGCUAUAUAUAUACUUUUAUUAGUACACCUAAUGCAAUGUCAUAUUUUUAUAAAUUAGUUUAGAAAUUUCAUCUGCUAGGACUCAAGAUGGUGACAUCAAAAUACAUUUCUUAAUUAUCUUCUGCACAUACUUUUCCUUUAUCUAAAUUGACACUCAAACUUUUCAUUUUAUUUUGUUUAUAUAUUCACAUAAUACACAACAAGACAAAUUAACCAAUUUUUUUUAUUAAUUGAAUCAAAAGCUCAUUUGAUAUGGUAGUAUAUUAGAUGAAGAAGGUCACUUGUUCAAAUUUUUGUAAUAGCAUAUACUAAACUUUUCUUUAUUUAUUAACCAAGUUAAUAGGUUUAUUGGUGUUUAUAUAUACUCGAGUUGAAAAUUUUAAUCUAUAUAAGUUGUAUUUGAAAUUUGUAAAUAUAAAAAGAAAAGGAUAAAAUAGUAUAUUAAAGGAAUUUUGUAAGUUUUGUUUCAAAAAGGAAAUACUCGUACUAUAUACUAAAGUAAAUUCGACUUUCCAAUUUAUACAAACUUAAACAUAUGGUCAAAAUGUUAAAUAUAUACAUUAUAAAAUAAUGGGUUUGCACACGAAUUCAAAACUUUGAUUUGUAACGUAUUUAAUUUAAUUAUAAGGCAUUGUCCUACGCAUUUUUGGACCACAUGGUAGAAAUUAAAGGAAUAAAUAAUAAUGACAUUUUCUUUUUCUCUCUUGGUUGUGGAGCCAAAACGUUUUGUGUAUAUAUAUAUAUAUUAUUGACCUUGGAUACACCUUUUUUAAGUAUUGCAUUCACACUUGGUAACUAUUAUUUGAAAAUAAAAUGUUUCACAAAAUGAUUUUGAAAAAAAGAUUGAUCUAAUUGCAUGGAAAUUUUAUAUAUCGAUAUGCCAAAAUACAUUUUACAAUUUUGUUUGUUAUAUAUGUUUUCAUAUUCUGUAUUGUUUUGACUAUUAAAUAACCUUGUAAUUAUACUUUUAUAUUCUUUUUUAAAAAAUAAUAUUAUUUGGUAGAAAAAAAAAUUACUGAAAAAUAUUUAUAAAGUAUAAACAAAUUUGAAAUCUAUAAUUGUUUGUUAUUUAAUCUUAGUUCAUUUUCUUUAUAUUAAUUUUAAAAAGACGAGAGAGGAGAGAAUAAAAUUGAAGCAAAUAGUGAGGAGGUUGCUUAGUAGAGGAUCCAUAUGGUUAGGUUAUUUAAAGGUUUAUAAAGUGGUAGUUAUAGCAUAACCAUCAUUAGGUAAGCCUCACUGUUUCUUCCCCCAGAAAGAUAAACAUUUGAUUGUUUUGUUCAUUUCAUAUCCAAACAAGCAAUUUCAAUUUUUGUCUUUCUUUCCGGUUGCAUUUAUUUCAUUAAUAUGUGUCAUCAUUUCAAACCCCUUCCCUCAUUACCAUCACUUUUAUGUAUUUGAUUUAAUUAACUCUAACUAACACAUAUAUAUAUAAUUUAAUUAAGCUCAAUGCCAAAGAUUAUCUACUUUUCCAAACUUUAUAAUAAUAUGUGUGUCUUCCAUUGGCUAUUGACAUGUGGCAUGUGAUUUUAUAUACAUAUAUUAAUAAUCACUUGAUUAACUCACAUAAUAUUCUAUUUAAAAAUCUAUUUGACUAAGAUAUAAAACAAACAAAUCUCUUUUGUUUUCUUCUUCUUUUUUCUCAUUUUCUGUCUCUUAAUAUGUCUACCUAUGCUAGCAAACAUAUAUAAUCUUUUUAAAAACCCAAACCAUACAGUUCACUAUAAUAAUCUUAAUCUCUCUCUUGGAAAUUAAAAUUCAUUUUAACCUUCACUAAAACCAACAAACCCAUCCAGUUAAACACUAAUUUAAUUUAAUUAGGAGAUUACUGUUCGGUAACCAAAAAUCAGAUUAUAUGCUCAAAUUUUUAUUCAUAAAAUAUAUAACCAAACAAAUUCAUAAAAUUUAAGUAGAGAAAGAAACGAUUAGAUUAAACAAAAACUAUUUAAACCCAAUUUUAUUUUUUUCUUAACAAAAAAUCCGUUUAUUUAAAACAAGGCCAUGGAUAAAAGGGUUUCCAUGUUUAAAUUAAAAUACACUUACAUUUCUUGAAUUUUUUAAAGAAAAUUUUUAUUUAUUGAAAGUUGUCAUUUAAGGACAUAAUAUCUAAAGCCUUGCAAAGGAAACUUUGUGUUAAGUACAAUUUUAGAAUGAUAUCUAUCAUCUUUUAGUUAAGGAUAUUUAGCUUAAUCAAUGGAGUAGUGUUUAGUUGAUACAAUACUUUGUUUGUAUGGCUUAUAUUAACUUACACAAACUAAAGUUUAAACAAUCGAUUUAAUUAAUUACUAAUAAAUAAAUCGAGUUUUCUUGAUAUGCCUUUCCAUCAUUUUUUUUUAUGUAUUUAUUGACUCCACUCUCUAUUGAACCUUCCUCUAAAUAUAUAUUGCAAAGUCUAUAACAACAAAUGCAAUUUAUUACCACCACCCUCCAGUCAAACUUAAACUAGUGUCUGUUGCUAUUAUUUAGAAAAUAAGUGUAAUAAUGCUAUUAUUUAGUGAGUUAACUAUUGUUUUGUUUAUGUGACAUUUAGCUUAACUAGUCAUCAUUAUAUGUAUACACAGGAAAUCCAAAAUUGGAUAUAAACAAAGAAUUGUUACAUAGAUUGCCAUGAGUAGCUUUUAAAUAAUCACAAGCUACUUUUUGUUUUACUACAACAAUAUGAUUAUUAUUAUGAAAUGAUAUAUUUGAUAUUAAACAUCUAACCUCUAUGAAUAAAUAGAGAUCAUGCCCAAAUACAACUUAAUUAAACUUACUUUGCCAGAGAAAUCAUCAGUCUCGCUCAACCCUUCACUAAAACAAAGUAAUUAAAUAUUUGAAUAUAUAGGGUUGUAAUAAACUCCCAUUAGUUAUUAUUAUUAUUUAAAAAUUUAUUGACGUUAACUUAUCAUAUAGGCAACAACCUGGAGAUUUAAAUGUAGUGAUUGACUAGUGAAUGGCUACCAUCAAUUAGUUUUUCCAAAUAAUGCACAUAUAAUAUAUAUAUUUAUAUUAUGUAUAUAAAUAUUGUAAUUGGUAGAUAAAUGUCAAAAUACUUGGUUACAAUUAAGGACGUGAUUUUGUUAUAUUUGUGUUGUUGAAUAAUAUUGGUUCCUCGUACCUCAAUCAAAUUUUGUAUACAAACUUCACAUCUUUUCUAAUCAUCAUCUUCAUUUCUUUUAUUAUCUCUCUCAAAAUUGAAUAUUUGUUUCUCUCCACCCAAACAUUUUACUAAAAAAAAAAAUCUUCCACUUGUCACCAACUUCCCCACACAAAAUAUCAUUAUAUAAUUAAAAGCUUAUAUUAAUUAUUACAUAUCGCCUUUCAUUUUAAUCAUUCAUUUUAUCUACCAAUCUCUUCCUCAACCAACACAAUUUAUUUUCUUUCAUAUCCUCUUCACAACCAAUCUUUUCUAUACCUACUUUAAUUUACAUUCUUUAAGCAUUCUUCGUUUUUCAAAUUUAAAUUUGUACUAUAUUUGGCAUUAUUAUUUCUUUUUUAAGAUUAAAACUCUAAAUUGUUUUUUUUUAUAAAAUACAAAAAUGGGAGGAAAAUGGAGAAAAAUGAGCCUACCAUAUCACAAUCUAACUUCCAAUAACAACAAUAACAACUACCCAUAUAUAAAAACAUCAAAAUUUCAAAUUAAUAUUAUUUUUAGAUAAUAAUUAAUAAAGUGAGCCGAAAAAGGGAAAAGAAAAACCGUAAGCAACCGACCGAGAUUAGAGAUGGCAAUAAAAUAAGCCAAUAAAUGACAUACACACGUGCGUACCGACUUUGCACGUGAUGUGGAGUAUGAAAAAUUUUCACUUUUUUGUUUUAAAUAAUAAUAAUAAUAAUAAUUAGGUUUCUUUUUUGAAAGCAUAAUGAAAUUAGGUAUUGGCAAAUGAUGAGGUGUAACUUUCAAGCGUGUGAAGGGAGGGUGGGAUUCACGUGAAGGCCCUACCCCAAAGACUUCACACGUGAGAUUCCAAAGGUUGGGCUGUCAAUCAUCAAUUCGGUUUUUGCAGUUGCUUCUAAUUUUUUCUUAUCUUAAAAUAAUAAUAAUAAUAAAUCUCCUUUUUCAAAAUUUUAGUAUAAGCAUUCUAUAAAAAUCUUACGUCAUUUCCUUUCUAAGGAAAUAAUUAAUCUUAUUCCAUUUCCAUUGCCAUUUCAAAGAAUAAAAACCAAAGGGCAUAUGGAAACCAUCAAUUUGAAGAAAUUUUCAAUUACUGUGAAAUUAAAGAAAUUAUCAUGUAUUAAUUAAUGUUUACAUUAAGUAAUUAAAUUAUUUCUACGUAAUUAGCAUCUGAAAGUUUCCACCAUCCUACCCAUCUUCUCAGAAAAAUAUAUAUAUUAAAAUCUUAUUUGAAUCAUUUUUUUAAAUUUUUUAAAAACUUAUCUAUGUUUUGUUUCUCCUUUCUAUUUUUAUAUUUCUCUUAACAAACAGUAGAAUUUGGCUUAAAUUUUGAUUUUUUCAAAAAUAAAUAACAAGACAAAGAAACUAGGAUGAUGUGAUAGUGUUUAUAAAUUCAAAUUUCAAGAACAAAAACACAAAAUCAAUUAGUUAUCAAAUUAAGCCAAAAAAUACUAGAAAUUAAUAGAAAACAUAAUGAGACUAGCAGUAAUGCUACUUUUUUCCUUAAUAAUUAGAAUUAUACUCUAACCCAUCAUCUUAAACUUUGAGUUGUCUAGUACAUUCAAAUUCUAUUAAAUAAUUACUAGCCUAAUUGGAAUAACUUGUGAAAAAAAAGACUAACAAUGUUCCCUAAAUAUCUUAAUUGAUUGUACAUAACUAAUUUGGGGGCCAUCAUAUUUGAUAUUAAUGAUGAACACAAAUAUAGGAGUUAUUAUUUAUUUGAAUCAAUGAAUGAAAAACUAAAGUUUACUAUAGUUAAGCCCUUUAGAUGUAGAAGCAUAUAUAGGUAAGAAGAAAUAAAUGUAAACAAAGGAUGUACCACAUCAAAAAGGGUGAAGGCAUCUCAUCUCAAAACCCUAAAAAAGGGCACUUAUAUGUUUGCUUUUGGACCACACAUACAUGUCAAACCAAACCCAAUCUUUGUAUUAAUCCUAACAUAUAUAUAUAUAUAUAUCAUAUGCCCUCGUGCUAAUACUUUUAUUUUUCAUCCACUCAAAUGUAGCUCAAUUAUAUAAGAUAUUUUUCAUAUAUAUUAAAAGAACAUUAGUAACUCGAAAUUGUUGAAAUUAAGCAGGUAUGAAAUUCAAAAUAAAAGUAAAAAUAAAAUGGAUUUUUCCAACUAUUUCAUUUUCCAAAAUAAUAAAUAGCAAUGUUCAAAUGAGGUAGGUUUUCUUUUUUGCUUACUAAUUAUUUAUUUUUAUUUUAUGGUGAGGUGAUACUUGUCAGUUUAGUUCACUUCUAUUUCUACCAAUAUUUUACUAGGCUUCCUAAAGAUAUUAGAUAUUAAUAUGUAAGACUGUGUAGCAAAAGACCAAAACACCCCUAUCAAGAAGAAUUGGGUUAGAUGAAAAAUGAAGGUGUUGAGAAGGGUAUAAUGGUAAUUGAGGAGGAGCUAAAUUGUAAUUGGAGGUUUAAGGGCUUUGGGAUGAGUAUGUGUUGUCCCCAUCUUUUAUUAUAUUCGGUUCCCAAAAGAGGUUUGCUAAAAUGACCAUCACGGGUCCAAUUUUAAAGUGGUAUUCUUCCGUAAUUCUAAAUAAAUAUCAAUAUAUAUAUAUAUAUAUAUAUAUAUAUAUAUAUAUAUAUAUAUAUAAUCGAAAUAGAAUUUUAAAUUUAAAUCAUAUUUUCCCACCCAAGUUUUUUACAUUUUUCAUUUUCAAUCAUUGUACUUUUAAAUUUUGGUCCCAAAAUCAUUUUUCUUCUUCUUUAUAAAGGGCAAGGCAAAGGAAAAAUUAAAUAAAAAAACUCAAUAAAUUAAGUAUUGUGAACCAAGUUAACUCGUUUUUUGUUUCCAUGUUUUUAAUUUUGUUAAUGGUUUAUUUUGCUUGUUAGGGUUAAAUGUAUUAUGUGAAGCAAGGAAGGAUGCUCAAACAUCAAUCUAGAAACUAAUCAACCAAAAUCAAGUUAGUUUAAAGAGAUUUCAUACUACACUAUACAAUACCAAUGGUCAAUACUUUGAAAAAGUUGAAAGUUUAUAUAUGUGAAUUGAUUGAUGCCAAUUUGACAUAUACACCCAUAAUUUCAAACAUAUCAAUUAGUACUCGCGCUAUCUUAAAAAUGUUUAUACUACAUACAAUAGUAAAAUUUUAUAACAAAGGUUAAAUGUGUAUUCAUAUGUUUAUGUUAAAUGUUUAUACUACCUACAAUAGCAAAAUUUUAUAACAAAGGUUAAAUGUGUAUUCAUAUGUUUAUAACAUAAACAUAACUUAAUUGAUGUACAAUAUAUAAUAUAAAUCAAAAGGUAUAAAGUUAAAAUCCCUCGUGUCACAUGGGAUUAUAAAUGAACUAAAAAAUAGAUUAGUAUACCUAAUUUAAUACAUACAUGCAUAAACUCAUAAGUAGUUUUUGAUUAUGAGUUGAACUUACUUUAAAGAAAAUAACCGGCUAAUGAUAGUAUUAACUUAACAUUGAAUCAGGGCUUAUUUAGCUUGCUAAUUAAGAUGCAGUCUUGAUCUUACAACAGAAUAAAGAUAAUCAAGGGUAAAAUGUUUAAGAAAAUGGGAGAAGUUAUCCUUAACAUAAUUAACAUUUUAUUUUUUCAAUGAAAUUAGAAUUUUGAUUCUUAUCUCUGUAGCUAUUGCAAAAAUUAAUCUAAAUAUAAAAAAGAGUUUCCAGAGAAAUGGUCAAAAAUAGAAAAAAGAAAAUCCAAAUUAAACAAAUUAUCAAUGGACUAUCAAUUUUUUCUUCCCAAAUGAAUAUGUUGCUUGAGGUAUAAUGAAAAGAAAAGGAGGGAAAAAAAAGAGUAAGACAAAGAAAUAAAUGAAACAAAUAAUUAUUGAUGUCAUUAAAUAGAAAAUACAUUGGAAAGUGUGCUCACACACACACACUCUCUCUCUCUCUCAGAAAAAAAGAAAAGGAAUGUUAAAACAUUACAAAUUUUUAUUACAUUUUUUCUCUUUCCUGAAAAUAAAAUAAACAAACAAAUUCAAAUGAGACAAAUGGAGCAGGAAAAUUAAUAAAUAAAUAAAAAAGAAAAAAAAGGGAAGAUGUAAAAAGAAAGAAGGAAAUGAAGAAGAACAGCAACCCUCUUUUUUUUUUUUGUCUGUGUGAGAGAGAGAGAGAGAGAGAGAGAGAGAGAGAGAUUUUCAGUGAGUUCUUCCUUCUUCUUCUUCCUCAAUUCUUCCCCUAAUUUUAUUCUCUCUCUCUUUUUUCUCAAUAACCAAAACAAAAAGAAAAAAGAAAAUCCAAUUAAUUCUCUUACAACUUUGUCUCUUUUUCCUCUACACUCUUCCCAAUCCAGCAGGUACUCAACUCAUCUCUCUUUUUUUUUUUCUUUUUUUUUGUUGUUGUUCUUGUAAUUUAUGAAUUAUUCAAAUUUGAAUUUGUUUUUUGGUUCAGUUUUCAGGUGUGGGAUUAUUAGUUAAUAUUAUUGUUAUGUGAAGUUCUUGAAUCCGAUGAAGAAGAAGAACAAUAAUUUUAAUAGAAGAAGAAUUAUUAUUAUUGUUGUUAUUAUGUGAUAUGGGAAUCGCAAAAGGUCCAUUAAUUUUGUCCAAUAAGGCAACUAGUUGUGCCAAUUCUUCUAUGUCCCACGAUUAUCAUCAUCAAGGAAUCUUCACCUUCUCUAAUGCCACCAGCUUCGACAAAUCCAAUCCAUCCUCCCUCCCCGCCCAACACAUCCGCCCCGACAAGCUCCGUCUUGAAUCUUUCUCCGACUCCAUCCCUCCACCACCAUCCCACCUCGUCGGAAUAGACGAACACCAUCACCAACAACAACUUCAUCAUGUCUAUGCCUCCCCAUCUAGUGGGGGAACCAUGUUAUCUGACAUGUUCAAUUUCCCUCCCACUACUCCCUCCGCCGCGGCUACUACGGUCGAAUUCUCCGACAAUUUUCGAACUUUACGCCCCCCUAACUCGGCCUCGGCCAUGCAACUUUUCUUGAUGAACCCUCCUCCACCACCACAACCCCAACCACGAUCCCCUUCGCCACCCUCGACUUCCUCCACUCUCCACAUGCUCCUCCCGAACCCACCUGCGAACCCUCUCCAGGGUUUCGAAGGUGGGGUUGGCGUCGGAGACCAAACGACGGCUUUUGGACAAUUCGCUGUCGUGGAAAGUCAAGGUCUUUCACUCUCACUUCACUCUUCUUCCUUACAACACUUGGAGGACGCUGCUGUUGCGAAAGCGGGUGAAUUACGAAUUAGGGAUGGUGGGAUUUUGUAUAAUUAUAACAGCAACAACAAUCAAGUCCAUGGUGAUGGAGGAAGUGGAUCAACAUCCUCAAUUUUGCAAUAUUCUUUUAGGAAUAAUGAGAAUUCUCCUCAUAGCUUUCAAGCUAAUUCACAAAUAAUCAAUAAUCCCAACAACCAUCAAGUUCAAAUUGGAUUUGGGUCAUCUUUAGGAGUUGUCAAUGUGUUGAGGAAUUCAAAAUAUGUCAAACCUGCACAAGAAUUGCUUGAAGAGUUUUGCAGUGUUGGGAAAGUUCAAUUGAAGAAGAACAAGUUCAAUACUAAACCAAACCCCAAUACUGAAUCCGCUACCAACGCCACGGCCACCACUUCCGCCGCAGCUACCGGUGGUUCAACAUCUAAAGAUCAACCUCCCUUAUCGGCUGCUGACAGAAUUGAACAUCAACGGAGAAAGGUCAAACUAUUGUCCAUGCUUGAUGAGGUAAGAAUCUGAUCUCUCUCUUUCUCUCUCUCCCUAUAUAUAUAUAUAUUUAUAUUUCUUCUUCUAAAUUUCACCUAUUUCUUUAUCUCAAAAGUCAAGAACGACACAUAAAAAUUUCAUCUUUUUAUCAAUUAAUUUCUGGGUAUUUGUUAAUUUUAAUUUUUAAUCACUUGAAAAGCCGGCUGAUCAUCGAUUAAUGAUUUUCUCAAAAGAAAAUAAUAAGCUAAGAAAUCCAACCAGGUUUUGUAGGGCUACAUUUCAUAAGAAAUUCUUUUUUUUUAAUCUUUUUCUACAAGAUUUAAUUGGUAUCCACUUUGUAAUCAAGAUAUAUAUGCAGUUGAAACCUACAAUUUUUGGCUUAUGAACCAACAAACAUAAAUAGUAUAUAUAUAUAUAUAUAUUUGUUUAUAAAAUUAAAUAUAUUUAUAUAGUUGACCCAAAUAUAGCAAGCUAGAGAAGCAAUUGAUUUCAUUAAUACAUUAUUAUUAAUCCUUUGUUUUUGGAUUUUUUUUUUGUUAAGGAAAUUCAAACAAAAAGUCUGUCAAUUUGGCUGUAUUUGGAGAAGAAAUUAAACAAUGGCGAGAAACACUAAGGAGAUUAUGUUAAUAAUUAUCCUAUUUCAUCACUCCUUAAUAUUAAUUAAUUAAUGAAUUAAUUACCAUCCAUUGUUUUCGUUUUGUAGCUUGUUUAAGGAGUUCACCAUACUUUAUACAACUAACAUAAAAUAAUUAAUUAAAAACUAAAUCAAACCCAAAUCCAACUCUCCCUAUUUCACUCUACCAAUUCAAACUCAAACCUCCUCCAUUUUAUUCUUUUUUGGUGCAAAUGGAAAGAGACCACACAACAAACAUUAUAUUAAAAUUUUAAAAAUUGAUCUUUAAACCAUUGUCGCACUCAAUAAUCAUUUUUUAUGUGUCUAAUGUAUAAAGAUGAGUAUUGUUCAAAAUAUAUACACCUAUGUAUUAUCAAUUUUGAUCUUUUAUUCAUUUCUUUAACCAUGUAUCCAGGUGGAACGUAGAUAUAACCUAUAUCGUGAGCAAAUGCAGAUGGUAGUGAACUCAUUCGACCUAGUGAUGGGGUUCGGGGCAGCAGCACCAUACACGACGUUGACACAAAAGGCAAUGUCGAGGCACUUUCGGUGCUUGAAAGAUGCAAUAGCUGAGCAGUUAAAGCAGAGCUAUGAGGCGUUAGGGGAGAAAGGAGGGAAUGGAGGGUCAGGAAUAACAAAAGGUGAGACACCAAGAUUGAAACUUCUUGAACAAAGCCUUAGGCAACAAAGGGCUUUCCAUCAAAUGGGGAUGAUGGAACAAGAAGCUUGGAGACCACAGCGUGGCCUUCCUGAACGAUCUGUCAACAUUCUCAGAGCUUGGCUUUUCGAGCAUUUUCUUCAUCCGUACGUAACAUUAUGAUCUAUAAUUACUCUUUUUUCCUUCUUUUUUUUUAAAAUCUGAAAUAACUGCAUGCCCUCCCUUUUUCAUGAUUUCCUAAUUAUUCUUCAAAGUUUGCAUCUUUUCAUGGGUUCAUCAUUGAUUACACCGUAAAGUUGGGGGUUUUAAUGACUGUCAAUUAUAAGUUUUCCAUUAAAAAAAACUACUUUUGUGCAUUUCGGACUACCCUAAUUUUUUUACUUUUUUUUUCUUAUAAACAUUUUUUAGUUUCUUUUGUUUUGUUAUUGUUUGAGCAAGUUGAAAAAGGAUUAGUACAUUUCAGUAUGCACUUAAAUACAUAUUCUUUCUUUAAGUUAUGUCUUGACAAGCUUUAAGAAAAAAAAAUUGGGUGUGGUUUUAUUUUUGGAUUGAUGUGAGUACAUUGGAUGUUGUAUUCAAACUUUAAAAAUUUCACAUCCCUAGAGUCGGUGAUUUUUAUUUCACAUCCCUAGAGUUGGUGAUUUUAAUUUAGCAAAAAAGAAAUAAGUUUUAUAUAGUUGUUACUAAGAAUCAACAAUCUCACAAUAUGUGAAAUUUAAGGAAUCGAACUUUGGUAUGUUUAUAAGAUGAAUGGAUGACUCUUUUCAUCACUAAUAGAUUUUAAAAUGAAAGUUGUAUAAUAUUAUCUAAAUAUAUGAUAUAGAGUCCAUGAAAUUCAAAACAUUCAUUUACUUACCAAUUGAUCUUGAGAUAAGAAUGCAUGCAUAUAUUUUCUAAAAGAUAAGGUAGGUGGUAAGGGUAUAUGGAAAGUGUGAAAUGAUCGAAGAGAAAAAGGUACAAAAAAAAUGGUGAGUGUUAAAUCACAUCCCAAAGAAAUUAAAAAAAAUAGAAAUGAUAAGAUUGAUGUUUGAGAGAAAAAGGACUUUGAUUGUGAUUUUUUAUGGUCUUUUUCUUCAGGUACCCCAGCGACGCAGACAAGCUUCUGUUAGCUCGACAGACUGGUUUGUCCAGAAAUCAGGUUUUUCCUUUUUCUCUUCUCUUCUCUUUCCCUCUACCUUUUUUUAAACCCUCCAUUUUUCUACUUAAUUCACACACCUAUCUAUUCUAUUACAUACCUAAGUUUAAAAAAUUAUUAAUUUCUUGUAUGAAUCUUGAUCUCCACUCAUCUUUGUGCAAGUUUAUGAUAAAAGGAUGAAAUGCAUAAAUAUGAGUAUUUUUAUUUUUACAUGAAAGAAUGAAACAAAACAAGUUCCUUAUGGUAAUAAUGUGAAUGAAAAUGGAAAGUUUCAAACUUUGUUUUUUCCCAUCUGUCUCUUUACCAUAUUAUUCUUUUAUGACAUCAUUGUGUGUGAAAAUGGCCAAAGUGUGAAGGAAGAUCAUAAUAAAAUCCCCAGAUGAAUUGUCCCCUUCGUUUUACGUUUUUGUGUUUUUUUUCCUUCUCUAUUAUCUCAUCUCUUUUAAUGAUACAUAACAUAAUAGUACUGCUAGAUAUGUAGGAGAUUCUUUAAUAAAUUAUUGAGUAUGACAGUCACAUUUCUUCGUAUUACUCCUGUAUAUCUAGGAGUGGCUUGAUUUUUUAUUGCUUUUUUAUAUGAUUGAAAAAUUAUUAAAUGAGAUCGUCAUUUUGACUGCUCCUUAAUAACAAUUGAAUGUAUUGUUUUUCAAUAACCACUAAAUAUAAAUUUAAAGUCUUAAAAUUCAAAAUUGACUGUUAAGACGUCGUUCUCUCUUGAGUUUUUGCUAUAUAUGUGCACAUGAAAAAGCCAAAUUCGUAUGCCAUUAAUGUGUCUCUAUCAACAGAAUUAUUACUCACUGCAUCCCCUUUAUUAAUUUAAUUUUAGAAUUAAAAAGGGAAGAAAAACAUUUGACAUAAUAAUAAGUAAUGUGUUUUGUUUGGUUAUUGAAAAAAAAUUGGCAGGUUUCAAAUUGGUUCAUUAAUGCAAGAGUUCGGUUGUGGAAACCAAUGGUGGAAGAAAUGUACCAACUUGAAGGCAAAGUUGAUACAGAUCAACAAUCACAAGAGGAUACCCCACAAAAUAAUAAUAACAAUAACAGUAAUAAAACACAAAAUAAUGCCAUAAAUCAACAAAAUCCAACCAGCGGCGCCGUGGAAGAAGUAGGGGCGGAGUACACGGCCGGGCACGACUACUCCGAUUUGCAUGAUGUGUGGCGACACGGAAGUAGUGGAUCAGAUCAUCAACAACAUUACGGGACCAUGCCUGAGGAUGUUACUGCGGCGGCUGACAUGAGUCCUGGACCAACACUUAUACGAUUUGGGACCACGAACACUGCCACUGGUGACGUUUCCCUCACGUUAGGCCUCCGCCACGCCGGAAACACCUCCGCCGCCGCCGCCGCUGCCGCUGCCGCUGCCGUGGAUAAUCCUUCUUUCUCUCUCAGAGACUUUGGUCAGUCUUAAGGAGAGGAAGACGGAAGUUAAUUAUUAUUAUUAAAAAUUUCCCACAUUAUUAUAAAAUCACCCCUUUUUUUCUUUUUUUGGUUUCUAUAGAAAAUUAAUUAAUGUAUCAUGGUUGAAUCUCAAUGUACGUAUGUAGCUGCAUUUCGUGUAAUUAGGGCUUUGCAAUUUCUGGGGUUGAUUAAAUUAUUGUUAAUUGUAUAGUAGGUUUUUUUUUUCUUCUUCUUUUCUUAAAUAUCCUUUUUUCCCCUUUUUCUCUGAUCUCUCUUUCUAGGGCUGGUAAAAUGUGAGUGUAAUUUUGUGGAAUAUGAUUUGUUUUGAUAAUCAUUUUGCUAAGUAAGAAAGAUAUGUACUAAGAUAUAAGAUAUUCUAUGAAUGUGUCUGCCUAUUACACUAUCCUUUUGAGCUCUAUGAAUGGCGAAAUUAUAUUAAAUAUAAUUUCUUAAUUUCUAGUCUCCACCUGUAAUUAUUGAACUUGAUUAUAAUUUUCUUUUCUUUUCUUUUUUGAAACAAAAACGUUUUAUUGAUGAAUGAAAUAGAUAAUAAGAAAUCUCUCUCCAAUCGAAUGGGAAGAAAGAUAAAGCUAUGAGAAUUGAAGGAGACCUGAAAAGAAAAAUGCAUGAAGAAGCACAUCAUCAAAAAAUUCUAUAUCGAAGAUAGAAGAUAUAUCACGGAAGAUUCAUCCAUUUCGAAUACUUAAAAGAGUUCAAAAGAAGCUUCGCACAAUAGCCAACAAAAAAAGAUGCUCUACAAAUAUAUAGAGAAGUCAAAUGAUAAAAAACAGAAAAAUAGCAUCUAAAGACAACAUGUAGAUCUUAAGAAAACGAAAUGCAUGUCAAUUACCAUUAAAUUAAUCUCACUUUGGAACCAAUAUUUGUUGGUUAAAAUGAAUAUUAUAAAUAUGUCUACAUGUUGCAUCUAUAUAUAUCAAUAAUGUGUACAAAUCAAUGUCACAUCAAAUCAAUACAUAUUAUACGAUAAAAACUUAUCGCUAAAUGUAUACAUCAUCAUUCUUUAAUGAUUAGAAUAAUUAACCACGUAGAAUAUAUAUAGUUAUAAGGACCAAAAAUAAAAGUAAAAUGUAAAAAGAGAAGAGAUAAAAGUACAUGAAUCAUAGUAUAACCAUAAAUAUAUUACAAACUAGAUAGUUGUCACACUCACAAGAUAAAACAUAUAAAGAGAUAUCAACAACACUUGCAACAGUUUUAUUUUUCCCUUUCAAAGUUUCAAAGAGGUUCUCCAAAUUGGUAGUUUUCUUUUCCAUGAAAGCUACAUUCGUUAUGUUUUUUGGUAUUCCAAUCUUCAUCCACACACAUAUAAUAACAACCAAACACUAUAUAUAUAUAUAUGUAUGUAUAUAUAUUACUGAGUUUUCAUUGACUGCCAUAUAUAUAUAUAUUAAUUUGUCACCAAACCCACCAUAUAUGUUUCCUUAAAUCACAAAACAAUCAUAUGCAAAGCAACAAUAACUUAUUACCUAAUCUAUAUAUAUAUAUGUCUUUGUGUUGCCACUUACUUUUGCUUUUUUUUAUUUCCUCAAAACUUCAAUUAUUUUUAUUUAAUCACUACCUAAACACUAAGCAACCCCCUUUUUUUUCUUUGUUUGGUAGGAUAAUGGAUGUUUAUUGAAGUUAGCUAUCAUUAAUUAAAAAGAUUGAGCUGCUAAUUUAACGAUGGGUAAUUGUAUGCAAUAAGAAAAUGUGUAUUUUUAUAUUUUAUAUUUAAAAAUGUUUUAAUUCAUGGUUACAAUGUUUUGGUUAUAAUACAAAACUUUCUAUUUUGAGAAAAAAAUUAAAAUUGUUUACAGUUAUUAUUAUUAUUAUUAUUCUAAAAAGAGUAUCCUAUAGAGUUUGGUACAACAAAUAGAAUAUGUAUUUAUCAUAUUCAUUUACGAAUGAAAAAUGUAAACUAAACAACUAGUUAGAACAAAGGUCAUCUCGAAGAAGAAGAUAUAAUUUGUAUCGAAACAUCACUAAAAAAACCUCAAUCAAAUUCAAUUUUGAACAUUUAAAGAUUAAAAAAAAAAAAAAAAAAAAGACAACUUAGAACAUUUAUUAUUAUUAAUUAAAAAGAAAUUGAAAAGUCUUAAAUUGGAGUAGUAGUACUGCAUAUGGUUUCCCAAAUGUCAUUUAUUGUGUAUAGGUUUUAUUGUUGUGUAUUUAUUACCAUGUUUUUCAUGUCCAAGAGUUAUAGUUUGGUGUCAUAAAUAAAUCAAUAGAUAAAACCCAAUUGAAAAAAAGAAGAAACAUCAUCUUAUAUUAUAUAGUUGGGAAGGUUAAAAAUAGAGAGUAUAGUACAAAUACUGUACAAAAACACAAAACCCUAGAUGCUGCUACAUUCAAUUUCACAAAAAAUUAAAAUUGAUUUAACCAUUCACUGCAAAAUAUAUUGUAUUCUCUUUUAUAUAAUUGGGAUUUUAUUUGUAUAUGAGUUUCUUACCCAAAUUCAUCUCUUUAAUACCACAGACACAUUGGAUAAAACCAUUCAGCCCUUUUCUCACACCACAAACAACCAAUUUUUCUGCCUCUCUCUCUUUCUUCUAGUAAAGAAUCUCAUCUCUUUUACCGAAAUGUAUUAAUUUUAAAUUUUAAAAUAUCAUCUUCAUUUAUACGAUUUAAAAUUAGUUUAAUUUUAAUUAAAUAACCUGAUUUCAGUAAACCUUAAAUAAAUUUAAGAUCGAUUGUAUAGAGAAUAAAAUUUAAUCAUUAUAUAAUUUAAUCUACUUUUGAUAGCAUUGGAUUUCAUCUCUAUGAUAUAUCAUAUAAAAUUUAAUUUUAAACUUUCAUUUCUCAUCCAUUUAAACUUUAAAGAAAUUAUAGGUAGUCAAAAUUGAAAUUAAAAUGGAUUAAAUUUAAAAUAUAGAUAUAUAUUGCAAUAUUAAUGAAUGAGAUUAAAAACUUGAAAUUAAAAAUGAUAUUACUGUCAAAUAUAAGGUGAAAAUAUGUCUUAAACUUUCUCACCUUUUCAUCUCUACAAUUAUUUAUUUUUUUGAAAAUUCAAGUAGAUGUGACACUGAAUUCAAUAUUUUUGGUGAAAAUUCAUGGAAUUUUGUUUUGGAUUAUAAUUAUUUAUUCAAUGAAUGCAGGUCAGUAGUGUAGUCUUUCUUUGUUUUUAUUUUUACUUUUGAAAAUUUCGUUUUGAAGUUGGGUUGGUCAGAAAUUUAGCUUUUCAUUGAAUGUGAAAUAAAUACCGAGAGAAGUGAGGAGUAAUUAAAAAUGAAUUGAAAUAGAAGAUGAAGGAGAAAUAACAAAAACUGAUGAGUUGUUUAUAUAAAUAUAAUUAGAUAAGGAUUGAAAAGUGAAGGGAUUUGUGUCUGAAUGUGCAAAAAUCAAAUGGUUUAUUUGUCUUGUUCACAAACGUAGCCAUAGGCACGCACCUGGCACGUGGCACAUGCGAAAUGAUUCCAUAUGAUUCCAAACCCAACUAACAAGCCAACAUCUUUUUCCUCUAUUUAAAAUUUUCAUAAUUAUUAUGUUGCUAUUUAUUGUCAUCAUGUUUUGGGCCCGACAUGGGCUGUAUAACCUGGGCUGGGCCGAUAUGGGCCCUCCAUCUCUGACGUAGUCGUCUUCUUCUGGGCCCAAACUUAAUUAGGGCUCUUUAUUAUUCAAUUCUCAACCAGAAACCCACCAUUCUCCAUUGUUUUUCUUUUUCCUACAAAUAUCUAUUUCCACUCUACAUAAAAACAUUUUCUUAAGAUUCUUUUUGCUGUUUUUCUUUUCUUUUUUUUUUUUUUAAUUAUUUCGUCGUGUAAGAUUCAAAUAUCAUUUUGGUUUAGUAAUUCAAAAGGAUGCCCCUUAUGUUUUUGGGGUAAAUAUGGAUGGAAAUGAGAAUAGAAUUAAUUGCUCAUGAGUUGGGUUUUUACAUUGGUGAGGUUUAAACUUCUCUUUUCCUUUUUGCUUUUUUCAUACUUCAGUCUUCCUUUUGUUCAAACUUCCUUUUGUGCCUUUACUUUGAUUUCAAGUAACCUGCUUUCGUGUUUGUUCUUUACUCCCUCCCUCCAAAAACAAAAAAAGGACACUCUAAGAACAACUAUUUUGUAGUCAUGUGUAAGACCCAAGUUAAGAAAAUAGUAAGAUUGUUGGUAUGGUUAUUUGGAGGGGCAUAGUAGAAAGUAGUUAGUAAGAUUGAUCACAAUUUUAGUUAUAAAUACUAAAUAGAGUCCAGGUUGAGAGAAAUGUGUGAAAUAAAUCCCUAGUUGGAAAUAUUGGCACAGACUAGCUGGCUAUGUUAUAUUAUAGUUUCUUCAUUAAUAUUGCAAUAUAUAUCUGUAGUUUAGGGGGCUAUUCUUAUUAGGUGGUAUUCUAACAGAUCGUGUUUAACCUUCUUUCUUUUCUUUUUAUUAUUGAAAUUUGACUAAGAAUUUAACUAUUUUACUUGAAAAAAAUAAAAAAUAAAAUAGAAAACUGAGAAACAAGCCUAAUUUUAAAAAAUCAAAGGGUUAUCAAAUUAGACCUAAAGUUUGUCCAUAACAAAUAUACAGAAAACAAACCGAAAUGUCGAAAUGCCUCAAUCUUGAUGUUACAAAGUAAAUUUCAAUAGCAUAACCUUCCUUUAAAGAAGCAAAAGCAAAAGCAUACAACACUUUGAUUUUCACUUCAAUAAAAGGUGCAUUCAGAGUAUCAAUGCACAUCCACCUUAUACUACUACGUACAAAUUUAACUCACAACAGAGCAGCGAUUCACUUCAUCAACAGCGUUCUCGACUGACCUCGAAAUUCAUUCAACAUAAAUCAUAACUAAGCAAUAAACUCAGCAGCUACCUACAAUGCCCAACAAAUGGUCAGUUUUGUUCACCUUUUGCUCACUGAGAAAUGCAUAUGCUUCAGCAUUACUUUUCUCUAUUUAUAUUCCAUUAUGUAAGUAUCGUGGUGGCAGUGGCAUAUACUCAAGGCUCCAAAUGGGAUGUGAUUGAGGAAUCUUGCUGGUGAAUGCUUCCUUGUGUCUCAACGUAAGGUCGAACAAAUGUCCGACGCCACCAAACCUCAAAUGCUCUUUGGAGGUUUGGGCAACUAUCCCCGACCUUUAGAAAACUGCCUAACCAUGUCAGCAAAAUGCUUUGCUGAUCCUCCAGUGGGAGAGUGAGAAUUGUCCGACCAAUUCCUUCUUCCACAACCUUUCGAUCAAAUGACCCGCAACCGUGUUUUAACCAGCUAUAAUCAUUGAUCAAUGGCUCUAACCAUGUAUGUAACAACAAUUUUCGUGUAUCCUUUGCUGGUAGCAGCUCUCCUUUGCCAAUGCCAACAAAUAGCCUAGCUGUUAUGCAGCUAAUAUGAUAGCGAGAGACGAUAGGCAACUUCGCAUGGAGGGUUGCUAGUUCCUGAUGCUUUGACCACAUUACUGCAAACUCAUCGGCUGCUUGCCUGUCAGCUAAUAUCUCAAGCAACCACGAGAGAUUAUCGGCCUCUAGAGUAAUUUGCUUCAGCACUGGUUCUUUCCUGUCCACUGAUCUGUCAGUAAAAUCUGUUUCAGCUGCCUGCUGGAACAGGAACAAUAGCGACGCCAAGCAGCUUCUACAAGAAGAGUAAAUGAUUUCAUUGCAGAUGUCAGUUGAACUCGCAUUGCUCGAUACACUCUGGUUUUCCCUGAGAAGCCUUAGUACUACCAGUUUCAUUUCACGUCGGCCUCUCUCCUCAUUGCUUCUGAGAACAAGUUCGAUGAUAUGAGAAAGAGUAUCUUUAUGGGGCUUAGACACAUCUGCAGACACUCGUUUCAAUACUGGGCUCACCCCAAUGCCUUCACUUUGAAGUCGUAAGAUGGACGUGACAACCUUUUCUUCUUCUUCGUCACCAACCCAAGGGGCUGCUUCCAAAUAUUCUAGACAUGAAUGCAUGCAUGACUUAAAACCAAGAAAUUCAGCAACCUACAAAACAAGCAUUUUAGGGUAAGUUUUAUGCCAUUACACAUACUUAAAAAAAUUCAUGAUAAUCACAAACGCAAGAUCUUCAAUAUGGCACGGCAGAUGAAUAAGCAAUGACAUACAAUACGCCACAGCUAUGACCUAAACAAUUAAAUAUAACACUACAUGAUAAAACGUUUGUGAGGAUCCUUAAAUUUGAUUCAAAAUUAAAACCACCCCGUUAAAUCUUUCAAUAGAUUUAAGUGUCUUGGAAGUAGCAAGGUACUUCUAGAUGGACCCAUAUCAGCCCCAAUACUGUUCGUCGUCUUCCUCAAGGCUUUUCCUGCAACCCUUGUAUUUUCCAAACUUCAAUUUACAUGCUUUAACAAUUAGAACUGAUUUCUUACUAUAUUUUUCCAACAUUGUUUGAAUACUUGAAAACAGUGUUGAAAUAUUACGUAAACCUACCAACAAAUGCAACUUUGAAGUGGAAUGGAGUAGAAAGUAAGAACAUGUACACAUCACGUAGUGGAUAGGAAAGUCAUUAGGGCAUAAUUCAGGCAUCAAUAAGGAUGUAUUAGUAAUAAGUUAGGAAGAUGGUAACGAAUUUUGGUUAUACACAGCAAGGCAAAAGAGGAAACUAGAUGUUGUUUCAAUGAGUGAUUUGGGGUUUUAGAGAGAUGAAAGAUCAUAAGAAAGGAGGGUUCAUAUACCUCAAAACACUUGGUUUAUCUCGUAAGAUUUCAUCUUUUCUAUUUCAAUAUAGUUUGGUUCUAAUUCUAUAACUAGCUUCUUCAAGGAUUUUAAGAAACAUAUCAGAAGAAGAAAAAAGAAAAAAAGAGAUGACAACGCUUCUCCAUUCCACUAGCCAGACUAAAUGGCAUUCUUUCAACUAUAGCCACUCAACAUCACUUAGCCAUUUUUUUUUCUCCAAAUACUAAAGUUUGAAAAAUUGAGCUAAACAGCAUUCAAGAGAAACACAAUCAUAAUUGUAGUACUUUGAAGGUCUUAAAACUACUUAUCUAAGCUUGCAAGAGGCUCAAUUAAGUGAUUGAUACCCAAGGGUCUAAAGAGUAACGGGUGUACUUCACUUUAAAAAAGAAGCAAGUCACCCACAGAAUCUUAUACUUGCCAACGUUUUCAAUUUGUGAUGGUAUACCUCAAUGAUUCCAUUGAAAAUCUAGCAAGAACUUUCCGUUAACUUCCGCUAUUCAAUAACCAGGAUCGCAACAGGUAACAAACAUCUCAUGCCUUCCUAGACGACAAGAUUCUAUUUAUCAAAAUGUGAUCUAUAAUUUCAAAUCAGGAUUCAGGAAUCAGCAAAAACAAUCAAAUGAAAUAUCAAAAACAUCAUAAGGACAUGAAUCCACAGAAAGACAGAUGGUAUUAUUAAUUUUGUGAUGUUGAAUAUAAGAAUUUGUUUCUUACCUUAAGAAUUCGCAGAACACGAGAAACAUUUUGCUUCAUCAGCCAUUGUUUCAUUUCUUUGCAGUACAUCAAUCCCACGGUUUCAACAUAUAUUUCAACAUCUUCACAAUCACCAAUUUCCAUAGAAGGACCUUCUUGAUCAGCGAGCUUAUUGGCAAAGAAAGAACUAUUAUCUAUCAAAACGUUUUUAUGAACACUCAACUUCACUGAAAAUCCUUGCUUCCCAAGUAAAACGACCUUUAUAUUACUUGUCCCUGGCUCACCGAACUCAAUUGCUAUUUUCCUUGGCAUAUUUUCAACCUUAGGCCGUGAUGUCCUGUGUACAACCUCUGGGGCACUAUAGCCAGAAGCAUCAGCAUUGCCUUUUCGGUCAUCAUCAGAAACAGCAGCCGACCUUGAUCUUGAAAGCGGUGGCUUUCUAUCAGUCACCGGGGUCGAUUUCUUCUCAACAGGAAUCUUUGAGGGAGGGGAGGCAGGUUUGGGCUUGUUUAGGGGAUUUUGACUUUUGAGUGUCUUUUGGAAAACAACAGGAGAAGGACAGCACCAAAAACCUUCUGGGGUUACAGCAAUUGGCACAUUUUUAAUCUUGGUUUGGCCUUGUUCUAAUCUAGCUAACCUUAUUUCAGCCAUUUUUAUUGCUUUAUAGCAGCUUGUUUAACAAUGGGAAAAUGGAUCAUUAAGAACAAAAGAUCCAAAUCACUUCAGGACAGCCACAGAAUUUAUCUAGAUAAGAAAAAGUUGUCUCGAAGAUAAAAGAGAAAAGCAAGUUAUUGGAAACUUACAGCAUCCAACUUUCUGAAUCAAAGACUCCAACCUUUGAACUGAACAACCCCCAUGCACAAAUGGCAGCUCAAACUAAAAUUGAAGCACCCAAUUCAUAAUUUUCUGAUAUAAGAAGAUCAGAUCAGACGAGAGACGAUCUGUAUUCCGGAAAAAGAUGAAACGGAAGAAGAAAUGUAUCUCCAGCCAAUAGCACUUCGUAUUCGUUUCGCCACUUCUCCACAAAUUUGCUUCAGAAUUCUUAGCAUUCAAGCCAUCACCAAGAGAUGCGCAACCUCAUAUGAAAAAAACCUAAAAACUCGAACACAAACGCACUGAAUUUCAUUCGCUAACUUACAGAGUAGAGAAUCUGAAAGCUCCCCAAGACCCAAAACAUCAUCACCAUCUGUCGUAAUACUAUAAUAACAUCAGUGUCAAAGUGAAGAGCUGAGAAUUCUGAGAAAAAACCCACCUCUUAUUCGAAACCAAGAUAGCGUAAUAUGAUUAAAAAGAGAGCUCCAGUGUCGAGCAUCAAGGGAACCAACGAACAAAGCCUUGUAAGUGAAAUAAUUAGCGAAGAGAUGCUUUAACUUUGUGAAUUAAAGAAAAAAUCAGAAGACCCACAAAAGAAAAAAGAAUUGAAAAAGAAGAAAAAGUGAAAUGAAGAGGUGGGUAUGGAUUAUUACUUUAUCUCAAUACCGAUUUGCCUUCAUCUCACUUUUUGAUGAUUGUAUCACCAUGUGGGUCUCUCUGCAAAGCUUUCUCAGUAAUCCAACAGGCACGCCCUUCCUCAUCAUUUCCAAUUCUCAUUUAAAAUUUUCAUUGGGUUUCCAAAUGGCUCUGUUUGUUUGUUGCAUCUGUGGAUAUUCUAGGAAUGCCCCAAAAUGAGAAUGCUCUUUUCUUUCAUUUUUAUUUUGGUGGGUACGGUGGCAGUGACUGAAAUGCCCUUAAGACAUUGCUAAGUUUAAGAGCUCAAAGUGGGAGCAAUAAUGGAGAAGAAGGGUACGUCCAGAAACAGUUCAUUUUUCUUUGAUUUUCUCAGUGAAAGCUACGGAAUUUCACAAGUGUGGUGGGGGGAAGAUGAAGAAAUUUUUUGAGAAUUGAAAUGAAAUGAUGGAGAUUGUCAAAAAUUCCUAACAACAUGCAAAUGUCUUCUUCCGAGCUUCACUCCAUUUCUCUUGUUCUUACUUGGUUUGUUUGUUAACUCUAAUUUAAAAAAUAUAUAUUAAAAACUUGCAGAUCAAGUUCAACACUUUGAUCAAGAUUCAUGAUAGCUAUCAGCUAUGGUCAUAAAAACAGAACCUAUAGGAUCAAUAUAAAUGACUUUGGUGGGCCAAAUUGAAUUAUAUGGAACUUAGAUUAAAGUGUGUAAUGGGUUAGAGAUAUAAAAAUAGUGGCAAAACAUAUAAUCAAAAACACUUUUUAUAAGACAAUAAUGAUGGAUACAUUCUCUCAUUUUUUAUAUAUCUAACAAAAAAUUGUGAUAGGUAUUGUGAGUCGUACUUCUAAGUAUUUUUCUUUUUUAAAACAUCAAGAAUAAAACAAGUUACUAACAUCAUCUUCAAAAGACUAAAAACAUACUUUGUAAAUUUGAAAUUCAAACUUUGGGGAAAAUCUUGUAGGUUGGAAUUUAAAAUAAUUGGGAAGAAACAGCCUUAUCUCCCCCAAAGCAAGCUGAUUUGUGAAAGCUCAAAUUUCAUAAUGCUUUCCUCCAAUCAAAACUUGCUUCUUCUUCUUUUCUUUUCUUUUCUCUAAUUCCAUUUUGGGGCCCAUACUUCUAAGUUAUAAUUAAAAUUCAAAGCUUCUUGAAGAUAUUUGCUAUCUUGAUUUGUUCCUUUUCCUUUCUCUUUCAUUCUUUUUUGAAAUAUAGUUUUUGCAAAUAGAGAUAAAGAGGAAAAACAGAGUAGACAACAUCACCAUCAUGCAAACAGAUCAGAUGACAAAAUAUGAAACAUCGUCUUAGCAAAAGCUUUUUGACUUGUUUUUGCUUUUGAUUUUUAUUUCUCCUUUUAAUUUCUAGGUUUUGUGGUUGAUGAAUUAUAAUGGGACUUUGAGUGCAAUUAUUGAGAGUACUAUUAUUUCUGUUUUUCAUGGAUGUAAGAAAUAAUGAAAUGGGUUUUAAUUAAAUGAAUAUAAUCAUCACAUGCUAUUAUUUCCAUGCCCAUCUUCAACCCACUCUCAUCUUCAACUUUUAUUUUCAUGAAAAUGGGAUCUUUACUUUUAAUAGAUUAUUCUAUAAAUACACGUUUAUAUACUAACUUACCAAGUUAUCCAUAGACCCACUACUACUCCCGAGUCAUCAAAAAAACAAUUAUAGCAUUCAAAAUCAAACUAUCAACUUUGUAAAUGAUAAUUGACGUAUUUACCAUUAAAUUGUAUUUAGAUCGAUGAUAACAAAUUAAAAAGACACUAAUUUCACAAACUUGCUUUAAUUGAAGGUCAAAAAGAGUAAAGGUAAGAUGGGAUCUUUUCUUACCUAGAACGUACUUAUGCUAAAAUUACAAAAAAAAUAGAAAACAAAUGAAAUAUUUUUGUUACUGUGAUCAAAAUUCUACCUUGAAUAAAUCAUACAACAAAUUCUCAAUAUCACAGCAUAUGACACGUUUUAAGUGAAACAAGAAAAAAAGUCACGAGGAUUUAUGUUCAAAAUAGACAAUAUCAUAUUUUUGUGGUGAUAUUUGAACGGGUCGUUAUCUCCUACCAACAUAGACUAGAGAAAGAUCUCUAAUCUUGUAGGGAAAAAAGAACAAAUAUUUGUUCAUUCAAAAUGGUUGGACAAAAUCUCCAUAACUAGUAGUACUAAAAAAGAGGAAUACAAAAUUGAAGCAACUUUGUGUCAUAAUUUAAUUAUGAAGGCAGUUCAUUUAAUGUGUUUAGAAAGAAUAGAAAUAGCAAAAGAGGGUAUUGUGAUUAAUAAAUGGGGUAGGAGAGGGAAAUAAUUGAGUAGUGAUUUGGUGUAAAAAUGGGCCAAUGGUGACUACUCCAAAUGUUACAUAGGUCGUGGCCUCGUUGGCAAACAUUUCCUUUCAACACACUCUUAUUUAAUUUCUAACCUAUGAACCUAAUUACAAACACACCUUUUCACCUUCUUUUUUUCUUCUUCAACUAUAUUUACAUUAACAACAAACCAAGAUUGAAGCGCAAUAUUUAAACAUCUAAUAUUUAGAUGUUUAACAUAUGUCUUAACUAGUUGAGUUAUGUUCAAGUUGUCUUUUCAUUAAAUAAUAUCUUUUCUUGUCAAGAUAAAUUUAGCUAAUUAGAAUACAUCUUUAACAACAUCAAUCGUCACUUUCUAAAGUCUUCCAUCUAGGUCGGCUCAUAAAUGUCAAACCAUUCCAACAUCAUCUAUAGCCAUCCAAUUUUGGUGACCUACUAAGUGUGUUCAUUAGGGCGGGUCUUUACUUGAAAAGUGGUGUCUCCUUCAGUAACAUUAGUAUAUUGUCUUUCCACUUAAUUCUCCUCAUCAUAAAAGACUACAUGACUAGAAGGGGCCACAUCAUGGGGGAAGAAAGGUUGUGAAAGUUGCCUUACUCCAAAAAUAAUGUCUUUCCCUCCCAACCCAUUUGAUGGUAUUAAUAACUACUUUGUUAGCAUGGUUGCAUAGUGUACAUAUGUAUUAUUAUUGUACUCUUAGGACCAUUCAAUUAUUUUCAAAUAUCUUAUCUGUUAUGGUAAUGUAUCUUCAUUUAGUAAUUAAAUGCAUGGUUAUCAUUUAUUUAUGUACACUCCCAAUCGUUAACCUUCAACCGAAACCAUACAAGUGUCUACUUCUUUACGGUUAGUCCUAUCACUAUCUACAUAUAUCAAUAAUUAUGUCAUCUCAAUUCAAUUUAUAUAUUAAAGUGACUAUUGGUUGAUGUGUUAUCCAACCAUUGAAAAAUUCUGGUUUCUAAUUUCCACAGUUAAAGAAUGAUAAACAACAUUCUUUUUUUUUUUUUUUUUGCCAAAGAACUAACGUAGACAACACAUAAGUAAAGGAGUGAAAAGCACUUCAAUACUCUCAAUUUUAAUAGCUUUUAGUUACAUAUAAUUACAGAAUCCCAUAGAAAGCUUUUGGUUUGGUAAAACUACUACAAUUACUGCAAUUUUCAACUGCCUUCUUUCUUUCUUUCUUACUUCCAAUUGAUACAAGUUUUUAACUUUUCUAUUGUUUGAUUCACCUGCCAUUUAUAAGCAAAUGUCACAAACCAUUUGAUAAAAGAAUCUUUUACACUCAAACAAAAACAGAGCAAGGACCAUGCAAAAAGAAUAAUAAUGCUUUUGUUUCCAAAUCAUAGGGCAUUGCAUGCCCAUUCAUGUACCCUUCUAUUUCCAUAUAUAUUCCUUUCUCACUCAUCUUCAUCAUUUUUUAUUAUAUUCUCACUCCUCGAUUUAGUGAAAACUCAUCAUUAUUUGACUACUCAAGAAAUUGAACAAUUUUGUGAAAUCUAAUCGAUCUUAAUUCAAUUGGGAUACCUUACAUUACAAACUUGUUUUAAUUGUCAUACACCCUGAUUAACUGAAGCCCUUUUCAAGUUUUUAAGAUCUGCAUCAAAUUUUCAUUACACUUUGAUUAACAAAACCUUAGAGAUGAUUAGUUAUCAUCUUUCCACCAAACCCAUGUGAGCAAUAUUAAUUUUCAACUGACAAAAGAAACUUUAAGCUACAACUAACACUUAUGGUUUACUUAACCAUAUUUAGACCAAUUUCAAAAGGGCAAGGCGUUGACUAAAAAGGGUUUUUGCUGUUCGAUCGUAUAAGCUUUGGAAAAAGAAGAGAAAAUGGCAACACCCUCCAAAUUAUACAGCAGCUGCUCUGUGUUAAUGGGGUUUUUGUUUGCUUAUUCCACAGCUGUUCAGUUUAACGAUCCUGGUAUUCCAAACCCUUCUCUUCUUUUCUUUCAAUUAACAAACUUGUGAAUCGAAGAUCCGAACUUUUCAAAAUCUCAGGCUGCUUUCUGUUGGUGAUGAUCUGACAACAGAAAAUUUGAUGAAGUUGAAAUUGUGUGUUUGAAUAAUGUAAUUUAGAAAACAAAAGCUUAUUGGAGGGGUUAAACAAUGCAGCAGCUACUUUUAUACUGUUUAAUAAAAGAAUUUAUGAAAUGUAUUUCGAACUCAAAAACAUCACAUGUGGAUUAGUGGAUUUUUCCUGUUACAUGUGCAACCGUUUUCACAGUAAGAGACUAUGAUCCAACUACUCGCUACAGCUUUCAAUUAGAGUAAGUAUUUAGGCAUCAUGAUACAAUCAUAUCACAACUUAACAGAAGUGUAUCAGAGGAGUAUAUACUUUUAGACUUCUACCGUUUAUGUUAGUAUAUUUAUGAUAAUACUAUAAUUGUUAAGGCAUUUCCAAGACAUGUUCCCUGAUACCGCUAUAUAAUUACAAUCUAUCUUUUAUUUAAUGGAUACGGAGCACCAAUGCUUUAGGAAUACGUAUAUUUCAAACGUGUGUCUGACCCGUUAUUCUAAAUUACUGAAGAAAUGUACAUCUUGUAAAAGCCAUUCAAUUACUUUUCCUAAUUCUGAUAUUGACUUGAGCAGAUUGGUAUUUAUGGGUUCCACUUUAUGGCUGUGCUUGUGCUGUGAAUCUUCUCAAAUGGAACGUCUCUUUAGAAGCCAUGAAUAAUGUUGCCAAGGCAGCAAUGGGAGUUGGAAUAUGUUUGUGGGUGAAGGUUGUAGCAGAGGAUUAUAUGAAUGGAAUUGCAGGUUUUCUCUCUCUAGAUUUAAGUGAGAGAGUGGUGAGGGAGAAAACAGGAAGUGGAUUGGUUGUGUGUUCCAUGAUUUUGCAUCUGAUAGCUGCAUCUUCAUCAUCCCCAAAACUUCGUAGAACAAGUAAAAGUAAAAGUAAAAGGGUGUUUCCAAGACAUCUCACAUAUGGUAAGGCUAUAAGCUCAUUCUUCUCUCUUUGGUUACAAAUGGAAAUUAGAGAGGCUAAAAUUAAACCAACAUCAAGGUACGGGAAACAAAAAUCGAAUUUGAAAAAACUAUUUUAAUCUUUGGUAUAAGUUAUGAUUAAUUAGGUAUCGAUAUACUGUUUUAUAAGCCUAAAGAAUAUUUUCAAUUGAUUGCAGGAAUAGCAUGUUUGGUGGCAUUUAGUUAUGGACUUCCCAUUUUCUUCUUCUUGGUGAAAAAGGGCAAAAUGAAAUUCUGAAACAUGUUGCACAAAUCUCACUCUACAAACUUCAAAGGAAUGGAAAGAGUUCUUGAGUUCAACAUUGGUCGAUUUAGUUCAUGUAUUUUUCCAAUUUAUAAUGCAAACUCUCCAUAAAAUUGAUCUGUUCUGAUAUAACAAUUGAAUGAUCUGCCACAAUUGUAAACUAUGAUACACUUUCAAAACAACCCAUCACAACAACCAAAUGAAAAAAGAAAAGAAAAGAAAAGGGGAACAUAUUUAUUCCUAAAACUUCCUUGAAACUUUGGAAAAAAGCAUAUACAAUUUGCUAAACUAAGUUGGUCCAGUAGUAAAAGUAAGAUAAAUCCAUAGCUACAAACUAGAGAAGGUUAGAGGGCAUUGACAUCUUUUCAACCGGAAACAAAUUCCUACGUACAGAAAAUUUGUUUUGCCAUUUUCCUCCGACCUCCAGGGUGAGGGAGUUGUUUGGCUAGACGAGGGAAUAAACCUUAAAACAGUGCAGGAUGUGUGCUCUCAGAACCUCUCCUGCUCGUUGUUCCAAAAUUUAAGGCUCCAGGUCUUUUUCCCUCGAAUGAUAGGUUGAACAUGUUCAUCAAAUAUGACCUCAGCAACUUGAAGAUUCACAGCCACUUCCUACGGGCAGUAGCUCACGUCGGUAAUUGAAUGUCAACUCUUCACCUGUAGCUAUCUGCAGGAAUACAUGUACAGGAGUCUUAAUAUGAGAUUGUGAUUGCUUGUACAGAAUGUUUCUUGGUUAUAUAAAAAGAAGUCGAAAAUCAAACGAAGGUCCUAAACUUGGUUGGUACUAUUAAACCAAGCACUUACAUUCCGGUUAGCAUACAAUCCAAUGUGUGAGCGUUGAUAUUCCAUGCUUUCGACAAGGACUUGGUAAGUUACAAGAUUUGGUGAGCAACUGCAAACGAGAAAGAAAUUCAAUUGUAAAAAAGUAAAUCAGUAGAUCUCUUGAAAAAUACAUGAUACAGCAUUAACUGUCUCUCGAAACUUCACAUUGAAAAGUAACAAGAUGUAUAAUUAAUAUUAGUGUUACCAAUCAGUUAAAUGCAAUUUAGAUAAAUCAAGAAUCUUAUUAUUAAAAAGUUAACGGGUAAAGAACACCACAUGCCUAUUCCAUACAUAAUGUAGCUUGCAUAAAAUAAUAUGUGGUGAAAGUGGUUUUAACGGAACUGAUUAGCAACUUUCUGGAAAUUCAAAAGAAACGAUCCCCAAGCAGAUAAUAAAUAAGCCAGCAAGUUGAUUGGUCUUAAAAUGAUCAUAAAAGUUUCAGAAAUAAACACAGUAAAAUUACCAAAUUUCUGAACGAGUGGAAAGUAUACGUGGAACACAAAUCUCUGCUCACCUGUGAUUUAUAAAUCUCGAAACAUUUCCAUAAUGUGUGGCAUCAAUAAUAUAUCUGGCUGAUCCGUCAACCAAUCUGCUAAUGUCAUUAAUAUGAGCAUCCACAUCCAAGAAAUAGCAGUUGCCUUCGCUGUUAUACCUAAUAAAAGAUAUAUUGGAUCAUAUAUAGAAGAAAAUAUAAAAAAAAUGAUUUUAAAGAGAACUUCAAAAAAAAUGAUACAGACUUGUCACGUCUCCUGUUUGCUUCCUGCUCAUCCAACACCUCCCCAACAUACUCGCAAACAAAUGUACCACGCAUGAUUGCUUCACCAGCCCUCACCGCCCAUCCCUGUUUUGUUUUUACAACUUCAUAUAAGAAACUACUGAAAACAACAGCUGGGAAACUAGAGGCAAUAUACAAGUUAGCAGGAAAAGAAAUAUCAUUGAGAUACAAAAGCGAGAAAUUGCCUUUGUCUCUGUCAUGAAGACUUCAAGUUUCACGUGAACUCCAUUUUGCAACACUCUAUUUGGACAGGCCCUACUACAGCUACACCUUUCAUUACACUCAUAGACAAGGUAACCUUCCUGCAGAAACAAAAAACCCAAUCUGAGACAAAUGAUACAUUAAACGGUAGGAACAAAAUGAAACAUGGUUUUAAAAUUUGAGGAUUUUAAGAACCAAGGACAACAUGUUGCAAUGGUUCAGAGAAGAUGAUUCAACAGCAGAUGAAUUAACAAAAUCAAAACAGACGGCAAGUUUAUUUAGGGUACUUAGACCCAUUCAUAUUCCAUAUAAGGAUGGAAAAAACAAAUCUGUAAUCUUCAAAGUAACAAAUAAGCAUGAGUAAAUUGAAGGGAAAUUAUUCCAAGUGACAAAACUGUAGAAAAUAUUUACAAAUAUGGCAAAAUUUAAAAUAUUUACAAAUAUGGCAAAAUUUUAUAAUCUAUCAAUGAUAGGAUUCUCCCAUUGAUAGAUUAUGAAAUUUUGUUAUAUUUGUAAAUAUUUUGGCUCAUUUUGCUAUAUUUAAAAGAAGCCCUAAAAUUAAGUUAACUUCAUAUGAAAUAUGAAUGUGUCCAUGUACCUUAAAGAAAAAGUUAAACUCAACAAACUAGCAAUUAAAUAAAAAUAAAGUAAGAGAAAGGAGGUAAGAAUAAACAAUAUAAAGAGUGUUGGCAGUAGAUCAAAAACAUUGUUGCAUCAAGAAACGUGACUGUGUUGGCUGGAAAGUAAUGUAAAACAUACCUCCAGAAUAAUUUGACCAUUCUCGUCAUAUGGGAACCUGCGACGCAUGGGAUUCCCAUAAAUGUCCUUUGGGUCUUCGUAAUCACUAUUAAAGAGGUAUACAUGAUCACAUGUUUCGGAAGAACAGAGUAAAUGGGGGCAGGCACAUCCGAACUGCAGACUCUGGACAUGAUGCAAACAUAAAAAUAACUUUACAUUGUGUACGUUGAAAAUUUAUAAUCAUAGUUAGGUUUAGUCAAAAACAAUUCUGGGAAGUAAUAUAAAGGCAUUUAAAACCCUGCCAAAGCCAGAACAAUACAGAUAAUCCUAGAUGGUAUGAAUGGAUAAUGUUGGCCUCUCAACUAAGGAUGCAUAUGCAGAUUGUGCAAGAAAAUUUACACGAGCCCAUUUGGUAGUUAAAUCAUAAUGUGAUAAACAUUAGAAAGAGGUAUAGAAACAUUAAUGAACAAAAACACAAUAGGGAGAACUCGCAUAUAAUCAACACAAUCUUUCAUGUUGAAGAAAGAAAAAAGUUCUUUGACAUCAAGAAUUUAUAUCAGUUUAGCGUUAGCCUUGAGAUAAAAAGUAAUUCAUAGAUAACUACCUCUGUGUCAAUGGCGAGGGAUUUAUCAAGCAACGGUUUCUUAAUGUAGAUAAAAUCCUCCCAAGGCACCGAGUGUCCAACAUUUUGACCAUCAUCAGCUACACAGACCACAGGAACUAAUUCCUGGCCAAAGCUUAUAUCUUCACACAAAACAACAGUCUUUUCCCUAAACUGCUGGCUUGAAAGAUGAUCUUUCCAUUUGCUAUUCACAGGAUCAGGAGUGCAUGCAUUCUUGUUGUCUCCAAAACCAUUUGGAUGAGGCAUCAAAAGAGGAUAUGUCUCACAUCCUUUAGGACAAACAAAUCCCUUCAUAUUCCAGUUAACUUCGCCUUUUUCCCUGCAUAAUUCAACUGCCUUAAGGUAAAAAUACUCUGGUAAUACUCCAAACUUCUGUUCCAGAAGGACUUUAAAUUUGACCUUGCAACAGGCAGAGUGAGCAAUAGACAAAAUGUCAAUAUUGGUAGGAGAUAGUUUUCUUUUCUGAAUCUCAGAAACAAAUGCCUUGGCAACAAUUGAACCUUGGGUUAAUUUACGAGAACUUGCUAACUGGGACACAUGAGGUUGAAGAUCUACACUUCCUGUGCUUAGUAAUUUUGAAGCUUGGAUAUGUUUUUUCAUGCUAGCUUUUGUUCUGUUUCUGAUCCUAUUUGACACACCUGCCUUAGUCUUCUUAAAUCUAGGAUGACCAAGUUUCCCAGACUUUGAUUUAUAAGCAUAAUAAUUAAAUCCCCUCUUUGCAGGUCGAGAGUUAACUAAACCUGGCCCCAUAUGCGCAGCUUGAUGGUGACGACCGAGAUCAGGCAGUAAAUCAAACUUCAAACCACAGAACCUACAGUUAAACUUUCGUAAACCUCCUACAUUCUUGUUGUCAUUUUCCUUAGAAACUAUAUUACGCUGCUUGGGUUUGACUGGGGAAUCCUCACCGGAAGAAGAAUUCUGCCGCCUACUAGAAUUUGACAAUCUAAAAUCAUUCGGAUGAACAGCAACUACAUGUAACCAUAAUUGUUCGGAAUUCCCAAAAUGGCUGCCACAAGGAAUACACUGCAGAAGCAUGCAUUGCUCAACAAAUGGUGCAUGGUGUCUCUCCUGCACAUGAGUUUCUAAAACUUUCUUAUUGGUGAACGAAUCUAGGCAGAUGGCACAAGCAUAACCUCUGAACAACCACUGUGCUUCCUUUUUAUGGCCAUCCAUGAAGUGAGUACUGAGUGCUUGAUCAUCAAGAAAUUCUUCUGAGCAAAUUUUGCAUCUGAUACUCAUAUCAUCACCGCAAUUACCUGAAGUUAAUAAUGCCCCUGAAGUUGCUGCUCCCAUUGAAGGUGAGGAAAGUUGUGCGUCUUCAGCAUCAAAUCCCCAUAUCCUUUUUAAUCUUUCCUUUUCACGACAAACCAAUUUCAAAAAUUGUUCUCCAACUCCCAAAUUUUUAGAAGCUUCAGAAAGUGCCCAUUGAAAUUGAACCUCCAUAGGAACUGGAUUCCUCAGUGAUAAAAUACUUUUAAAAAGCCUGUAAAAUAGCUCACAAGCUUGAUGCAAAUGUAUUUUUGGCUCUUGUGAGUCACAGUCUCUUAAAAGAUCCAUGAAUACUUCCUUUGAUAUUACUCUACUCUUACCAUUUCUCGCCCGUUUAAGCCAGCUAGGUAGGUGUUUUUCACAAUAAAGGGAAUGGCGUUUUGGGCUUUCUAAACAUGGAUUACUGUCAAUAUGUUCGCAAGACCCAAUACAAUGUCGAAGUUCCGAGGCAAUAGAAUCUUUUCCAUGAUGUUCAAGCUUGUCAGACGAGCUGUUUCCAUUAUUGGUCACAUCACCCUCGUCCACCCCAAGGGGAUUUUCUUUAUUACUGGCAUCUUCUACACUAUAAAUGUCUUGUUGCUUCUCAAUAAGCUUAUUUCCAACGGAAGUGGACUCUGUUUUUGUUUCACCCCUUGGCCUGUGCUUCUUACAGAACGAGGAGCCAAACAAGGAUCGAUGCUUGCACCUACUUCCAAGAACAGUAGUACCUUGGCACAUUGGCGAUUCGACAGAACGAGUCUGUUCUUUCUUAUCGGAGUUGCCAGUGAAACGAGAGGACAAAUGAACACAACAGUAAACAUCACCCUCAUUAGCCCACCUAACACACUGCCGUCCCUUGGAUUCAAUAAAAGCUAUGCAUUGUCUGUUCUUAUUGCCAUAAGUUAAGGAUUUUUCUGCAGCAACUUCAGCUCGGGGCAUCAGUUCCACAUCCUUGCAAGAGGCUAGAUCCAAAUUUCCAGUUUGAGCUACAAUCCCAGUCAUUCGGCCAGAUAUAGUAUUGAGUGAACCGGCUGAUGUAGCAAUCUCUCUUGCCUCUCCUUUGUGAGAUUCAGAUGAUAAUUUAGCAUUUAAACUGUUUUGGUUAUUGAAAAAACCAGAAUCAAUAUCAAGAGCCAUAGCUUGAUCUGAGCACUUUGAUUCCAUCAGUGAAGGAUGUGCCUCUGCCCGACGAACUUCAAGCUUGGGUCUCUUCCUGCUAACUUGGAGAGCUGUAGCUAAGAAAGCUUCAACAGUCUGCUGCUCUUUGUCUUUCGUAAUGGGAAGGGUGGGAGAUAUUGAAAACCAUUUUGUAACUUCAUGCUUCCAGGUUUUCCACACAGAACUAAAAGUAGGCUGCACUGGUGCAUCACCGUGAGACUUCACUUUGUCCCACAAAAUAGCAUCAGCCAAUUCCUAAAAAAAUAUAAGGAAAAAGAGAGAGAGAAAGCUAGAUCACUGAAAUGUUUGAUAUAGCAAUAGCUUUUGGUCAUCAAAAUUGGAUAAUUUAAGCUUAUUUAUCAAUACAACAAUUCUCUAUUUCCUAAUUAAGAAAAAAGUUGGGCAGAUCAUACCGUCUCUACAAAAUUACAUGGCACUUGUUGAGAAAUUAUCAGAAAGUUACCACAAAAAAAUUAUCAAAGAGAAUUGGAAGAAGAAGGGGUUCCAUCAAGCUAUUUGAGCUGCUUCAUCAAUAAACACGAUGGAAUAAAAAUAAUCAGUGCGUAAGCAUUACCUCCUUGAGCAUUUCAAUAAUUUCUGCAGUUUGAGCAUUUUGGCAUCGAUGUAUCCAAGAAUGCAAAGAAUUUUGAAGCCAAUCUGAAUUUAUGAAGCACUGCACUAUCAUCUGCAAAGGGAAGAACAUUAGUUUAUCACUAUCCAAAAAAGAAAUCAUUCACGGGAAUACAGGAGCCUACGAGAAGGUGAACCAUAGGGUUCAAACAAUGUUGAAAGAUCUUAAAAAGAAAAACUUUCCCCACUCCCUGAGCAUAGUUGGGACAAACCCUAGAAUAUAAACCUGAACCUUUCAAUCAACUAUGGGUGAUAGAGAAAAAAUGUGGAAUUGAGCCAAACAAAAAGCCUAGAAUCAGAUUUUUGAAAUAUAAUGAGGCUUGGGGGGAUCUGGUUCAUUUUCAUUUCCAUGUUUUUGGAAACAAGGGAUGUUUUAAAUACUUAGAACCCAUGAUACACAAUUAUUGAGUUCACAUUUGAGUAUUAUUUCACAAAUGGUAAUAUUCUUCUACUGUUUUCAGGUUCAAGAUUUCAAAAUUAUGAAAACACAUAAUGAGUUUUCUGAAAAAUGAAACUUCAUAUAUAGAACAUCUGCAAACCCUAGAACAGAUAGACAUAGACCUUGAAUCAAUUUUAUAACUUUAGAACAUUGGGUUAUGCUAAACAAAACUAUUAUUUAUGUUUCCAGAGUUCAACACCACAAUUUUUCAAAGUUCAAAUUCAAAAAUCAGUUUUCAAUUAAUGCUGUUAUAUGCAUUUUCAAAUUUAAGAAAUACAAUAAAUACAAGUCUUUUUCCUGUUGUAUCUAUACACACACACACACACUAAAAUAAAAUUGUUACGAAUCAUGUCCUAAAUAGGACCUAAACAGUCUGACAUGCAUUGCACAAGUCACGUAUGUGAUAUUCACAAGUCAUAUAUGCUAUCCAAAGCUAGAAACAAUUGUUUUCAGAGUCAAACUAAAUAUUUGAAUUAGGCCCAAAACCAGAAAUCAAAAUCAAUUCAGUUUUAACCAGUUUGUACAAAAAGAAGAAGAUGAUUAUUUGGGAGACUAACUGAAUAGCACGGUUUUGUUUUCCUUCUGAAGAAAACCAAGUUGAAGUGAACUGUAUACACUCUAAUUAUUUUGUCAUGUAAUUGCUGAAACUUGUCAGUCACAUCAUAUUUGCACUCAAGUUAUUAGAUGGAAAUGCAUGCCUCUCCAUUAACUUUCCUGUGAAUAACCUAUGCUAGCCUUUUUUAUUUAUUCAUGACCAAUGGAUGCCACAACAAGAGGUAUUUAAGGGCUAGAAAUAUACAGGUGCAUCUGAAUCAGUUUCAGUUUAAAAGACACUCAGAAGCAUAAACUCCCGAUCAGCAAAAAUGGGAAAUAACAAUUCAUGAAAUCAAAAUGAACUUCUUGUCAUUUCCAUCUCAUAUACCAUCAAGAAGAAUAGAAGUUUACAUUCUGCAGCUUUAUGAGCAUUCUACCAAGAUCAGAAUAACCAUUACAGCGUGAAGCUUCCAUGGCAAACUCCUUCCAAGUCACUACAUCACGUGCACUCUCUAUUAGAGCCUACAUCAAUCAAAUUGAACACAGCUCAUAAGUGAACAAGCAAGAAAAUAAAAGCUCAAGUAACUUCAUAACUCAUUGCAAUGAUAAACAGAAUACAGAAGUGUGGACCGCAUACAAACCUCAAGGUGAAAUUGGUCUAUGAUAUUCAGCAUGCCAACAGAAAGUUUUUUCAUUAUAAAUCUCCUUGCAACUUUUACAUCUUCAACCAAUUUUAAGCCAGCUUUGUGGCUCUUGUAAGCAAUAGGCUGAGGAAAUUCUUCAAUAGAACGAACAAGCAAUGCAUCUGCCCAGGAAUAGUUCCUUGUGUGCGGAAAAAAGACCACGAAGUACUUUUUCCUGUCAUGUGUUGGUUUGGCUUUUAGAGUAGAUAAUGGCCAGUCAGCCCUUGCACAUCUAAUUCCUGCCUGCCACUUCCCUCUCCACUAUACUUGGAGAGAAUUUCAAAAUGAAAAUAAAAUCAAAUUAUAAUCCAUUAGUUGCUACAAUACAACAGAAGACACUUUUAGGAACAUGACAAAACAUAUUAAAAUACCGGUAUGUUUGAUAUAAUUAUAAUUUAUAUCGACAAUAUGAACCCAGAGUGAAUGGGAAUGAAGAAACCAACACAAUCUAUGAAGUGAAAAUUGUCUGGAAUGUGGUCCUGUUCGGAACAAAAAUAGGCUGUUGAGAAAUAUCUUGAAAAACAUUUUUUUAGCAUAAUAUUAGUGUUCGUGUUUGAGUAACCAUCCUUUAAAAAUUGUUUUCUGGUUUCAGUUUAGUUUGCCACAUCUAAUGACAUAUUGUUAACUGAUUGAAGUUUUCCUUCCUCGCAAAAUCAUGGUUGUAACAGCGCUUAUUGACUGUUUCCCUCACUUCUCUACUUCAGUGCUAUGUUCUUUUCAUUGAUAAAAAACAUGACGACCAUCAGUAUAGUUAAAUCAAGGAUGGAUUCUGCUUCUACUUCCAACGACAGCAGGAUUUAACCUAACUCAUUCAGGAAUUCCAUCAGCUCCUACAUAGGAGUUACAUCUCUAGUUUUUUCAAUCAUAACCAAUUAUGGUGUACUUGUUUCCCUGAAUUGCUUCCUAAAAAAUAACAUAGGAGCCCUCCAAGAAAUUUUAUGUAUGAACGAACAUCCAAAAAGAAAUCCAAUAAGAUGACUGAUCAAGAGUGUGCAUGAUAAUGCAUCAAAACACAAAUUGCCAAGCAGGAGAGGAUGACUUGAAAAUUGGUAGCUGCUAAAAUGGCUGGAAGUCUAGGAGGACAACUGAACAUAUAAACCACAAACAAGAAGGUGGCCCGUCUUAUACCAAGUUCACUUAAACUUCAAAAGAAGCAUAUGUCCAUUGCCUAACAAUCAUCAUCUGUCAGCAUGUCAUGUUAAUUAUAUUUAUGUUGGAUGUCAUGAGUAAGACUCAAACAAGAACUGAAUAAAUUGAAGUAAUUAGAGUACAUUUGAUUUGAUUUGACAGCAUCAUAGUAACUUUACAAUUUGGAUUAGCAUAGCACAGUAACACUAUGAGUUUGUUGAAUUAGCAGCAUCCCAACAAGAAGAAUAAAAAAAAGAGAUUAAACAUACAUGCAUACUGGAUAAACCCCUAAACUCCCAGAAGAAAUAUUUUUUUUUAAAAAAAAAGUAUUAAUGAAGGAAAAAAUUAUGAACUUUGAGAUUAGGGUAGGGAGAUACCUUCACCCAAAGCGCCACAGAUUCAUCCCCUUCCAACCACAUUGGCUGUGGCCCAGAAACAGACAACUCCUCCGGCUUGCUAUUGGUAGGCAAAUCAUCCUCAAUAGUAUCCACAACUAUACGAGAGUUUUCAGAUGCUAAACAAGAUUCAGUAGAGUAAUUAUCGGUGUUAGCAUCAUCAAAUUCAGAGUCAGGAGAAGCACAAGAUGGCUUUUGGGCAUCCAUGAGAUAGUUAGAAUAUGAAUCCGAACUACAGUGGGUGGAAGCAGGCAAAAAUUGAGGAGGGGGUUGAAAAUCACAUUGGGUGUUAAUUUGAGGGUCCCCAAGAUUCAGCGGUAAGUGAUUGAGUUCAACAUUUGGCAUCGGGGGUUGAAGAUCGAUGCAGUUGUUAGAAGAUUGUCCAUCGUAGAACAAAGAAAUUUUGGUUGCAGAAUCAGAGUGGUGUUGUUGUUCUUCAUCAACAUGUUGAACAUCAGACAAAGGAACCACUUCCAUAAUCGUAACUUAAGCUUCUAAUUUAAUUACCAUUUAUCUUUACUUUACUCCCUUUUCAUCAUUCUUCUUCCCAAAAUACAACCAAAGAAAGAAAAAAAAACUCUAUUUUCCCAUAACCCAAUUUCCCUCAACAGUCUCACGAUUAUGUCUCUAAUUUCUUAUUUCCACUUUUACCCUUUCUUUCUCUUUUUCCUUUCUAAUUUUACCUAUCUCUAACAAGUUCUAUUUAUCCCUUCUUUUUUCUUUUUUCUUUUUUCUUUUUUCUUUUUUCUUUUUUCUUCUCGGUUAUAACUUAUAAAUCACCUUUUCACUCAACCUUAUUUCUUAAUUUUUUUCUUAAUAUAAGUGAGUGUCUCCCUUCAUUUUUUUAAUUAGAUAUUGAGAUUACGUCUCUUUUCCACCGUUAGAUCAAUUCAUGAUGUUAACCUUGUUUAGUUAAGUUUUAUUUUUAUAAUAAAUUAUUUUACAAUCUAAAAUGAUUUAGUUUCUACCUCAAACUAUAUUUUAAUAAAAAAUUUAUAUCUAUAAAUAGAAUAAAUAAAUAAAAUGGAUUAAAAAUUAUAAAAUAUAGUUUAGAUUGUAAUUUUUUUUGCUAUAUUUUAUAAUAGUUAUUAAUUUAUUUUGUUAUAUUUGGUAAUUCUCUAGUAAGAUUUUUUACAUAUUUAAAAAUAUAUGAUUAAAUAUUUUUUUAAUAAAAUAAACUAAAUCUUAUUAUAUUGAUAAAAGAAACUCGAACAAGUGAGAUAAAAUAUGAUUUUUAACUUUGUAUUUGAAUUAUGAGAGAGAAAUUUAAUACUUUUAUUUUCUUAGAAAAAUAUACAUUUAAAAAGGGGGGAAAAUGGAGGUGUAAAAUUUAAGGAACAAAGUGAAAGCCAACUCAAAUAUCAAUGAUGACUUUUUCAAGUAAAUGAACUCUAUUUCCAAUGAUUUUUGUUUUAGGGUUUUUGUUUGAGUUUUUCUACCAUAUUGGAUUUUAAAUUAAGAUACUCGCAUUUUACCCAUCCAUAUCUAACUGCUCCACUUUUAUUUUCUUUUUCUUUUCUACUAUAUUACAUUUUUUUAAUUCUAAUGUUAGAAUAUUGUUAGUAGAGGAAAAUACUUUUUCGGAAGUAAUUUCUAAUUAACAUGAUUUAGAUUAGAGUUUCAAUCUUACUACUUAAAACUUGUCGAAAAUAAAUAAUGAUAAUAAAAUCAAAGAGGGAUUCUAUGUUUUUCUAACUAAGUUAUGCUAGCAUUGUACAUUGAAAAGGAAAGUUCAUUAAUCAUAAAGAUUCCUGGACUAAAAAAACACUGUAGAAAUUAGGGUUUACUAUGACUACAUAAUCCUACUUUAUUUCACACUCAUAGAAUAAUAGGGUGGAAAUUGGUUAAAGUCAGUGAUUUGAAUAAAACCAAAUAACUCAAUCUUAUGCAUGCAUGGUAUAUAAUUUUAAUGAAAUCAUGUCUUAAUAGGGUUCCCAAUCUGAAUGAAAAAGUAUGACUUUAGGCCAACAAUUUCAAAGUCAAAUUAGGGAGAAAAGGUAGGAAUUGGUUAUCUCUCUUAUUCAAUCCUCUAACAUAAACCUCUUAAUGAUAUGUAUAUAAUAGUGGUUGGAGAUCGAUCGACAAUUUUAUAUAUCCUAACAAAAUUUUUAGUAGAAUAUUGUGAAGAAAUGAUCAAAUCUAUCAAUUCUUAGAUAUAAAAAGCCAUGUCAAUUAUCGAUUAACUAAUUAAACUUAUUUUAACCUACAUAAAGAUUAAAGAGUCGAAAAGGUGGAGAAGAAUAUGCAUCUAGAUGAAUGCAAAAAGAUAGCAUGAUUCAACUUGACUUUACAACUAGCAAAAAAAGGAAAAGAAAUGAUUAAAAUGUCAAGCAAAAGUCACAAGAGUGGUAAUUCAUGUACCUUUAUGUAGAGAAAAGUGGGUUUUCCAUUCUUUCUUUUAUUUAGGAAAAGCAUAUUGGUCCAUUGAGGAUAGUAAGUUUGGAUCCAUCCUUUCAUAUAAUUCUAAGGUUUUGUUCCCAAUCUUAUAAGUUGUUUUCAUUGCUGGUAUAAUUUAAAAUAUAAGAUUUAAGUUUUUUUUAUCGGUUAAGUAAUUUAAUCGUGAUUUAAGAGAUUUUGUCUUCAACUCGUUACGUUGUUUUCACGGUAUCCUUUGCAAGUGAAAAGGAGUGUUACUUUAGAUGAUAUAAUAUUAAAUUUAUCUUCACUCAUCAACUUAAGCUUGUUGAUCACAAAUCAAUGAUACAAUAUAGUGCAAGUGAUUUGAAAGGUCAUAUGUUUAAACUCACAAUGUUAUUUUUUUCAAAUUAAAAUUGAUUUUCACUUGUUGAAUCUUCUACGUAUUCCAAUCCGACAGAACAAUAAAAAGUGUACGUUAGAUAAUAUUAUAAUAUUAAAUUUGCUUUCUUUCCUCUUAAAGUUUGUGUCAAAUCGAUAAACCAAUAUUUGAAACGUCAAAUAUUGAUUAGAAGAAGCCCUUGACAUUUCAACAAAUUCAUAAAGAUGAAAGAAAAUCAAAGGAUGUGGUUUUAAAUAAAAGCACCAAUUGAUAACAUCCAAAUAUUUAUAUGUUAGGAGUUUAAGUGUCCUUGUGAUAUCAAUGUUAGGUGUAGCCAUUUAAAACAAUGAAUAAUAUUUUAUCUCUACUAGGUAUGGUGCAUUAUUCUAAUACCAAAAAUAUAAGACACCUAUGUUUCCAUAUAGUACUCUACAAAUAAAACUAACCUAGAGGUCCCUAUGUCAAUAAAUAUAUAUUAUCAUUCACAUUAUGUUGAAUUUAACCAAGAAAAAUCAAUAACCAUUCAUACCAUAUAUAUAUAUAAGGUGUAUAUGUGUAUCAAAAUUGCAUAAUUUCUGGAGAGACUUUCAAAGCCCAAUUGAGUGUGUAAAACGUAAGGAGAAAAUUGUAUGGAUCAUAAUUUUUUUAAAAUUUUGUCCGGGUCGUUAUUCUAUUCAAAUAAAUUAAUAUCGUACACUUGAUAGAUAUUUAAACUUUGAAUUAUAUGUCUAAUAAAUCUUUAAAUUUUUAAAUAUGUUUUUUUAACGUGAAACCAAUUUAACAUUGUCUAAAACUUUUAGAAUUCAUACCACACGAAAUUUAUAAAAGUUUAAUUGAGUUAGUAACAAAACUGCCCAUAAAAUAAAUUAACAAAAUCACAAUUCCAAAAUUAAUACUACAACAAAAUACUUGCAUUAUUGACAAUUUCCAAGAAUGAAACACUCGUUUAAAGUAGGCGUAGCCUGACCGAAACACCCACAAAUAUAAAAAAUUAUUUUCAUUAUCGAUAAAUCAAAGGAUGAAAUACGCUACCGAUUGCCUCCUUAAAUCGAGUGAAGCAAAAGGGAAGGAAUGCUCCAAGUUUGGACCUAAUUCAAUAAAUAAUAUUUUGAAUUUUGUAGUUUUCUCUAAUUUGUCCACAGAGUUUCAUAAUUGAGUUAUACAAAUGUUCACAUGUAAAUUUUUCCCCUUCUUAAGAAAUUAUUUCGUUCCACUCUUUCUACGAAAAGUCAAUUCACCUUUAUUUUAAUUACAACAUAUAUUAUAACUAUAAAAUAAAAAACACAUUCAUAACCAAGUUUAACUUCAGUAGUUUCUAUUUCUAAAAUUAAGUUGCCGAAAUUAUACUUCAUUGGUAUAUACACUACAUUUUAAUACUUUUAAAUAAUCUUAAUCAUAACUGUUUUACAUACACUUAGUCUCCCUCGUUGAGAUGUAAUAUUUAUUUAUUUAGAUGUGAUAUUUAUUUAUUUAUAUCAUUAGUGGUUAUAAUACGAAACUCUUCCAUUAUUAUAUACUUUAGUAGUUGUUAUACACAAGAAAAUGAUGGAGGGAAAGAAAAUAUGAAUUGAAUGUGCUUAAUGAUCUGUCUUCACUGUGAAGACUUUUUAAGAGGAGAAAAAAAAAAAAAAACAAAGUUGAUUUGCAAAACUUCAAUAAAGCCAUUCAUCACUUUUUACCCAUUUUAGUUCGGAAAAUAUUCUUACCCACAUGUGUGAAUAUUCUUUUUCUUUUCAUUAUUGUUUCUUAUGUCCAUAUUUUCUUUAAAUUAACUAGUCAACAAUGAAAAAUUAUUCAUAGAAACCAUAAAAAGAAAGUAGUAAAAUAACAAAAUAUUUAUAAAUAUAACAAAAAAAAAUUAUAGUUAGAAUUAAUAGAGUAUUAAACAAAAGUAUUAUGGGUCAAAUUUUACUUGUAAAUAUUUGUAAGGUAUUAUAUAGAAAUAUUUUUAAAAAUAAUAAAAUAAAUUAAAAUAUUUAUAACCUAUAACAAAAUUUUGGAUUCUACCACGGUAACAUAUCAAAUAGAAUUUGUUAUAAGUUGUAAAUAUGUUGUAAAAUCUACAAUUUUUAAAGAUUUUUCUAUUAUAUAUGUAAUUUUUUUAAAUAUAUGUCUAUAUCUCAAUCUCUUUUUAAUUACAAGUUAAAUUUUAAAUCAUAUCGUUUAACAAUAUUCAAUUUAUUCUAUAUUAUUUGGGCUUUUAACAUAAACAAUUUGUGAAUAACUUGACUAAAACAAACUAUUUUGAAUUUAUAAAUUUGGAAGAAAAUUAAAAUUGAGUGGUAAAUGAAACCUUAUGAAAUUAGUGAAACUAAGUUUAUCGUUUAACCCUUCGAAUUCUCAUUUGAAAUUAAGAUAAAUAUGAGACUUAAAUAGUUUGUUUUUAAUUUUGUAAACUUUUUAUACAUUUGAACUAAAAGAUUUUGAAAGGUAUAUAAAAGAAGCAGACUAAAAUUUUGAUAGAUAUUCAAAAUUUUAGGCUUUUUUUUGUCUUUAAAGAAAAUGGUAUGAGGGUUUGAAUCUAAAGAAUGAUAAAAUAGCAAAAAAUGAUAUAGGAAAGAAGAGAGAAGAAAUAGAGAUAAAUGAAAAAGAGAAAGAGGAUAUGGUAAGAAGAGACAUGUCUUAUUAUAUAGUCAUUUUCUGACAUUAACAUAUGCUGUUGGAGCCAUUAAAAUCCAUUUCUUGUAGAGAGAUAAAGAGAUGCCUUUUGCUGGAUAUGAUUGGCAUUGACUUCAUUGUCCAAAUGCAUUUGGAAAAAGUUUUCAACUUUUCUUUAAUAUUUUUUAUCAUUUAUGUUGGGACUCUAUAACCAUACUUUUCCUCUUUUUAUUUUUUCCACUUUCCCUCACCAACACUCUUCUACCCUCUUUUUCUCCCAUUUUCUUUACUUUUUUCUCUCUAUAACCAAUUCAUUUUCCCCUUAACUUUCUCUUUUAACUUACUUCACUCCAACCUCCCAUCCUUUACAACUAAACCCGAUAUAAUUUAACUUUGACAUGCAAAAAUGUUAUUAACAAUCAAAUUUAUAGUUUGAAUCUCUAUGUCUUUCAGAAAAAGACAAACGAAUGUGUCACCAAAAGCUUUAUAUUAAACUUAGGUAAAUUGUGAAAAAAAGUUGUUAUUUAUUUAAAACAUAUCGUUAUAUUAUAUUUUCACACAUUAUAAACAUUUAAAAACAUACCUAGUAAAAAAAAAAUCGAAAUAUGAAAUGGAGUGGUAAUGACCUAAAACAAAAAUUUAAAUCACCACAUUAUUUUUAUUUUAAGCAAUUACUACAUGAUUCUAAGUGUAAGUUGUGCAUAGAUGUUUCACAAGAUUUCUAUUUAAACAGUGUAAGUUGAGAGUAAUAUGACAACUUUUAAAAGCAUAGGAGUGUUAUGUAAACUAAAGUCAGUUUAGAGUUUAUGUUAUAGUUUAUGGUUAUGUACAUGUGAAAAUGACGAAAUGUUUAUAUUUGAAGUGGAUAAUAUGACAAUAUCGAAAAAAAAAAAAAACUUUUGAAUGAUUGGUUAUCUUAAACUGUUCCAAAUAUUUUUCAUAUGAAUGAACUGUAAAUUAUGUGAAAAUUUAUCACGUGGAGUUGGAGUAAUAACUAUACAAAACCAACGAUUUAAUCAGAUUUUGAAUGUAAAUGAUCAGCAAUUAACCAAUCAGAUUAAUACCCACUUGAUGCCACUACUCAGUUCCCUAGAUUUUGACUUUGAUUUCAACAUUAAACAAUUAAGGACCUAAGACAGAGAUCAGAUUCUUACUUCCCCAUAUCAAUUUCUUCUCUGUUCAUACUCUUUAUCUUUAUAUCUCUCUCUCUCUCUCUAUCUUUAAGAAGUAAAAGGAAAAAAAAAAAAGUCUUCCUUUUAGCCAAACAAGUGAGUGUGACGACAAAAAGAGAGACCUUACCACUCUAACACACGCACAAGCUCCUUCUUUUUCUUUUGUGUAUCGAUGUAAGAGAAGGUCAAUUCUCAGAAAUCACAUUAGUUUUUAUUUUAAAAAUAUAUAAUCAAAUCUCUUUCUUUCUUCCUUUAUUUAAUACUUGAGGAUUCUGUGACAAAAGUUAGUUUCUUGGAUGCUGAAAGACAAUUGUGGGUAUCUCUCCAAAUUUUUCUAAAAUUAAAGGGUAUUUAGACAAAGUGAAACCCCACAAAUCCCUCAUCCCCUUUCUAAGCAUCCAAUGUCUCCUUUAUCCACCCCUUUCAUUCCUUUUGAGGUCACCCCCUACUUUUCUUUUACCUCAACCAUCUGUUUGUUUGCUAGCUUUUACCUCUCAUAUCACCUAAAAUUUUAUAUAUUUUUUUUAAUGGGGUUAUUCUCAAAUCUAUUCUUCUUUUUUUUCUUGAGAAAUGACAAGUUUUUGCAUUUGUAGAUCCAAAAGGGUGUGGAAAUUGCAACCUUUGUCCCAAUGGAUGAAUCUCAAAAUUUCACCAAUGAUGUUUCCUGAGUUUUGAAAAUGAUAUCCACCCACGUGGCCAGUAACAUGUUUUGAUUUCAGUUUUAUUUAGUUUUUUGGUGUUUUUUUUCUUCAUCAGAUCACGAAGCCAAGAAUGAAUUAUUGAAAGAGUAGGUAUUAGGGUACAGAGAAGUUGUGUAAAUUAAGAAUGAAUAAAAUUGUUUAAAAAAUAUAUGGUACAAAAGAGACAAAUGUAAAUGAAACAAAUUACUAUAUAAAGUCAGCAAAGAGACAAAGAAGGAGAGAUCGGUGACCAACUCCCACUGACUUGCCAACAAGAGAAGAGAAUGUGGAAUUUGGGGUCUAAUGUGAGGGAUUCUAUUCCUAACAAUGGCAAAAAAUUGGAAUUAUUGUUAUUUGUUUGUCUGUUUAUUGUAUUUUAUUUGCUUAUAAACAGUCAAAUUAAGCUUAAUUUUCUCCUUGUAAUUGCAUCUUCGGUUUGCGGGUCAUGAAAAGUUGUCCACUUUCUCACCAUUUUGACAUUUAAGGGGUCUACUGAGCAUGAAUGUUUUUGUUAACUUUCUUUUUCUUCUUCAACUUAAAGCUCUCCUCCUAGCCAGCUGCUUUCUUCCCUUUUAAUGCAAAAGCCCUUCAUUUACAAAAGCCAUACUACAUUUUUCAGAGAGUGAAAUCAUCUUCAUUGUCAAGUUCAUUGGUCAAAAAGCUUGGUUUACAUAGCUGCAUUUGUGGGUUUUGUGUAACCCCAUUUCAGCUCUUUUGUUACUAGCUUUCUUCAGUCGCUCGUGUUGUGAACUCGCCCGUAUCAUCAUCGCUUUCUGGUCACUUGCAAAAGCUCUGUGUUCUGCUUAAAUAUUGGGAAUGAAUGAACAAAGAUUUGGAGUUUAGCUUGUGAUUUCUGAAUGCCCUUUUGCUUCAACUUCCUGCUCUGAAUCUGACCGCCUGUGAUCAACUUGUUUGUUUAUGGUAAUGUACCAUUCUUCUUCUUCUUCUUCUUCUUCUUCCCACCCAACUUGUGAUUUACUGUUGGAGCUGAUUCUCAGAUAUGCUGUUUCAAGAGACUGAAAACGGUGCAAAAAUGUUGCAAAAUAGAGAAAUGCCACUGCACAAGCGUUCUAAGAGGUUAGCUUCUGAUGCUGUUCUGGUUUUCUUUUCUUUUAUCCUUGUUUCAUUGAGUGUUUUUGUUAGUUAGUAAUGGUUAUUCCUUUUGUUCUGAAUACUCGAUAUGUGCUCGAACUAGAAUGAGUCCUCAGUUGGUUAAAUAGUAAAAAAGUCUAAGAGUUUGUUUCUGUCGGCUUACCAAACUUUGAAACCAGAGGUCUAAAGAAAACUGCUGUUGGUUCUCUGCUUAUAGAGCUGUAUCUUUUCUUCUUUCUUCUUGUUACUCAAGCUCUGUUUUCUUGAGAUGGGUUUUGGAAACUUUUGACAAUUAGCUUAACUGUUAACUUCGUUCUCUUGUUCUACUUCUUCAGAUCUGAAAUCUCUACACUGUUUCAGUCGUUCUACCUUUUCUGUUAUUGGGUGAGAAUGGUAGAAUAUGUGGACGCAUUGGUUUACUGUUUCAAUUUGGAUUUUGUGGAAUCAUAAUUCAUGACUUAUCUAGAGACUGUAGAAGGGAAAUUAGGUACCUUCCUUUUAUUUUUGCUGAAAAGAUGUAGAUCAUCACAGAUGAAUCUUGGGAUCAUACGGUUUUUGUAGCUCUUGCUUGGUGCAAAUACCGAAUCGUGGCUCAGUUGGGGGUUCAACACCUGAUAUAUUCUGUAUCUUUCUGAUAUGCAUCUUUGUUGCACCAUUUUUUCUAGUUGAUAGAUAUAAUGAUUGGGGGGUUAUGGGUGCUAGAUAGUGGAAUAUUUGCUUUUCCUUUUUGUGUUAAGAGAAUUCACGGAACAUAGUAUCAUUACAUAUUUUUAUAUUAAGUGUAUCCAAAUGGAAUUAAAAGGUUAAUGUCUUGUUUUCUCCAUUUCUAUAUUUUAAUUCUUCUUUUCUCUUUUUGUAUUGUCAGUUUUCUAGACAUGGUCAAGGAUACUGUUGAGGAAGAAGGGUUGGAUAAGUCCUUUGAAGCUUCAAAUCGUAUGAAACUGGUCAGAUUAACUUCUAUGAGCCUUCUACUUCAAAAGAAAUUACAGUUAUUAUUUUCGCCAAAAAAAGAGUUCGUUAGUAUUAACUCACAAGACUAGCCUGCUGCUGAACCUGAACGUAUUCUCAUAUUUUAUGUUUGUUUUUCGGGUUUGAUCUGGUCCUAGGACACGAGCUACUUCAAGGAAUCCAUGAAGACAACGAAGAAAAGCUUCCCAAAAACAAACAUACACUCUUCUCUUAAACAAGAGGUAUAAAAGAAGAUAAACUUUAUAUUCUUCUAACCUUCUUUUGAUAAUUGAUUUUCCAAAUUUCAACACCAAAAACACAAUAAUGUUCACUACAAGGUAAAUUUUAUAGUCCAACACCUUAAAUGAUCACCAUUGUCUUUGUAAACUAUGUAAUGUAGAUUCUUCAGCUUGAAAAGAGAUUGCAAGACCAGUUCAAAGUUCGCACAACGCUCGAAAAUGCAUUAGGAUAUAGAUCCUCUUCUCAAGACAAUACAACCGACAUUGAAGUACCUAAGGUAACUCCUUAAAAUUUUUGGUUCAGCAAAGCUAAUUACGGGGUUCUAUAAAUAAGGUUACUACACAUUGAUGCACAUUAAAAUUUGAAUACAAUCUACUGCAACCUGCUACCAUCUACAUACAUUAUGGGUACAUAUUAAAAGCCACUUUAAUGAUUACAGCCAGCCACCGAGUUGAUCAAAGAGAUCGCAGUAUUGGAACUGGAAGUUUCACAUUUAGAACAAUAUCUUCUCUCUUUGUAUCGAAAAGCAUUUGAUGGACAAAUAUCCUCCACGUCUCCAUCCACCACUGACGAAAAGCUGAAAUCGCCUGUGAACUCCCCAAAAGCCAAAUAUACUGUAAAUUGUGUACCUGACGUUACAUUGAAAAAGGAAGACAAAGCUGUUCAGUCUGGCUACGAUUCUUUUGGAAAUCCUAUAAGGGAAUAUAGCGGAAUUUGUGAAGACAAGCUGUUGGACUCAAGCGUUCGCCGUUGUCAGUCAUCACUAUCACAUUAUUCAGUUUGUUCAAAGAGAAUUUCUCUUCCUGAGGAUUCUUUGGGCCAAGCUGUACGGCCUUGUCUAUCUCAACCGAUGUCCAUGAUGGAGGUAACUGUCCAGUUCAACUUCUGUUUCAUCUCAAUCUUGCUCAGCUGUACUUAUGACAUUCAUCAAAAAAUGAGAACCUCUUCUCUUAACUUAAUGUGGAGCCACAAAAGACAUUUAUCUUAUUGGUGAUAAGCUUAUAUCAUUAUUAAUUGAUUUAUGGUUCCUCUUUUGCAGUUUGCUCAGAAUGCUUCAUCCAAUUUAACCAGUCUAGCAGAGUACCUUGGUACUCAAAUACUGGACCAUGUUCCUGAGAGUGCCAAUCGUCUUUCUGAAGAUAUGGUUAAAUGCAUUUCAGCCAUAUACUGCAAACUUUCAGAUCCUCCUUCAACACAUCAUGGUCUUUCCUCUCCAGUUUCAUCGUCUUCGCCAAUCAGCGCAUUCUCUCCUCAAGAUCAGUUUGACAUGUUGAGCCCCGGGUUCAAGAACAAUCCAUCAUUUGAUAUACGGUUGGAUAAUCCUUUUCAUGUGGAAGGUCUUAAAGAGUUCAGUGGCCCGUACAGCACAAUGGUUGAAGUGCCAUGGAUUUAUAGGGAUAGUCAGAAACUGAUCGAAAUCGAACACUUGUUACAAGAUUUCAGGUAAGCAACAUGUGGAUGGAUGUUCAUUUGUCAUAUUACUAGAAGAUUUUGUUUGUAUGGAAUGUGAUUGCUUAGGCAUCUUAUGUCUACUGGUUAUACUUAUACGUUGUCAGGUCACUUAUAUCCAAGUUAGAGGAAGUCGAUCCGAGGAAGUUAAAUCAUGAGGAAAAGCUAGCAUUCUGGACCAACGUACAUAAUUCCCUGAUGAUGCAUGUAAUGAUUUUUCAUAACUGUAAACGGUUGGAAUUCUUUGUCUCUUUAGUUCUUCUAAGACAAGCAGACUAAUGAUAUGUACUUUGCUUUUCUGAAAGGCAUACUUGGCUUAUGGUAUACCACAAAACAAUAUGAAGAAGGUGUUUGUUCUCUUGAAGGUACUACAAAUCUUGUUGAUACAGUACAAUUUGUAAAUUCUGUAUGAUUAUCAUGAUCUUACUUCUGCCUCCAUUCAGGCUGCAUAUAACAUAGGAGGUCAAACAAUCAGUGUUGACACCAUACAAAGUUCAAUACUUGGGUGCCGAGUGCCUCGGCCUGGACAGGUAUGCCAUAGGGGAAAAAUAAGAGUCGUCACGAACAAAGAUGCAGAUAUAGUUUCUUAGUCUCUAUGAUCAAUAUAAAGAGAUUAGUUUCUUCUGUUUGCAGUGGCUCUCUCUUCUUAUUCCCUCGAAGUCGAAACUGAAAAACGGAGAUAAACGACUAGCCUACAAAAUCCACCAGUCAGAACCCCUUUUACAUUUUGCACUUUGUACAGGCUGCCACUCGGAUCCUGCGGUAUUGAAAAACAUCUUUGAAAAGUUUGUUGUUUUGUUUCUUACACGAACGAACCAUACGUGGUCUUGUAUUCUAACUAAACUUUCCCAUCUUCCAGGUUCGUGUUUACACUCCCAAAACAGUUCUGCAGGAGCUAGAGACAGCAAAAGAAGAAUACAUUCGAGCCACAUUCGGCAUACGCAAGGACAAAAAAGUUGUUUUACCGAAGAUCGUUGAGUCAUUUGCAAAAGAAUCAAGAUUGUGCACAGCUGGUAUGAUGGAAAUGAUCCAAAAGUCUUUGCCUGAAUCUCUAAGAAGAAGUGUUUUGAAAUGUCAAAACGGGAAGUCCCGUAAGAACAUUGAGUGGAUAUCGCACAACUUCACUUUUCGGUAUUUAAUAUCUAGGGAAAUGGUGAAGUGAAACAGCUGCUGCCCAAAUGCAACUCUCCUCGAAUGGUGUAGAAAAAAUGGAAGGGUUACAUAUUUUCUUCCUUCUGUACAUAGAAGUUCACUAAACCAGGUUGGGCGAAGAGCAGCAUAAGGCAGCAUCCUGAGGCAUUCCACCUUUUGGAUUUUGUUAUCUUAAAGUUGUGUAUGUGAUUGUUGUUACCAUCUACAUUUCAAAUUUUUUGUUGUAAAUAAAUUUAAGUUUGAAGAUCAGUUCAUUUCUGAUAAAAUCCUUAGUAUAGAUCAGUUCAUUGGUUCAGAUGUUCAAUUUCAAUUCCAAAAGACCCAUGUCAAGGAAGAAAGUACGGCGCAGAAAAUGAACAAACCAUGUUACCACCGUAUCAAUCUGUUUCCUUAUCAAAUCUCGAAUCUUUUCACAAUAUCAAACUAAAAACCUGCUUCAAAAUGCUUAAUACAAUAAUUACUUAAUCAACUUCUAAUUGUGUCUUUACCAUAGUUAUUGUGAUUAAUGUCAUAAUCAAUUUUUUUAAAAAAAAGUUCAAGACAGGAUGUGGGAAAAAGUGAACUAAUAAAAUGUCUUAACUAAGCCCAAAUUUGUUAACAUGGUUUGGUUUAGCUUGUGUAUGUAUUGAGAAGUUUAUCGGACCUGCAGUCCUAGUUGAACCCAAUUCCGAUCCAUAUUUGUAAAUCGGAGCCCAAUUUCUCUCUAUAUUGGGCCUGCCAUCCGGUUAAGCCCAAAUUUGAGUCAGUAGUGGGCCUUGGAAACAUGAUUUUGGGGUUGAAUUUGCAAGUGAAUGGCACUCCAUUAUUUGAGAGGAUUUAUUUAAAAUUAAGAAAGUAGAAGUUUUGUGAAAAAAAUUAUUUGUUUUGGUUUAAAAUACAAGUGUUUAGUUUUUUUUUUAAAAGCAUAAUUUAUAAAAUAUAAAAUAAAAGAUUAUUAAACGACUUUUAAAUUUUAAUUUUCCUUAAUCCACUUGCAAAUUUCAAUAAUUGAUUUAUUCAAUUUAGAUACAUUAUGUUAACUAUAGUUACUAUAUAUAAUGUAGUUUUUAGCUACUUUCUUUCUUAAUGUUCACUACUUCAAUAUAACUAAUACUAAACCUCUAGCUAUUUGGUUGUUUCUUUUACUCAAAAGCAAUAUACAAGAUUGAAAUUUAUUAAACAUUUUCUUUGGUAGAAUAAAUAAAGAGGAGAAAAAGGGUAUAUUGUAAAUGUAUAUUCAUAUUUGGGGUUUGUUCAAUAAUAAAAUAGCAUAGGAUUCCAAUUGGAUAAGGAUAUUAUCAUCUUCAUUUCUUCCUUGAGAUUCAAUUUAGAUAAACAUUACAACCAUCAACAAAGGUUGUUGUUACUCAAGUAAAAUAUUUGACUUACAACUUUUGUUCUUGGCCAAAAUAACAAUAAUAAUAAUCCAAACUCCUAAUUUGGCAACCAAUUUUAAUAAUUGGAUUCAACAAUAAACAAAGUUUUGUUUUACAAGCAACUAUUCUACCAAAAAAAUAAUUGGAUAAACCAUAACUUUUUUACUAUAUCUUUCUUUCUAACUAAGUAAUGAUGAUAGAAAUUAGAAGUUUGUAUCUCUCUUACUCUAAAUGGAUUAGAUAAGUAAAUUUUAAGAAUAAUACAAAUUGGGAAAAUAGUUUAUUUUUUAAUAGAAAAAGUAAAACAACGAUUGGAAAUAAUAUGCCUAUUAUUUUGUGUUAAUAAUACAAAACUUGAUAUUGCUUUUCAAAGCACAUCCCAUCAACAUGGGACUAUAUUCUUUUAUUCUCUCUCUCUUUUUCUUCUUCUUUUUUUGUUCUUUUCCAAAUUAAAUCUUGAAAUUUAAGUAGCAUACUUUUAAUAAAAAAAUUGUAAAAAAUAGUCAAUUGGAUAAAAUAUUACAAACAAAGUAUAAUGAAUUUUUGUGUUCGAGAAAGGGUGAAUAAUUUGUUUUCUUAUUAUUGUUAUUUAAAAAAAAACCCUUUUAAUAUUUGUAAUUCAUCUUAAAUUUUAUUUAUUAAUUAAGAUUUAACUAGUGGAUGAUUAUGAUUGAAUGAGACUAAUUUAUACUUAUGAAUAUUGUUUUUCUUUUCUUUUGAUAAUUUCAUUUCUCUCUCUCGUUAAGAGUACAUAUGAGUGAUUUUCAUAGUUAAAUUUGAAUAUGUAUAUGUGAUUUAAUUUUGUUGGUUUUAUCCGUUUAGUGUCAUUCAAUAUAGAAAUAUUGAAAGGGUAAUUUUUAAAUCUAAAAGUGAUUUUAGUGAAUCACUCCAAAAAUGUCUUAUAUAAACCUCAAUUUUUUUAAUUCUAUACAUAUAAGAAAAAAAGGUUUGUGUUGGUGAAAAUAACAUAAAUUCAUAUUUCGCUAAUUAAAACGAUCCUUUCAGGUGUCUCAAAUUCAACAUUAUUCAGUACAAAAUUACAAAAGAAAGUAGAAAUUAGAUUCAAGUUUAUCAAUUAAGUAUGGUUUGAUUUUCCUAUCUAUUUGAGUAUAAAUUGUUGCAAUUUUUUUCUUCAAAAAAGAACUAUCAAAAGUAACCCAGUAAUUACUUUUUCUUGGAAGAUUUUGUUUUUCUUUAAUUUUCUUUUUAAAGACAGAAACAAAAACAUAAACUUCUCGUAUAAAUAAUUAAUAUUUACUUAAAAUUAUUGUGAGAAUAAAACAAAAAAGAAGAAAAGGAAGCAGUAAUUUAGGUGAGGCAUAGGUGAAUAGAUUUCAUAUAAUUUUUUUUUUAAUCGAUGGGAGAUAUUAUAAAAUUAGUAAAGGGAAUCUUAGAAAUGAAGAAUGAUUUGUUAGAUAGAUUAAAAUGAUGUAUGAAAUGGAAGGGUACAAUUAGUGUUAGAGGAAAGAAGAAAAAUUGCUAAAAUUGGGAAUAAUAUAAGCUGGAUCAUUGCCUUUUUUUUUCUUCUUUCUUUAUUAUUGUUAUUUUAUAAAACUUUUGUUCCUUUUUCCUUUAUUUCAUAAAAUUCCAAAGAACAGUGCUGCAAUACCCAUUUAAUUGCAAAACACACAGAUGAAUGUAAUAUAUAUAUAUUAUUAUAGAUCCAUCCAAAAUUGAAUUUGGGUGGUGGGAAAUGUUUGCAUCCAAUGUGUGAGGUAUGAGCACUGCCAUCCACAAACCAUUGCUUUAAUUGUUUAUAGUGAAUUAAUAUGGGAUCAUUUUAUAUUUUGUAUUUGUUUCUUUGUUUUAUUAUAAAGGAAAAAAAUAAAUUACUGAAAAGAAAAACAAAUUGGACAAUAUACAUAGACUUCAUAAUUGAUUUCUUUUUUUGAAUGGUAAAUAGUUUUUUUAUUAUUAUUUUUGAAAAAAUUCCUAAAAAGUGUUAUUGGAAAUAUUAUUUAAAGAAAACUAUUGGUAUACAGACUACUAAAAAUAUUUUUCUAUCAAAUAUAUUAAAAUUAACUUUUAUAGUUAAAAUAUAAAAUAAAACGAUUUUAAAAUAAAUUGCAAAUCUAAGUAUUACAUUCAAAAUAUUUUCAUUAUAUAACAAUAUUUUAAAAAUAUUAUUUUGCUACUUUUUAAAAGAAGGGUAAGGCUUCAUCAAAUAAUCAUUUCAAAAUUUAUAGUAGCUCCAUUUUAUUUAUUUUACAUUGGAUUUAAUAUAAAUGAAAAAAGGUAGCAUUUUAGUGAAAAAAAUGCAUAUAAAUUAAGGGUAACAUUUGAUGCAUUAUAUACUUUCAAUUAAUUAUUGUAACUGUACAUCAUUUUUCUAAUAUUAGCCGGAAUUUGAAACUAAAUAACUUACAAGGAUAAUUUGAAUGUAGAAAAAAAAUGUAUAUAAUUAUAAAGGAAAACAUAGAUUAUGUAGAAAUAAAAGAGUAUAUAAUAAAAUUUAAUGAAUGUAUUCCCCAUGCCAUGCCAAAGCACACCAAAACAAACAAUGGUACAAUGCCACUGUUUCACCAACGCAUAACCCACUCUGAAUCAUUACAUUUCCACCCAUCCUCAAAUUCCCAAAUAUUCAAUAAAUGUUUUUCUUCCUUUUUAUUAAUUUAAAUAUUACCAUCAUUUUAUUUACCAAUCAUUAAAUCAAAUUCUCAUAUUACACACCUACAUUUUAUAUCAUAUCGUUGAUUAUGAUGCCUUUUUCUUUAAAAUUUAUAAAAUAAAUUUUAUUAUAUUUUCGUAAAUUUUUAUACAAUAUAACAAAAAAUUUGAUAUAUAUUGAAGUAAGGACAAUGAAAAAACAAAAAACACAUUUUUUUUUAUAUCAUAUUUACGGGAGCAAAGCCAAUAAGCCUAAAUAAUUUAAAAGAAAAUUUUAAAAAACAUAAAAAAUAUAAAUAUAUUAAAUUGAUUGAAAAUAAAGCACGUGGAAAUGCUUAGGAGACAAGCAUCACCAACUUGCACAUAAUUAAUGAUAGGUCAAGUCAAUGUCAAGUUGACCGUAUAUUCAUUUUUCCCUUCCUAAUUAUUAUCAUUAUUAUUGUUUUCGUUAUAUAACAUAUAUAGUCUUUCCUAUUAUUAUAUAUUAUAUCUAUAUUCUUUCAACACAUAGAGAAUCCUAGGAAUUAAUUAUUAAACCAAAAUUUAACUCCUCCUUCAAUUAUUCCUUACUUUAUUACGUUUAAAAUUUUGUGGUUUUUUUCAACAAUAAUAAAAAAAUACAAUUUGAUCAAAUUUUGUUUUAGAGUUUGGAAUGAAUUUUCAAGUAGCAACGGACAAAAAAGAAAAAAGAAAAAGCUAAUUGGUUUUCUUUUUCUAAAAAAGCAGAGUUUACAAGUUUACGGUAAAAAUCAAUUAAGUUGAAAAUUUUGAAAUCGUUGGAUGAUAAAAAAUUAUAUUAAAUAAUUGAUAUUUUAAGUUGAAUAUUAGGAGCGUAACGUACCUUUUAACAUUGUUUUUAUUAAUUGGGGGUACGAAAACCCAGAUUUAGUAAAAUUUUAGUUGGAGUAAUCACCAAUUUAAUUUUGAAAACAUAAAUUAGGAAAGAUUUUUUGGUUAAAUAAAUGUGUAUGUAUGUAUAUAAUAAUAAAGAAUAUUGAAUACUAAAUGAAGGGAUUUUGUGAUAUAGGAAACUACUGAUUUACCCUUAUGUAUGCCACAAAUAUUGGGUUCCACUUCCGUCUACAGCUGUCUUCUGACUGUACAUCAAUUCUGCCUAAUCUACCCAAUGUAUUAUUAAUUAACUUUUUACUUUUUCUUCAGAAAAAAAUAUUCCACCAGAUAAAUUUCUAAACAUCAAAAAGUGUUCUUUUUUCGUAUAAGUGGAAUCGAAAUGAUAUUAUCACUCAUUUGGUUGUUUUCGGGGAUGAUCAUGUAAACACAUAUGUAAUUUAAGAUGUACUCAAUUGUUGUUUUAUAGUUUGAUAAAGUUUGCUUAUACAUAUUAUCUUAUUUAAUCACUGUAGGCUUUUUUGUCACAUUCUACGAUUAUAGUCUUUGUUUUUAUGUAUAUACAUGUAAUAUUUUCAAAGUUUAACUUCUAUUUGGCUUCACUUUACAAUAUUCAUAAGGGGAGGCAUAGUUAGAUGUAGACUAUAAUGUGAUUAAUAUAUAUUACCUUUUUAUAUGUAUAGAUAGCAUGAUGUGAUAUAUUUUUUAAGUGCAGUGAAAGGGAAUUGUUCAAAUGGGUUUUAUAUAUUCCUUAACCAUUAUAUAUGGUAGCUAUAUAGUUGAAGUAAACCAUAUAUAUUCCUUAAGGCUUAAACCAUAAAACCCCAAUUCUUCCAAUCACCCUCAAUCUCAAUCCACCAUAAAGACAAAACCUUUUAGAAAAAAACCCAUAAUUUAAUGAGAAUGGUUGUGAAUAUAAAUAUGAAUACAAAUAUCCAAGUUGAGUUCCAUGACUGGUCCACAGCCAUCUCUUCUUCCCACAAGAUCACAAAUCAUUUGUGUCCAAAAUGGCAAAAUUUUCAAGAAAGUUCAAAAGGUAAUUUUAUGAGAGAGCCAUGACCUUAGUUAAAACCCUAUAUAAAUUACAUAAAGAAGAGGGAAGCAAAUGGACCCAAAUUCCCAAAUCCCAACAAAUAAGCCAACCAUGUAAAGAUAAUAUUGCCAACUCGCAUAUUCUUAAUAUUAAUGAACCAAUUGUGUCCUUUCACUUUCUUCUUCCAAUAAUAUAUAUCCUUCACUCCUCAUUACCCUUCUUCCUUUAUCCAUUCCAAACCUUUCUUUCUUUUCUCAAACAUUAAUCAAAUUGUUGUCAAACUUUGUUUCAGCUUGUAUUUAGUUUUAGAGAGUUUAAUUCUAACUUGGAGGUUGAAAGAGGUUAAUGGAAUAUUUAACGACACAUGCAAAUUAGAGAUGAAGUGAUAUUUUUAGUGACGGUUACAUGAAUAAUGCAUUAGAAUCGUCUACCAUUAAAGUGCGAAACACUAUCUUAAAACAAUUGCCACGUAAUUCACAUGUUAAACAAGAAGAAGAGGAAUUUGUCUAACUUACCAAUGUGAUGAUCAAUACACGAUGAAAAACUCUCUUGAGAGACGCAUUUAAAACAUAUUUUUCUUAAAUUUAAGAAAAGAAACUAGAAAUGAACAAAACAUUUCAAGGAUAAAGUUAUUUUUGUUCAUAUUUAAUAGUCAAGACAAUUUAAGAUGAUGAGCUCGAACAAUCACAUGUUAUUUGUGGGUAAAAAAAAAAUACAACUUUACAAUCCUUACCUACCAAAUCAAAGAUUGUCUCCUUUUUCAAAAUGGAUACAAUUUUACAAUUACACCUAACGAAUUAUACAUAGAAUAAAUAAAAGCAAAGACCACUUUUCCAAAUUCCUUUUGUUUUCUGGAAGUUAGAAGAUUACCAAAAACGGGAUUCAAUAAUUCCUAAGCAUAAGACCUAAAUUAUUUUUUACGGAUUAUAGUAAAUGACAUGCUUAUUUUUCCAAUAAUAGUCUAUGAUAUAUAUGGAAAACAAUAAUCUACUCAAAUACAAUACCUAUUUCUGUUUAAAAAAUACAAUAAUGAAAUACUUGAGCUAAAUCUACUUUUGACAAUUUAGACAUAUAUUUAACCCUCCUUCAAAAAGACAGUGCUUUCUUUAUUUCUAAUUUCCGAAUUAGAAGACUUUCUAAAUGAUGUUUACAUUAAUUAAUUACUGUAAUUUUAUCUAAAAAGUGCACAUUAGAAGGAAGUUUCCCCGAAAUGACUGUGGAGUAAAUUACAAAAUUGCUUACUGUCUCCAAUAUAUGAGCAUGGUUGAGAAUUAAAACAGGAUAACUUUAAUUAAUUAUUCAACAUCGACUAAUCAGAUUAUUAUUAUUAUAAAUUACAUUUAGUUGCAAUUGUCAAAUAAUGCAAACAUCUUAUGCAUAACCCCACUUUCAUACAUUUUGCUUAGUUUGACUUUAUUAAUUUUGAUCUUAUAUUGUUAUUCAAGCAAAUUAUUAUUUUAUUAAUCGGAGUGCUUUGGAAAUGUUUAUGACUAAGAAAUUAUUUACUAAAUACAUAUUUAUAUAUUUUAUAUAAAGUAGGAAUGAUUAAACUACCAACGUGUGUUUAAGGUGGCAUAUUAGUUUGAUUAUAAUGUGAAAGUGAUAUAAUUAGUUAUUUUGAUUUGAUUUUUGUUACAGAUUAGUUUAUAGUGUAUAAAAAUAAAUAAACUAAUGAUUUUUCAAAAAAAAAUUGUAUAAAUUAGAACACAAAAUUUAGAGGAAUGGUAAUUAUAUUUAAAUGUAAACUAAUGAAGAUUUAAUAGUCGGUGCAAGUUGGUAUUUGUUGCCUAAAAAAGUCAAGACGUGAAUAUCAACAUCCAACUUCAUUCAUAUAUGUUUGUUAACACUUUUUAAUACACUAUACAAGAACUCUACUAUAAUAGUUCAAAUUUUAAAUAUUUUAUUAAAAACCAAAAAAACUUGUUUAGGAGAUUGAAACCUUAUGUUUUCAUCUCUUCACUUAAUAACAUAUUGAAUCUCUAAUUUUAAAAAAAUAUAAUUAAUUGUUUAGUGAACAUGAUUCAUAUGGUUAGACAUGUCAUGAAUCAAUAUUAAAAGAUUCUACCCAUGAAUUUUGUAGUCAAGGUAUCAAGUACUACAUCUUCCAAUAAGAUUGUGAAACUUUUUUUAGUGAAUAAAGAAAUACAUGGUAAAGUUCUAGGAACUGUUUGAGCAUAUAGUUGAAAAAAUGAUUUAGUAGACUUUCAUUCCUUUGUUAUCUUUUACUUAUAACUUAUUGACAUUUUUCUUCUUGUUAAUGUGAUGGUACUUCAUUUAAAUCCAUAAAGUAUUUAUUCCUACCACUAUAGAGUGACAAACACAUCAACUUUUUUGUUUUAGAUAGUAAUUUGGGUUUAUCUAUUGAGUCAAUUUUGGACAUAGAGUUUCCAUAAUGUAUAUAUAUUUUAUAAGAAAUGGGGGUAAAAUUGUAAGAUCAACCUCCAAAAGGUGUCAUCAAAAUAUGUGAAGUCUCAUCAAAGAUAAAUGAGAUGGACUAAUCUACAUUUAUCUUUUUCAUUUGUGGGAUGCCCUAUUCUGCUAGUGCUACUUUUAAAAUAAUAAUAAACAGGUCCAAAUGUCCAAUUGUUUUGUUUUUGUUUUUUGUCUUCUUUUUUUUUUUUUUAAAGAAAAAACAAAUAAAAAAACCUAAACCACGAAGCCCCUGUUUUCCGUUAUUUACACAACAAGCCCAUCACAUUUUCCAAAAAGGACCCUACUCGGGGAUCGCCAUCAAAUUCGCCGCGAACUUUUUUCUUCCACCGGCGCCACCACGGCCGGCCGCCACUCGUUUACGAGUCUUCAGUUCCUCAACCGUAAAAACCACCGGAGACACCGAUCUCCGUCGGUGGCCACAUUUAUCUCCCCCGCUACAUUUCAUUAGCGCAGAGUUGGCCUUGACAGCCAAUGCCGCCAUUUCUUCAGCCUGAAGCGGCUGCUUCAGCCUAUUCAAUGGCAGCGCAAAAUACAGCUGUCCAAGUUGAAGCUCCUCGUCGUCGUUAAUGGCUGACAAAGCAUCGUCGAAAUCCAUUUCGUCGGAGUUACAUAUGAAGCAGGACGGGUUCUUUUGAAGAACGUACGAAACUUUAACCGGAUACGAAAAUUCCUGCAGACUUCCGUCGUGAAGGAUCAAUUUAGCAGUGGCAACGGCAGUAGAUUCCGAAGAACUGCAAAUACCCAUUAACGGCGGCGAGGCACGGCAGAGGUAAUUAGAGAGAACACAACGGGUGGCGGAAUUGGAGGCGUUAGGGAUUAGAGGACGCGUUGGUGGUUCUUUAUAUAUAAGGAAGGUGGGGGCCUACACUUUUCUUUCCAAACAGCGUGUGCCACGUAGGAUUUGGAAAAUAGUGAUGUGGACCCGAUUUAUUUUUGUUUUUAAUUAAGAGUGGGGACUGCCAGGCUGUGAGUCGGUCGUGACAGGUUGGAAGGGAUUUGCGUUGUGUACUUUCAAUAAUGACCCUACUCAUCAUAUUUACUACCUACCCACGUCAAUUAUUCAUCUUCUCGAGGUAAAAUUUCUACGUUUUACUUGAAAGCUAACCGUUUAAAUUCUAUUUUAGUUUUCUUUUUUUACAAAAAAAAUUACUUUUACUUCAGUUAAAAGAGGUUUUUAAUUUCUACUUUCAUUUAAAUUUGUUAUGUACUUCAACAAGUAAGAGUUACUUUUUACUUAAUAUUUGUUUCACCUUUAUUUUGUACAAAUUAGUUUCUAUUUCUUUUAUACUCUGGUAUGAUUUGGUAAAAUAAUAACUAUGCAGAACUUAUUAGUUGAAAAUGUUUAUUAAUUUGAUUAUUAAUAGUUUAAAUUCAGCUUAAAAUUUUAUCAGUAACCAUAUAAUUAUCAACUAUAACACUUUCAUUAGUUUUGAACUGUUAUAUUUUAGCUAGUAGCUUGUUCCAUUAGUUAGUUUAGGUGAGUUAUGGUGCAAAUCAAAUAUAGAUGAUAAAACAAUAAUAAAAUUUAAAAAAGUGGACAUAAGUGAUAAUUUAUAUGUAUAUAUAGUUUUGCCCUUGAUAGUUCAUAUAUGUCAAAAGUUAAAACGUGGGAUAUUGAAAAAUGUUUAGAUAUAAAUACCUGUGAAAAUAAAUGCCAACCUGACUAUAAUAAUAAACUAUCUUCUAAAACAACAUGGUACAAUCCUAAUAUAAAAACAACUUGCAACCAUAAAUCUAAAGAGAAAUUAAAUUGAUCAAAGGAAACGUACUUCAACAAGCACAUAAUACUAUAUUAAAAUGUCUCCAGUUUUGAAUUUCUUCCACACUUCAUCAUACUAGAAAAAAAAAAAAAUAUUACUACACCUUACUUUAACUUUUGAAUCUCUACUCAUGAUUAAGAGUUCAUUUGGUAAUGUUUAAUAAAUUAUUUCAUUAAAUGUGUUUAGCAUCCAUUUUUUAAAUAACAUAAUUUUAGGAUAAUGAGAAACACAUGCAUUUUUAUUACUAAUUAAAAUAAAUGUGAACAUAUACCUACACCAUUUUUUAACCUAAAUAUUUAACUAUAACUAUAAGUUGACGCACAAAUAUAUAUAAUAUAUAUAUAUAUAUAUAUAUAUAUCAUGCCGUCUCAAAACGUUUGAAAGUUGAAUAUAUUAUAUUUGUAACAAUAUUUAGAAAUUUGACCAAUUUUCGAAAAAGGAUAGAAUAUUACCUUUUCUACUUUGAAAAAAGCAAUAUAGAGAAAUAUUUAUUACAUAAAGUUAUAAUUGAAUUUCAAACUUACAUGAAACCAAGGAAAACAAGAAAAAGAAGGAAGAAAACCACACACAAAAAUUUCAAAGAUUAAAAAAAAAAAAACCUAAGCACGAAUGUCAUUAAUAUUCCAUGAGAUACAGAAAUUAAAAAAGAAUAUACAUUCCUCAUUUUUCUUCUAUUAUUCUAAUUAAUUAUAUAGAAUGAGAAACUCCAAUAUAUGGUAUUUGAAAAAUUGGUCAAAACAUAAUUAAAAAAAAAAAAAAGGCCUUUAAACAGGUCAACUUAAAUACAAUUGAAAUAGUUAAAAUAAUGAAUACAUUCCAUAUUUGAAUUGGUUAUGUAUAUAAAGCAUAAAUGAAGGCAGAAAAAAGAAUCUUUAAUUUUUUUAAAAAAAAGAGAUGCUAAAUUGGUAAUUGAUUGAAUAAACCCCAGAUUAGGAAAAUCAUUAGAGUAGGGGUAGUGAUUGAAAAAAGAUUUAGAGCUUAAUCAAAUGAUUGACAUCAUGAAUAUCAAAGAGAAAAAAAAAGCACGUGAAAAAAAUGACCUCGGAAUCUACAAAACAAGGAGCUCCAACAAUCCGACAAACAAUGGCGAGACCUUAUCUGAUUUUGCUGGGCCGAACCCCAACUUUGCUCAGCCCACCGGCCCACCGGCCCCCUUUCUUUUUUCUUUUUUAAUAUAUCUAUAUAUAUUAUGAUUUAUUCAUCUUUUCAUAACUAUUUUUAUUAGAAUAUCAUCACCUUGACCACCAUUAGCUGGUAAAAUACCAAACAUCCAUAGAAAAUAAAAUUUGGUAGGCCUUUAAUUUCCAUUUUCCACCUACAACUUUGAUUGUUUAUAGAAUCUUAUUGUAUAUGAUUAGAUAAUUAUUCUUAGUUAAUAAUGUUUUUUGCAUACGUCAUGAAAUAGUUCAAAAUAGUUAAGAUUGCUAUUUUUGGCCUAAUUUUCUUUUUUAUCCAUACAAGGAACUUCUGAUCUAUUGCACAUAGAUCUCAAUUAUUUAGAUAUAUAUAUAUAUACAUUGUCUUUAAAAGUUGGGUUUGUUCCCUUUUGCUAAUUUUAACUAAUUAAAUAUUUAUUGAUGAACACUAAAUCAUAGUUAAAAUAUUAAAUAAUUGAAUGAAACAAACAAUUGGAUUUCCCUUCUUCAAACCAAUUCCUUCCUAGAAGCUUCUCUCAAAAUCCUCCCUCAAUAAAACCCCUAAAUCCCACUCAUCAAUAAUGAGAUACAUCAAACCCACCACAAUACAUUGCAAAAUUAUUACUUAUUUAUUUCAUUUUUGGUACCAAAUUAAUGACCCUACAAAAGAAAGAAAAGGAAAAAAAAGGUAUACUACUUUUUUUUUGGUUCUCUAAAUUUUCUUUUGUCACUUUCUUCCAACUUGGGGCUUCCAAACCUAAAAAAAGGAUUCAUUUAAAAGAAAACCCCCUUUUGUGUUUUAAAUAUAAAUCUCAAUUAUUAUAUAUGGUUGUGAAAAUGUUGAUAAAGGAUUUUAAUUAAGCCCUUCACAUGCUAUAUGUAUAUAUAAUUUUUAUUUUGAUGUGUUAUGAAUAUGAUAUGGAUAAAUGAUGAAAAGGGCAGAAAUUUGCUGGCAUAACAAAUGCUAUACCUCACCAACCAGGCACACACUAACUUUACAAUAUUACUAUAGUGGGGGGGGGGGGGGGGGGGGGGGGGGGGCUUAUUAGUCACUUCCAUAUUUCAUUUUUGAAGAUUGGUGUGCUUUCUUUCUAUAUAUAUUCUUAUAGUCACAUGAUAUGUUCCACAUAUAACCCAAACUUUGUGUUGGCCUUUUAAGCUGAUAAAUAUCAUAGACAUUAAUUAUAAUCACAUUCUGUACUCUAUACAACUUUUCCUGAUAAGCAUGAGAGAUUUUACUGCUAAGCUUUUUGGUUGCUAAUUAAUACAUUUUGGUUAGUAUCAAAUUAUGAGUAAAUUGGCUUUUGAAAAUGUGUUUUAGUUUUCAAGUUAGAAAGACAUGUGUUUGAUGAAUCCUUACAAUUUUAAAAGUCACCUCAAACCUAACCUUUUAAGUUUCCAUCUUCUAAAAAUUAAUGGAUUAAAAAGGUCAAUAAAUAUAUAUUUUAAAAGAAUAUUCAAAUGAUAUUUUAAAUUGAAAAUAAGAUAAAAAAUCUUAUCUUAUCUAAAAUCCAUGGACUAUCCAUAGAGAGGUAUACAUACAUAUAUACAAAGAGUUUGGUUUCAUGCAUAUGGUUUGGGUUUGGUUUUGUAUUAAAUUUGUUUAUUUGGUGGGCUAUAAAUUAAAAUACAAAUUAUGUAAGUAAAUGAAACAAUUAAAUUAAAAUGAGUAGAAAAGUGAAGGGGUCCAAGUUAGGGUUUAGGGUAGGGUGUCCCACCAAAGGGGAGUUCUCACCGUCACAAACGAAUACAAAGUACCAAAUAAUAAAGACAUUCCCCCUAAGUUAUGGACUUGAAUCAACAAUAUUUUAAAGACAUCACUGUCCCAUUUUUCUUAUUUUUUGUCCCCCCAUUUCAUUUAAUCUAAUCUAAUCUAAUCAAUCAUUUUAAUUGUUUUCUUUAAGCUUCUUUAAUUAUAAUAUUUAUUUAUAUGAGAUUUUAAUUAGCAUCUAAUUAUUUUAGCUUUUAUUCAAGAUUUUUGUCUCCUGAUAUAUAAUAAGUGAUGAAUGAUUUUGUCUUUAUGUUUUUAUAAUCUUUAAAUGUUUUGUAUAAAUAUCUCUUUAUUAGCAUAUCAAUCUAAAUCAUUUCAAUUUUUAUUUUGAUCUAGUUUAUACUUCUUUCAUUUUAUUUCAUCUAAUAUGGUUCAUUUGAUGCUACGUUUACAAUAUCAUACUCAAUUAAAAUUUAUCGGCCUACGUUCUAAUGUUCUCAAUAUCAUACUCAAUACGAGUCUAAUGUUCGAAUUUCUAUACUUCAAUCUUGUAUUUAAAAUAUUCAACGGUGACAUGAUAUAAAACCUCUUUCGUGAUUAAAAUUAAUUAAUUUAAUAUAUAAUAUUCAUUCUAGUCUCAUUGUUUCAUGGUUUUUUUUUAAUAUAACAGAAAUAUCAACUCAUUUCUAAAAUAAUUAAUACAUAUUUACCAUGACAAAAGAAACAUAAAAUCAAUAAAGUUUCAAAUAAAAAUUUGAUCUAAAUAUUUCAAAUAGCUAGUAAUUCAACUUUUAAAAAUGUCCUAAGGCAUUUUAAUACUAACCAAAAUCAUUUGGUUUGAAAAGUGUUUCUGAACGCAUAUGAGAAAAUUGGUUUUCCUCAUAAAAAAUGCUUAUACACUACUUGGUAAAUAAGGGACUAAGUUAAAUAAUGCAUUAGAUAGAAUAUAUCAUUUCAUAUUUUGAUAUAUUAUUUCACCUAUUAUACAUUAUAUAGUGUAUAUAUAGUUUUUUUUUUUUAAAAAAAAUAACAUGCCUAUAUAUAUAUAUAAAGAACCACAGAUGUGAAAAUUGAAAAUAACAUAAAUGAUUCAUCUUCAAUACUUGCAUAGCACUUCUGAUUAUUGAAUCGAAUUAAUUUUACAAUUAUCCAAUCCAAGUUUCCAGAAUUGGACAAAUUUUUGCAUCAAUGUCAUAUUUUAUUUUUAUUUUUAUUUUUACCUUUUGCAUUUACAGUUCUCAAAAAAUGACAUUAACAAGAUCAACUCUACAAAGAAGGAAGAAGCCAUAGAUUGAAGAGGGAAGAAACUAAAGAAAGAAACCAUGACAAGAAUGCCAUUCCUGCAGAAAGCCGAUAUCUACUGCAAAGCUUUGCUGAACAAUACGAAAUCCCGGCUUCGAGCAGUAUAUCAGCGACACUGGCUGUCGAGCAAGCAGCGCCCAAAGAGAGAAAUGAUAGAACCUAUGACACAGCAAAUGUUAUAUGUUUUUUUCUUUCAUUUUCUACUACAAGGAGAAAAAGAACAAAGAUGUUAAUUAUAUUUUGUCUCCCACACAAUAUAUCCCGUACCCAAUCUCCGGUGACGAUGAUUGACGUUACUCUUGUUUGAGGAGGUAAAUGCCUAACAAAAACUGAAUAUCCAUCUACUACUGCCAAUGUCAAACUCCAAGGAACCAUCAAUCCCAUGACUGUCACCAGAUAGCUGAGGGAAUCAACAUGAGCAAUGACAAAGUUUUCUUGAGAUUUUGGAUCUUCUAUAUUUUUUGAAGGUUUAUGUAUGAACAUGGCAAAAACAACAAAAAAUUAGCUCAAGUUUGCAUCACAUAUUAUAUUCUCCUGGAUGAUCAUCUUUCGCAAUUCCUCCUAAGAUGCAAACUUAUCCAACUAAUAGAUAAAUUUAAAUUAAACUUCUUGUCGUUAUCCUUAUGUUGAAAUAGCUGCCACUAGGGUAUAACAAUGACAACAAAAAACCAUGGCUUAACAUUUAGAAGAAGAUGAUGGAAGCAAGAAAUUUGCUCCUUACAGUAAGGAAAAUGUGAACUCUUAAUUACUCGUAAACAAAGCUAAUCUAACUAUAACAGAGAACUGUGUAAUUGACUUUAUGUUAUGUUAGAGUCCCUAAACACUUAUCCAGACUUGUGGGCUUGAAAACACGUAGAAAAACCAACCAGUGAGAAUCAAUCUUAAAUGGGAAGGAAGUAACAUUGUGGAGUUUGAACAUAUAAUCUCAUUGACCACUUCCGGUAAAUCACCAAUUGAAUCAAAAUAUUAAAAUUAAUUGAUGAAAGUAAAUUAAUAUUAUAUCAUCUAAUACUUUGAUCAUGGAAUGUGGUCUAUUGGAGUCCUUGGGUUACUGAUAGCAAAUCAUACUCAUUUUAGCUAAAACAAAGUUUAUCAUUUAGACACUUUUGCAUCUAGAGCUGUUGUUUCCAAUACAAAGUUCAUUACCAAAUCUCACUUCCGAAGAACAUAGUUCCUGUUGGAAUGAUUCCAGUAGUAUAAUAACACAUCUCAGAUCGGCUAAUCUUCGUUUAAAUACUUUUUACACAGUUAAAGAUAGCAAUAGAAAAGAAAUACUGCAAACAACCUAAUAUUUAAACUCUGACUAAUUUCAGGAGACAACUAUCUCACCUUGAUAAAAUCUAAUACGAAGACGCUCCUAGGUUAUUCCAUAAGUAGUAUGACUUCAAAAGUAUCUAAAUUCACAACAUGUAGGAAAAACACAUGGUUGUCAACAAUCCAUUAAUCAAUCCCAAUGGCAUAGAAUUCCGAAUAAGCAGUAACAAACAUUUGAUACACUAAUUUACAAAAUGCAUACAACACAAUUUGCUAACUACAGCAAGAUUAAGCCGAUACAAGGUCUGUUUCAAUCCAAUAACGAUCAGAAAACCAAAACAGAAACAACCCAAUGAGAGAAAUUAAGAACUCAAUGAACAGAGCCAAAAAAAAUUCUGAUUACCAGAAAGCCGUGUAGCUAUAGAACUCAAUUUCCAGACACAUAAAGAAGAGAGAAGCCGAGGCAAAGAUCGCCUGACCAAGACGGAGGGCCAAGCUUGCACUUGUGCCCAAUGCCCCCGGCAGCUCUUCCAUUUUCCUUCACAACUAUUCUACGCCGCCGCCGCCGCCAUCACUAUCCUCGAUCGUAAAUUCAUCGCUCAGAAAUGGUGGAGACUAGACAAUUUUCGAGUAAAAUUGGGUCUGAAGAACUUGAAAUGGAGAAAAUGGAAUUGGGUUUUUUGGGUUUGAUAAUUUAGUGGAUGGAAAGAAUGAAAUUGUCGAGAAAUGAAAAAUCAGAGAAGAAGGGAUGUAAUGGCGACGGCAGUGAUGCACCGCGAUCUUGUUCCAACCAGAUUGGCCGAUGUCUGUACAGAAUUCAGAAGAAUUUGGACAAAGAGUUUAUGGUGAAUUUAUGAUUUAAAUUAUUGGAUUAUUUUUCUUCUUUUUUUUAUAAAUUUAGUGCAUUGUAAUUGAGAGAUUAACUGUAUGAAUGUUGAUACAUUUGGGUCAUUAAAGACGAGUUUGUUGAAACGUCUUCCUUUCUUUAUUUCUUUAAUGCCGGAAAUUUUAAAAAGGAAAUAACAAAUAAAAUAAAAUAAAACCGUCAAAUCAAAUCUGUAUACUCUUCAAAUUGUUUUAUCAAUUUUCAUUUCACAACAAUCAUUUUAUUUUUAAAACUCGUAUCAACGAUUUAUAUAUAUAAUUUAAAGUCAAAGAAUAAAUUGUAAACCUUAGUUAGGCUAGAAAUUCAAAUAUUGUAAAAGAUAAAUUUCAUAGGUUUAUAAGUUUGAUAAGAUGUGUAGUAAAUUCCAUUAAAUAGUAUAUGUGGGCUUAACUUUCAAUAAAUUUUGAGAUUGGUUUAAUUAUUUUGUUUUAAGUAAUAAGAGUAUAGAAAAAAUAUUUAUUUGGAAGGAUGUUUGUUCAUUUACUAUUAUACCAACUAAAUCAAAAUUAAUUUUAAGGGAAAAUUAAUUAAUUGUUAUAUAGGUGGCACUUGUGAGAUAUAAUACCAUUCCAUGUUCAUGUUCACAUUAAAGAUCUUCAUAUCUUUAUGGUAUCAACCAUACAUUAAGGAUUCGCUAUCUUCUCCACUUAAAUACCAAUGUUCCCUUUUUGUGGCUCUGAUAUAAAGAUAUAUAUAUAUAUAUAUGUUAAAUUACACUUUCACGUUCUAUUUCAUUUUAUGGUAAAUCAUGGAUUGAUCUAAUGAAUUUAAGAUAGUAAAUAUUUGGAUAUAAAUUCAAUAUAUAUACCUAUCUAUUUGUUAUUUGGGCAACUGAAAUAUGUGGCUUGCUUUUUCUUAAUUCUAUAUCCAGAUUGUAUGAGAUUGUUCCAAGAGAAAGGAGUUGAGACAUUAAUGUCUUUAAUUAAGUGAUUAAAAAAAUAUUUUUAUGGGUUAAAAGUGUGUUAUUACGUGUGGAUUGGAAUGCCAAGUAAGCUCAUAGUUUAAACAAUCUUAGUAAUGAUUGUUUCAACUUAACCACAAAUUCUUCAUCUACUAAAUUACUGUCUAAAAUAAGAAUAGUCGAUUUGAUAUGGUUUAGUAGAUAAGUCACUAAUUAUCAUCUCAAAGAUUGAUGAUUCGAUCUCUUGUUCUCGUAGUUGUGAAAUCUAAAUCCAUCUCCACAAUUGUAUGAUAUUGUCUACUUUUGAACAUAAUUCUCAUAAAUUGCUUUAGAUUUCAUCUAAAAAGUUUUAUAUAUUCUAUUCAUUCCUCUAAAUCAUCUCAAAGAUUGAUGAUUCCAUCUCUUCCUCUAAAGUUAUGAAGUUAAGCAAAUGUAUGUUUGAGAAAGAGUGAAAAGGCACAAGAUUUUAUAUGCAAACUUGGAUAAAAAUAGAACCCCUGCUAGCGUCUCUCUCCAUAAGAAAGUUUAGCAACUCUCUCUUUUAACUUACAAGGAACAAUAUUACACAAUCAUAAAAGAAGAAAGGGGGGCCUAAGAGUCAAGCUGAGCAUACCAAACACCCUGGAUCUUCACAUCCUUGGGAGCUUUUGCUCCCAAAUCGGUAUCAGAAGGCUGAAUACUCUCAAACACACCAAUAACUUCACCAGUCUCAGGCUUGCUCUUGGUCACACUCAAAGUGAUUUUCCCUGUUGAAGAUGAAGCAUUCUUUAUGUUUUCUUUAGCAAGUUCUUCUUCAUCACCUCUCCCUCCAGCAGGCAAUGCAACAGCAUUAUCAUAUCCAGUUGAACCUCCUCUUCCCUUUGGGUCCAAGAAAGACGAGCCACGGUAAGAUGGGACUAAAAAGUCUCCACUAAAGCUCUCUGGUUUUCCAGAAGCCACCAAUUGUUUGAUGGUGAAGAGGAACGGGACACGCUCACCUCCCGGCAACUGGACAGUGACAGCAGCAUAGUCAAUUCCAUCUUUCUCCUCAAACUUGAUCGAACCAUCAGCACCAACUUCAAAGGGUCCUUCAAUCUCGUCUAGUGUGUAAGUUAGACGAGUCAUGAGCUUGGUGUUUUGGAAUUCUGGUGGGGCGUUCUUGCUCACUCCUUCAGCCUUCACAGUGAAAGAAGUUGGCUCAAGACAGAAUUUCUUGGCUUGAUAUUUGCCUGCCUUGAAGGCAAAUGAAUCAACUCCUCCAUCAAUGGUUGGGCACUGGUUAGCUGUUCCAGUUCCCUUAACUUCAAGGUAUGUCUUGCUCUGAAUUUCAUCAAAGGUGAGUCUCUUUGGUACUCCUUCAGCACCAGCUCCCUGGAAAUACAUGAAAAGUAUCGAACAAUUAAGAUGCUCACCAAGUUGUAGGAUUACACUUUGUAUAUAUCAAGUGUUAAUCAGUCUAGACAUUCUUAGAUCUCAUAUAUCAAGUGUACUCAGACUAAUUAAGUCCUUGAAGUGAGAUUUUCUUUAACGCUUUAAAACUUUAAAGUCUGUAUCUAAUAUUUAAGUCAUUUAAGACUUACCGUAACACACUAACCAUAUAUCAUCAGUGGACUAUGUGGUGGACUGAUUUUCAAAUAAUCCUUGAUUGAAUAGUAUAAUGAAAAUGUUAUGGGAUCAUUAAUGUAAAAAUGAAUUACAAGUUAAAUUAAGAACAACAGGUACUUUAUUAAGUCACAGAGAAUCAAAUGGAUUAUUCCACUUGGAUCUAAGUAGUUUGAUCCUUUAUUUGGCAAGAAAUUGCCACUAAGUUAAACAAAUUCGGAGAUUAUCAAUUACCCAUUCUAAGUCUGAACUAUAAUUAUUUUCUCCAAGAACUCAAUUCAAUAUCAGCAACUAAAACAAUACAGACAUUCACAUCCAAACGCAAAUAUAAAGCAUCGUGGAGAAUCAUAAGAAGAAAGUAAUCGUGGAAGGAAAGUACGAUAAGAACAUACCGAAACGACAAGAGCGGAAGUGGCAAGAGCGAAGCCGGCAAUCUUAGCAGCAUCGGCAAACUUGCGAGAAACGUCUUUGAGAUCGGAGUGAAGAGAGCAGGUGAGUCUAGGUCCGGAAGAUUCAAGGCCAAAGGCUUUAGAAAGGGAUUGAGAAGAUCUGAGGUGAGAGGUGGUAGUUCUUGAAGCCAACUUGGAGGGUUGCAUAAGGGUAGCCGCGGCCGCCUGAACUGAAGCCGCCAUUGUUGUAUCCGGAUUGAGUGUAAGAGAGGAGAAGUGAAAUUUUGUGCGGGGAAUGAUACUGAAACUAUAACGGAGAGUAGAGAGGAUUUAGGAAAUGAAUUAUGU
This 99873-nucleotide long non-coding RNA is filed under the name Cucumis sativus (cucumber). Its description in RNAcentral is "long non-coding RNA (CSAT_LNC002475)". Lineage: Eukaryota; Viridiplantae; Streptophyta; Magnoliopsida; Cucurbitales; Cucurbitaceae. The record is from RNAcentral.